This 142234-nucleotide long non-coding RNA is filed under the name Zea mays. RNAcentral describes it as "long non-coding RNA (ZMAY_LNC003993)". Lineage: Eukaryota; Viridiplantae; Streptophyta; Magnoliopsida; Poales; Poaceae. The record is from RNAcentral.
UAAAAUAUGGUGUCAUUAUCUGCUGGGGAAUAUCUGCCAUAUAUAUACAGAUCAUAAAAGUUUGAAGUACAUUUUUACCCAGUCAGAACUUAACAUGAGGCAGAGGAUAUGGCUUGAGCUAAUUAAGGAUUAUGAAUUAGAGAUUCACUAUCACCCAGGCAAGGCCAACGUGGUGGCAGAUGCACUAAGUCGCAAGGCUUCCUGCCAUUGUCUUACAGUAAAGACUUCUGACAUCACAUUAUGUCAAAAAAUGGAGAAAUUAAACCUGGGAAUGAUUCAACAUGGAACCUUGAACCAAUUGAAGCUUGAUUCAAUUCUUCUGUAAAAGAUUAUUGAUGCCCAAAGAAGUGAGAUAAGGGUAUGAAACAUAUUCAUGAGAAAAUAAAAGCCGGUAAAGCAAAUUGUUUCAGAAAGGAUGAUCAAGGCAUAGUAUGGUUUAAUAACCGCAUAGUUGUGCCUAAGGAUGAUGAGGCCCGCCAGCAAAUAUUGGACGAAGUUCAUCUUAGUCGAUACUCCAUUCAUCCCGGAAGCACUAAGAUGUAUCAAGAUUUAAACCAACAUUAUUGGUGGACAAAAAUGAAGAUCGAAAUUGCACGCUAUGUGGCGAGAUGUGACACCUGUAGACGUGUCAAAGCCAUACACAUGAAGACUGCUGGUCCAUUGCAAUCUUUGCCCAUCCCAACUUGGAAAUGGGAGGACAUUAGCUAGACUUCAUUGUGGGAUUAACCAGGACAACAAAAGGGUUUGAUUCUAUCUGGGUUAUAGUUGAUCGACUUACAAAAAUAGCCCAUUUUCUACCGGUCAAAACAUCCUAUCCGGUCCUCACCUAUGCCCAGGUAUAUAUUGCCCGUAGUCUUAGUUUGCACGGAGUUCCGAAGACAAUAGUGUCGGAUCGUGGAUCACAAUUUGUAUCCAAAUUCUAGGAAGAGCUCCACAAAACUUUGGGUACUAAGUUGCUCCACAGUUCGGCCUAUCAUCCCCAAACAAGUGGACAGACUGAGAGAGUGAACCAAAUACUUGAAGACAUGUUGCGGGCAUGCGUUCUAGAGUUCCCCUAGAAAUGGGAUGAAUGCUUACCAUUGACAGAGUUUUCAUAUAACAAUAGUGUCAGUACCCUGAAUCAGGGGUACCCCUUACUACAGUAUGAAGACACGGUGCCCGUGCGGCUAUCUCUAGCCGCACGGUGAACAGCACCCGACCCCAACACGUGGGCAGUCCCAAGGACGCCAUGUGGACAGGAGAGGUGAUAUACUCCAGGAUACCAUCAGUAGGUCCGGACCUCCUCAAGAAAGCGCCGGACCCUUGUACACAUAGCCCGGACCUCCGAGUACGGUCCGGGACUCCCAAGUGAGCAAGCCGGACCCCUUGGAUGAGGUCUGGACCCCUCUGAGUGAGGUCCAGGCCACCCACAGCAAGGUCCCGGGAUAGGGAAUACCCUGGCCUAGGUCUAGGACAGGCAAGGGUCCGGUACUGACACGUGCCCAGGCUUUAUCCAGUGCGCUUCCACUCCCCGCUCAGCCGGAGGCCCAAUGCUGUCACGUGGACUAUCGCCCGUGACGUAAGCCAGCGGGCGGGGCCUGACGUAAGGCCUCUGGGCCGUGCUGCCUCUACAUUUAUUGCGGAGAAGACGCGCCGCCUAUCUAUCCCGCUGACAGACGAUGUGCCCCCUCAACAUUUAAUGUGUCCUGUCCACUCCGCUGGCAGGCGGCGUGCAGGCCAUCCCGCAGGCGGCGUGCCUGUCCAGUCCAUUGUUAAACAGUACGCCUGUGCUGCGAGGUGCACUAUGUCCGUCAUCACUUAUACAUUGCCAGGGAAGCUUCCCCUGCACGCCAAUACUACACAGACCACGUAUGUCAGGGCGCAAGAAGAUCGCUCCAGCAACGAACAUUAGUUGCUCCAAGUAUUACAUCUGUUAUGUUCCUGGGCCCACAUGUCGGGGCUCAAUACCCUUGUACGUGCCCCACGUAGCUAUAAAAGGGGAGGCAUGCACCGUUACAACAGGAGGCUAACACAGGCUCACUACAAAGACAAGUAUCUGCAAAAUACAAAUUGCAGCAGUUCUACAACUCGAAAAUUCGAUUGAUAUGUUAUUAAGAGCACGUAGCACGACCACAAGCACAAUCAAGAAGUCGUCUAGCGACGGUGUGUAUGUAAUUCAUCGGAUACAGAAGAAACUAUCCGUAAGAAUCAGGUCAUGAAACACAGAGGCAAACAAAACCUGAGAACCCUAAGGGUUUGAGGCGCAAUAGCUACAGUUAAUCACCACAGAGGACCGAAUCACUACAGGCACGGGGAGGCAACAGAGUACGACUUUGACCCAGUGCUAUCACAUCAAGCAGCUCAAGAACAAAGGUUAAGAGACAUAGGAUGAGCUGAUACCUUGCAAGAGACAGGCCAAAGUGGAGGCGCAGACGACGAGUUGUGGGGAAGGCGCUAGCCUCUAGGGUUCGGGGCCUUAUAUAAUGGCGUCGGCGUACGUCGGACCAACCCAAUACAUGACUUCCGAAAUGGUGGCCCAGGGCCCAUAAAUGGAGCGAGAUAUUUAUGGGGAUGACUGAAUGACAUUGUUAUUAUCUGAACUUUGGUGCAUGCCAAAAGAGGAACACGAGAAACUCUUCAUUGCUGUCAAAAACCAGUACUAAUUAAAAGCGGAAUCCAUAGUUAGAACUAAUUAAGAAACCCUCGGGUUUCCGAGAAUCAACCCGUCGUCCCUUGAUUUCGCGUGCAGGCCCUUGGUUUCUUAUAAACGGACCCCUGGCCUUUUAAAUAAUCACAGAUUUGGACCUAAUUUUGUAUUUCAAACUUGAAAACUUGUUUAUUUCAUAUCUUCUUCAUAUGAACUCCAAAUUUAGUGAUUCAAAUUGCAUUUUAUAGAAUUAUUCUCUGUUAAAAUAAAUUAGGAUCAUUCACUAUCUGUGCAUUCUAAUUUUAUGCCUAGGCUAUAGGUUAAUUUAUGUGGUAAUUUAUUUGUUUAAAAAAGAUAAAUAAAAAGGAAACCCUAGUGGUAAAUGGAUAUUUAAUCUUGUGAGAUUAAUAAUAUGUAUUAUAUGAAUUUAUCCAUGAUUUAACUUUUACGUCUCAUUAAAAUGAGUAGAAUUAGAUUACGUAAUCAUGGAGAUAGACAACACUUAGAGAAUAACAAACUACUGAAUGUGAUUAGUUCACCUUAUAACUUAAACUCCCUUUUUGAGUUUAUACUUUUUCGUUUGAGAUGUGUUCCAUUGUUUGUACAUGAUUGGUGUGCUGUUCAUUUGUCAUUUUCCAAAUGUAUUGAAUGUAUGAUCGCUUUAAUUAGACGACAAGCAGCCCAUGGUUCCUGAGUGUGUUGCCAAAGAUCUUCCUGAGCAACAACCUGGUGAAGGCAAGUGUCCUCUUACCUAUUAUGUCCUACUUACUUUAUAAUUCACUGUCCUGCAUUAUAUAAUUGAAACCUAAGAAUUGACUAGUCUGUAUUUACCUUGUCCUUGCUUACCUUUUGGGUUAUCAUGGUUAGCCUUAUGUCAUUGGUUUAACUUAAUCAAUGAACAUGAUGUGAACAUUUAUGAUACAAUGAUGUUAUUUCGAUGAUGAUCUUGUGAUAUUUUAGGGGACUCAGGCCAUUUUUCUGAGUACCUCUCCAUAAGGACCUUUUCGUUGGGUGACCACCCUGGAUAACAGUGCAACCAUGAGGGUGGAAUGGGACGCCCUUAGCUAAAUAAUUAGAUGAACCUGGGGGUGUAGUUGGCUUUGUCGGAGGGCCAUCAAUGGGGGCCGGGGCAUAGUGCUCGCUCUGCCAAUGGGGGUGCAGAGGUUCAUUCGAUUUGGUUUUUGUUAGUCACCCACCUUGGGGAGGUGUACUGCGUUUGUACAACUGGAAAAACCUAAUGAGCAGCUAUGUACCAGGGGAGUCUUUGUAAAGGAUACAUAGUGAGACCCUGCCAGGUCACCUCGGUAGUGAUCAAUGGGGAGUCAUGAUCUCUAAGCAGAAUGGGAAGCAUGAGUCAUGGGUAAAGUAUGCAACCUAUGCAGAGUGUUAGAAAUUGGUAUAUUAGAUGAGCUCACGGUUAAGAGCGUUCUUGGGAUCCUCUUUGAUUAGAAGAACUUUGGAUACUUUUAUGAUGAUGAUGUUUAAUGAUGAUGGUUAUAAAUAUGCUCUCUGGUAUUUUCUCUUGGAGGGAGUACAUUUGGGUAAUAACCGGUUUUAUUACUAAAAUUUGGCUCUACUAUUAGUAAUAAAUACUCGACCAACUAAAAGCAACUGCUUAACCUUAACUCCACAUACAGCUAGUCCACUUUAGCCAAACGGGACAUUUGCUGAGUACGUUGAUGUGUACUCACCCUUGCUUUAAAAAUCACCCCACCCCAGUUGUCCCCACUGUAUUCAGUGCUCAGGAGAAGAUGCUGGGAACAUAGAGGACUUUGAGGAGUUCCAGGACUACAACGAGUUCUAGUUAUCUUAGUGGCAAACCCUAGUCAGCUGCCUAUGAAGGUCUUAUCUGCUAUGUUUCGUAUUCCGCACUUUGAUAAUGUUAAUGACCAUGUUAUAGACUCUGUGGAUGUCUUGGAUAUCUUGAUGUAAUAAAGUACCUUUUUGCUAUUUACUUUGAGCAAUGUGUGAUGAUGCCCAAUUAUGUAAUCACUGUGUACGUGAGUUUCUGAUCCUGGCACGUACAUAGUUCGCAUUCGGUUUGCCUUCCAAAACCAGGUGUGACAGUGAGGAAGAAUCGGUCUCGUAGUAGACCACCUUCUUCAUUUUAUUUUUCUUCUUGUCACCAUUCCUAUGUGACUUGAUGGAUCCGGUGGAUUCCUCCUUGUGCUUGUCGCCGACCUCCUUCGAUGGAGUCCUUUCUUCGUUCUUCUUUCUCGAAGCUUCGGGCUUUUCGCUGGUGACCAUUUCCCUUUUGGCAUGUUCUCCCGACAUCACUUCGAGUUGUUAAACUCUAAUGAAGCAUCAAGCUUUGAUACCAAUUGAAAGCCACCUAGAGGGGGGAGAAUAGGCGAAACCUGAAAAUUAUAAACUUUGAACACGCACUUCACCCGGGGUUAGGGUUAGAAAUAAAUAAUAUUGAGUUCAGAGUGCGGAAGAUAGUUCUUCUUGCUAUGAGUUGCUCAAUCAAUACUGAUAACUUUGGGAGCCAACUCAAAACAAUAUGAGCAAGAGAACUUUAGAUAGAGAGGAGAGGGGAGAAACAAAUCGAUUGAUGAAGAUCAACACAAAUGAACACAUUGAUUUGUUUCCCUAGGUUUGGUUCCAAAGAACCUACUCCCCGUUGAGGAGGCCACAAAGGCCGGGUCUAUUCCAACCCUUUCUCUCUCUCAAUCGGUCACUUAGACCGAUCGAGUGCUUCUUCUUAAUCACACGGGUCACUAAGACCCCACAAGGAUCACCACACAAUUAGGUGUCUCUCGCUUGCUUUAUAAAACACUUGAGAAGUUUAGAAUGAGAAGAAGAAAGCAACCAAGCAACAAGAGCAACAAAAGAAACACAAAUCACCCUCUCUCAAGUCACUAAGCACUUUUGAUCACUUGACUUGAUUUUGGAACUUGGAGAGGAUUUGAUGCUUUGAUUGUGUCUUGGAGUCUAUUGCUCUAGUAUUGAAUGAGCAUGUUGCAAUGCUUUGAUGGCUUGAAUGGUGGUGGUUGGGGGUAUUUUUAGCCCAACCACUAUUCGAGCCGUUGCUAUCGAUGGGCACACCGAUAGUCCGGUGGUGCACCGGACACUGCACUGUUCACUGUCCGGUGAGUGCCACAUCAGCCGACCGUUGGGGUUUGGAGCUGUUGACCGUUGAAGUCUUCUAUCUUCUUGUGGCACCAAAUAGUCCGGUGUGUUCUAAAUUUGCAGACUGACUUAUGACUGCUGUAGACUGCCUUGUAGUUAGCGCAGUCGACCGUUGGGUGAAGUUGACCGUUGCUCCAUUGUCUCACCGGACAGUCCGGUGGUGCACCGGACAGUCCGAUGAAUUAUACUGGACGAGCGUUUGAGAAAACCCGAGAGCGAACAGUUUGCAGAGGGCUCCAGCCUGGGCACCAGACAGUGUCCGAUGCGCCACCGCCUGCAAUAGAUCUUGUAUGCUCCAAACUUUGUAGAAUUCCCUUGAGUCAUUUUCUUGGUAUGUUUAUGUGAACUUUAUGCACCUGAGAGAAACAACGACUAGACAAACUAGUUAGUCCAUAUGGUUUGUGAUGGACGUCAAACACCAAAAUUGAUUAUAGGAAAUGUUGAGGCCAUUUCCCUUUCACCCGCCGUCUCCACUAUUAAGCUUCUGGCUGAAAAUGUCGCGCGCCUCAUUCCCUCCGGUACAAAGUGGCGGCCAUGACAUAAACAUGGUUGUCACGAUCUUGCAAGACUCUCGCCCCACUCGGUACAAUUACAACGGCUAGCGCAAGAGCCGAGGGGUUGUUUGUUUUUUUUCUAAACUCACUUAAGUAACUAGAAUCUAACUAGAGCAAGCACUAAAGCGGUCUAACUAACCUAAGCACUUCGCAAAGCACCUACGCUAAUCACCGAGUGAUUUUAUUAAGCACUUGGGUGUAUGAGCAAUUGGGAAUGUCUAAUAUAUGCCUUGGUAUGUUGCUUGGGCUCCCACACCUUGGAAUGACUGGUUCGGGUGAUAUUUAUAGGUCCCAACACAAAUCUAGUCGUUGGAGAAAAGUUGAUGCUCUCUGCGGCACACUGGACAGUCCGGUGCGCCUAGCCGUUGGACUGACGCCGCAGGUGACCGUUGGUGCUGCACGCUUUUACACCAGACAGUCUGGUGGCUUCUCUCCACCAGUGCCACCUAGAACUAGCCGCCCUAGUGCACCAGAUAGUACGACGUGUGACACCAGACAGUCCAUUGUGGCAACACAUGUCUUCGUUUUGGACUUUGCUUGAUACUUGUUGAUCUUCUUGUGAUCUUCAUAAUGUCUUCUUUUAAGGUAUUGUUUUCCUCAAUGCCUUAGUCCGAGUAACUUUAGCAUCAUGUGAACUACAAACAUAAACACUAGCAAACACAUUAGUUCAUAGGUUAUGUUGAUCAUCAAACACCAAAACCUAUUAAGCCAAAUGGUUCGGGUCCAUUUUCCUUACAAAACCCCAUAAGGAAGUACGGUAUUACGCAAUUCUAAGCGGCCCGAACCUAUAUAAAUCCGUGAGUGAUCCCAGCGUGCCUCUGCAUGAACCAUUGAGUCACGAUCAACGACGCCAUCCUACCCAAAAGCAUCACGUAGGUAACCUUGUGGUGCGCGGUCGGGUCACAAACGUCGACAACGACCGAUUGAGAUAAUCACCUAUCCAAUCGAACCAACCUAUCUACAUUACUUUAUAUUAUCAUGCCUUAGGAGUACAUGUAGUGUAGCCCUAGUUGUAGUUUCCCAAUCUCAAUCUUCACCUAGCUUCGACUCUGCAUCAUCUCGAGGCAUCAUGUGUGGCCUACAGAUCCCAAAAUAACCCUAGAUCUUUCCUCCCUAAAGGGAUCCAUCCCGAGGGGCAAGAUCUAGGUUCUAGAGGAGCUCAUCCCUAUCUUCAUAUAAAAUUAUCUACGCACGCGGAUGGUCCGGUGGCCAACCGCGGACGAUCUGGUGACCUGUCGCAGAUGGUUCGCCGCCUCGUAGAAGGGUUCCCCAAGGUCCACGCCCCCGCGAGCGUGAUCUAUGAAUAGUUGGUGUUUGGCCCCAAAAAGGUGUUAAGAUUUCUUGGAAUUAAAAACAUCGAUAGAAAUUGAUUUAGCAUUUACCUCAUUACGCUCUAAGUUACAAAAGGUUGAUGUCAUAUAACUAGGUUUAUCUUUAUCUGUUGCCCUGUUUGGCAUAACUUAAUUUACAUUUUGUUCAUAGAUUUAAAUAAAAGUUAUAUCAAACAGUAGGCAUUUGCAUCAACUUGUCAGUUCAACUGCUUCUUAGAAUGAACUAAAAAUAGGCAACAAGCAAAAGCUGGAAAACUAGCUUCUCAGAUAAGUUGCUUUUCAAUCAGCAGUAGUUGUGCCAAACAAGGUCACCAUCUCUAACAACGUCUUCUAAACUUCAUCAUUUAUAUCUUAUCUUCUACAUUUUUCCAAUCAUAUUAACAUUAGAACCUUAUUGUUUCAACAAAUAUUGUCUCAUUUACAUAUUGCAAAUCAUUUUUAAAUAUGUAUUAAUAAAUAUUUUUUAAGAACUACAAAUACCAAACAAAUUCACAGGUCAUUCUCCUCCCAUGCCCACAUAAUGCAGUGGAAAAUCUUGCUUUUCUUCCAGUCCUAGGUGUCGCGCAAUAGCUUGCUAUUGGUCGCACUCUUCGUUGGCAUUCACGAGCGGGUAGAGACAACGACACUAGAUUUACCGGACCUCCACUAUCAUAGAGGACCAUGUAGUGUUCCUUGCUGGAUAUAUAAAGGAGGGGAAACUCUAGCGUAGCGAACGCUUAGACUAUCUACACUCAUACUACUCUAAAUUAGUACUCUAAAACAAAUAUUCUAGGGGUAUCUGCUAGUCAUAUAGUGUAAAUGUGCAGCCAAUCUUCUAAGUGAAUGCAAACGAGGCCUCUCUCAUCCAUAUAUUAUUGUAUAUUUUAGGCUGGAUUGGUUCCAUGACUCUAGAGAAGUGGUUUGAUUCCCGUCGGUAGUUAGGAGGCUUCAUAAAAGAUGGAGAAAUGGUCUAACUAAUUUAACAUCAUAAAUAUAUAAUACUACAAAAUAUGUCAUUGCAACAAAAGAUGCCCUGAAUUGAAUCCAGGUCCACAACCGAACAAGACCUUACUCUAUAUCUAACUUUGUGUUGAUAAGUACUCUUUACACCUUCUAGAUGUGGAUAGCCUUAGACUGUUCCAGCAACGUCAUCUAUAUCUACCAUCUAUAUUUGUCCUUUACAAUCUCAUCUAAAAAAAUUCACCUUCUAUAUCUCCUUCCUGUCCAACAACGUUCUCUAAUUCACGUCUUCUAUAUAUCUAUACUACUCUUAAGAUGGUAGUGUAGGCGUCCACAUCCUAUGGUGCACGGUUCUGCCACCGUCUCAUCCGAGAUCCUCUACGCGACGCACGCUCGAGAUCCUCUCCGUGACGCACGCCUCCCUCUCUUCCGCCCCACCCUCCUCCCCACUCCAUCGGCGCCGCCAUCAUCGGAUCCGACCCAAGACGCCUCCGCCCCACGCGCCCGAGUCGUCGAGGCACACUCCUACCCGCCUCCGGCGUCCACGCACAUCUCCGCCUCACCUCGGUGCCAUCCUCUCGCCAUGUCGUCGCACACGUUCACGGUGGCGUCCAUCCCGACACCGGCCUCACGCACCGUCUACAACUCCCAACUCUGCUCCUCUCAGUUCUCCCUCCGCAUUUCGCCUUCUCUCCCUUCCUCUCCAAGCACCGUCCACCUCGCCUAGAUCCAUACAAGCGGCAAAUAACCUCUCCGACGGCGAGACAGAUGGAGUCGACCUUCGGCGAGGAUGCUCUGAAGCGCAACCCGCUCCUGUCCGCGCUCGUCUCCAACCUACACUCCGUGCUCGCCGCCUGUCGCCCGUCCGCAGCAGAGGUCAGCACCGCUGCCACAGCUAGCGAGGCUGAGGCCUUGGCUCAGGAAGCAGAGGCGUCCGAUUCCCUCACGAGAGAUGGGAUGCCGGCGAGGCCCAUCGUGUUGCUGACCUAUGCCGAGGGGAUCCGGACGGCGGGUCUCGCGGCGCUCAUUGACGCCCUCGUUGCCAUCGGCCGCUGCGACGUCCACGUGUGUGCCCCCAAAUCAUACGUGUUGCGACUUAGAAAACCAAGGCGUCUUAAUUUCCCCUUACAUUUGCUCUUAUGAUCGCAAAGUACUGUUUGCUUUCCAUUGGAUUUGUUGGGAGAUAAAUUAAGUAGUCCCGAUUUGGGCGCCCUGCGCCUGUUUACUCCAUUAGGGCAUGUACAGUGGAGAGACACCAAAACGGUUCUCCAAGCACAGAAGACAACUAAGAGACUCUAUUGUACAAUGGAGUGUCUAUAAACGUAGUCUAUUAAUAAAUACAGAAUUAAAUGUAUUUGUAUAACAUCAGAUCGAUAGAACAGACGACAAAUUCGUACAGUGGGAAGUGAGGCGUCUGUUGCUACUUGGUUUACGAGCCAGAGGCGUCUCUUCACGGAGAGACGGCUCUAAGAUUUUUUUGCAAAUAACCCCCUUAAACACCUUAAGAGCCUCCACAUUAAACACCACUGUACAUGCCCUUAAUGUACUAAUUUGGUUGCCAUUUCCCUAUGAUUGUGGAACCGAACUGAUUUGGGGCCCUUUGUUUAUUUGAAGGGACAAGCAAGCCUGUGGCCAUUCAAUUGCCAUCUGUGAAACCAUCAUUGCGUCAUCCGUGGAUUUCAUAGGCACUAAAGCUUUUGAGACAUCAGGUGAGGGCCAUUCGUUCAUUCAAUUGUGCACAAUUUGGGUCACACAUUGCUGAGCCUGGUGGUCCCGAUAUUUUAUCUUUGCUUACUUUAAUCAUUGAAAACUUAGGCACGCCAGUUGACUGCGUCUCGUUGGCCUUAUCUGGGAGGUUGUUUCCUUGGUCGUCUCCUGCUUUGGUACCGUGAUUGUUUAUUCUUUCGGAAUUGGAUUUCCAAGUGUUACUAUCUUGAAGGUAAUUUGAUUUGUGGUUUUAAAAAACAACAUAUUUUGUUUAUACAGGUGACCAGUGGUAUCAACACGGGAUCAAAUUGUGGAUAUGAGAAAAUUGAUCCCCCAAGCAUUAGCAGUAAAAAGGUUUCUGGAACAAAAAAUUAUAGUAUUGAUGCUAAGGAUGCUAAAUAGAGAAUUCUGAAGACGGCUUCACCGAAAGUGUGGAAACUAGAGACUAAAGAGAUCAGACCCAACUGAAAGGGAAAUAGGGUUAACUUUUUUACACAAUUAAUUUUAGUGGUUGAAUGUCCAACACAAACAAAUGGACUAACUAGUUUGCUCUAGAAUACAUGUUCUACAGGUGCAUAAAGGUUUAACACAAACCAAUAAAUAUCCAAGUUAGGGAUCCAAUUCAAAGGAGCAAAAGAAACUAAGUGUGCUGUGGUCUGGCUCACCAGACUGUCCGCUGUGCCAACGGACAGUGUCCGGUGCACCUGGACCAUAUAGAGUCCAAACAGCCACUCUCGGGUUUUCCCAGGCGCGCUUCGCUAUAAUUCACCGGACUGUCCGGUGCACCAGCGGAGCAAUGGCUAACUCACGCAACGGUCGACUCUAACAAGUGAACAGUGCGUGCCAGAAGUCAGAGCAGAAGUCAAAGGCGUACCGGACAAUGUCAGGUGCCACAAGAAGACAACAGCUCCAACGGUCGACUGCUCCCUAACCCUAACGGUUGAGUGACGUGGCGACGCACUGGACAGCCUACAGUGCCUAUCUAGUGGCGCACCGGAGCAGCCAUCCCCCAACGGCCACUUGGUGGUUGAGGGCUAUAAAUACCCCCCAACCACCACAACACCAACAACCCAAGCAUUAUGAACAUUGCAUUCAAUACAAGAGCAAUAGACUCCACUCCAAGACACAAUCAANNNNNNNNNNNNNNNNNNNNNNNNNNNNNNNNNNNNNNNNNNNNNNNNNNNNNNNNNNNNNNNNNNNNNNNNNNNNNNNNNNNNNNNNNNNNNNNNNNNNNNNNNNNNNNNNNNNNNNNNNNNNNNNNNNNNNNNNNNNNNNNNNNNNNNNNNNNNNNNNNNNNNNNNNNNNNNNNNNNNNNNNNNNNNNNNNNNNNNNNNNNNNNNNNNNNNNNNNNNNNNNNNNNNNNNNNNNNNNNNNNNNNNNNNNNNNNNNNNNNNNNNNNNNNNNNNNNNNNNNNNNNNNNNNNNNNNNNNNNNNNNNNNNNNNNNNNNNNNNNNNNNNNNNNNNNNNNNNNNNNNNNNNNNNNNNNNNNNNNNNNNNNNNNNNNNNNNNNNNNNNNNNNNNNNNNNNNNNNNNNNNNNNNNNNNNNNNNNNNNNNNNNNNNNNNNNNNNNNNNNNNNNNNNNNNNNNNNNNNNNNNNNNNNNNNNNNNNNNNNNNNNNNNNNNNNNNNNNNNNNNNNNNNNNNNNNNNNNNNNNNNNNNNNNNNNNNNNNNNNNNNNNNNNNNNNNNNNNNNNNNNNNNNNNNNNNNNNNNNNNNNNNNNNNNNNNNNNNNNNNNNNNNNNNNNNNNNNNNNNNNNNNNNNNNNNNNNNNNNNNNNNNNNNNNNNNNNNNNNNNNNNNNNNNNNNNNNNNNNNNNNNNNNNNNNNNNNNNNNNNNNNNNNNNNNNNNNNNNNNNNNNNNNNNNNNNNNNNNNNNNNNNNNNNNNNNNNNNNNNNNNNNNNNNNNNNNNNNNNNNNNNNNNNNNNNNNNNNNNNNNNNNNNNNNNNNNNNNNNNNNNNNNNNNNNNNNNNNNNNNNNNNNNNNNNNNNNNNNNNNNNNNNNNNNNNNNNNNNNNNNNNNNNNNNNNNNNNNNNNNNNNNNNNNNNNNNNNNNNNNNNNNNNNNNNNNNNNNNNNNNNNNNNNNNNNNNNNNNNNNNNNNNNNNNNNNNNNNNNNNNNNNNNNNNNNNNNNNNNNNNNNNNNNNNNNNNNNNNNNNNNNNNNNNNNNNNNNNNNNNNNNNNNNNNNNNNNNNNNNNNNNNNNNNNNNNNNNNNNNNNNNNNNNNNNNNNNNNNNNNNNNNNNNNNNNNNNNNNNNNNNNNNNNNNNNNNNNNNNNNNNNNNNNNNNNNNNNNNNNNNNNNNNNNNNNNNNNNNNNNNNNNNNNNNNNNNNNNNNNNNNNNNNNNNNNNNNNNNNNNNNNNNNNNNNNNNNNNNNNNNNNNNNNNNNNNNNNNNNNNNNNNNNNNNNNNNNNNNNNNNNNNNNNNNNNNNNNNNNNNNNNNNNNNNNNNNNNNNNNNNNNNNNNNNNNNNNNNNNNNNNNNNNNNNNNNNNNNNNNNNNNNNNNNNNNNNNNNNNNNNNNNNNNNNNNNNNNNNNNNNNNNNNNNNNNNNNNNNNNNNNNNNNNNNNNNNNNNNNNNNNNNNNNNNNNNNNNNNNNNNNNNNNNNNNNNNNNNNNNNNNNNNNNNNNNNNNNNNNNNNNNNNNNNNNNNNNNNNNNNNNNNNNNNNNNNNNNNNNNNNNNNNNNNNNNNNNNNNNNNNNNNNNNNNNNNNNNNNNNNNNNNNNNNNNNNNNNNNNNNNNNNNNNNNNNNNNNNNNNNNNNNNNNNNNNNNNNNNNNNNNNNNNNNNNNNNNNNNNNNNNNNNNNNNNNNNNNNNNNNNNNNNNNNNNNNNNNNNNNNNNNNNNNNNNNNNNNNNNNNNNNNNNNNNNNNNNNNNNNNNNNNNNNNNNNNNNNNNNNNNNNNNNNNNNNNNNNNNNNNNNNNNNNNNNNNNNNNNNNNNNNNNNNNNNNNNNNNNNNNNNNNNNNNNNNNNNNNNNNNNNNNNNNNNNNNNNNNNNNNNNNNNNNNNNNNNNNNNNNNNNNNNNNNNNNNNNNNNNNNNNNNNNNNNNNNNNNNNNNNNNNNNNNNNNNNNNNNNNNNNNNNNNNNNNNNNNNNNNNNNNNNNNNNNNNNNNNNNNNNNNNNNNNNNNNNNNNNNNNNNNNNNNNNNNNNNNNNNNNNNNNNNNNNNNNNNNNNNNNNNNNNNNNNNNNNNNNNNNNNNNNNNNNNNNNNNNNNNNNNNNNNNNNNNNNNNNNNNNNNNNNNNNNNNNNNNNNNNNNNNNNNNNNNNNNNNNNNNNNNNNNNNNNNNNNNNNNNNNNNNNNNNNNNNNNNNNNNNNNNNNNNNNNNNNNNNNNNNNNNNNNNNNNNNNNNNNNNNNNNNNNNNNNNNNNNNNNNNNNNNNNNNNNNNNNNNNNNNNNNNNNNNNNNNNNNNNNNNNNNNNNNNNNNNNNNNNNNNNNNNNNNNNNNNNNNNNNNNNNNNNNNNNNNNNNNNNNNNNNNNNNNNNNNNNNNNNNNNNNNNNNNNNNNNNNNNNNNNNNNNNNNNNNNNNNNNNNNNNNNNNNNNNNNNNNNNNNNNNNNNNNNNNNNNNNNNNNNNNNNNNNNNNNNNNNNNNNNNNNNNNNNNNNNNNNNNNNNNNNNNNNNNNNNNNNNNNNNNNNNNNNNNNNNNNNNNNNNNNNNNNNNNNNNNNNNNNNNNNNNNNNNNNNNNNNNNNNNNNNNNNNNNNNNNNNNNNNNNNNNNNNNNNNNNNNNNNNNNNNNNNNNNNNNNNNNNNNNNNNNNNNNNNNNNNNNNNNNNNNNNNNNNNNNNNNNNNNNNNNNNNNNNNNNNNNNNNNNNNNNNNNNNNNNNNNNNNNNNNNNNNNNNNNNNNNNNNNNNNNNNNNNNNNNNNNNNNNNNNNNNNNNNNNNNNNNNNNNNNNNNNNNNNNNNNNNNNNNNNNNNNNNNNNNNNNNNNNNNNNNNNNNNNNNNNNNNNNNNNNNNNNNNNNNNNNNNNNNNNNNNNNNNNNNNNNNNNNNNNNNNNNNNNNNNNNNNNNNNNNNNNNNNNNNNNNNNNNNNNNNNNNNNNNNNNNNNNNNNNNNNNNNNNNNNNNNNNNNNNNNNNNNNNNNNNNNNNNNNNNNNNNNNNNNNNNNNNNNNNNNNNNNNNNNNNNNNNNNNNNNNNNNNNNNNNNNNNNNNNNNNNNNNNNNNNNNNNNNNNNNNNNNNNNNNNNNNNNNNNNNNNNNNNNNNNNNNNNNNNNNNNNNNNNNNNNNNNNNNNNNNNNNNNNNNNNNNNNNNNNNNNNNNNNNNNNNNNNNNNNNNNNNNNNNNNNNNNNNNNNNNNNNNNNNNNNNNNNNNNNNNNNNNNNNNNNNNNNNNNNNNNNNNNNNNNNNNNNNNNNNNNNNNNNNNNNNNNNNNNNNNNNNNNNNNNNNNNNNNNNNNNNNNNNNNNNNNNNNNNNNNNNNNNNNNNNNNNNNNNNNNNNNNNNNNNNNNNNNNNNNNNNNNNNNNNNNNNNNNNNNNNNNNNNNNNNNNNNNNNNNNNNNNNNNNNNNNNNNNNNNNNNNNNNNNNNNNNNNNNNNNNNNNNNNNNNNNNNNNNNNNNNNNNNNNNNNNNNNNNNNNNNNNNNNNNNNNNNNNNNNNNNNNNNNNNNNNNNNNNNNNNNNNNNNNNNNNNNNNNNNNNNNNNNNNNNNNNNNNNNNNNNNNNNNNNNNNNNNNNNNNNNNNNNNNNNNNNNNNNNNNNNNNNNNNNNNNNNNNNNNNNNNNNNNNNNNNNNNNNNNNNNNNNNNNNNNNNNNNNNNNNNNNNNNNNNNNNNNNNNNNNNNNNNNNNNNNNNNNNNNNNNNNNNNNNNNNNNNNNNNNNNNNNNNNNNNNNNNNNNNNNNNNNNNNNNNNNNNNNNNNNNNNNNNNNNNNNNNNNNNNNNNNNNNNNNNNNNNNNNNNNNNNNNNNNNNNNNNNNNNNNNNNNNNNNNNNNNNNNNNNNNNNNNNNNNNNNNNNNNNNNNNNNNNNNNNNNNNNNNNNNNNNNNNNNNNNNNNNNNNNNNNNNNNNNNNNNNNNNNNNNNNNNNNNNNNNNNNNNNNNNNNNNNNNNNNNNNNNNNNNNNNNNNNNNNNNNNNNNNNNNNNNNNNNNNNNNNNNNNNNNNNNNNNNNNNNNNNNNNNNNNNNNNNNNNNNNNNNNNNNNNNNNNNNNNNNNNNNNNNNNNNNNNNNNNNNNNNNNNNNNNNNNNNNNNNNNNNNNNNNNNNNNNNNNNNNNNNNNNNNNNNNNNNNNNNNNNNNNNNNNNNNNNNNNNNNNNNNNNNNNNNNNNNNNNNNNNNNNNNNNNNNNNNNNNNNNNNNNNNNNNNNNNNNNNNNNNNNNNNNNNNNNNNNNNNNNNNNNNNNNNNNNNNNNNNNNNNNNNNNNNNNNNNNNNNNNNNNNNNNNNNNNNNNNNNNNNNNNNNNNNNNNNNNNNNNNNNNNNNNNNNNNNNNNNNNNNNNNNNNNNNNNNNNNNNNNNNNNNNNNNNNNNNNNNNNNNNNNNNNNNNNNNNNNNNNNNNNNNNNNNNNNNNNNNNNNNNNNNNNNNNNNNNNNNNNNNNNNNNNNNNNNNNNNNNNNNNNNNNNNNNNNNNNNNNNNNNNNNNNNNNNNNNNNNNNNNNNNNNNNNNNNNNNNNNNNNNNNNNNNNNNNNNNNNNNNNNNNNNNNNNNNNNNNNNNNNNNNNNNNNNNNNNNNNNNNNNNNNNNNNNNNNNNNNNNNNNNNNNNNNNNNNNNNNNNNNNNNNNNNNNNNNNNNNNNNNNNNNNNNNNNNNNNNNNNNNNNNNNNNNNNNNNNNNNNNNNNNNNNNNNNNNNNNNNNNNNNNNNNNNNNNNNNNNNNNNNNNNNNNNNNNNNNNNNNNNNNNNNNNNNNNNNNNNNNNNNNNNNNNNNNNNNNNNNNNNNNNNNNNNNNNNNNNNNNNNNNNNNNNNNNNNNNNNNNNNNNNNNNNNNNNNNNNNNNNNNNNNNNNNNNNNNNNNNNNNNNNNNNNNNNNNNNNNNNNNNNNNNNNNNNNNNNNNNNNNNNNNNNNNNNNNNNNNNNNNNNNNNNNNNNNNNNNNNNNNNNNNNNNNNNNNNNNNNNNNNNNNNNNNNNNNNNNNNNNNNNNNNNNNNNNNNNNNNNNNNNNNNNNNNNNNNNNNNNNNNNNNNNNNNNNNNNNNNNNNNNNNNNNNNNNNNNNNNNNNNNNNNNNNNNNNNNNNNNNNNNNNNNNNNNNNNNNNNNNNNNNNNNNNNNNNNNNNNNNNNNNNNNNNNNNNNNNNNNNNNNNNNNNNNNNNNNNNNNNNNNNNNNNNNNNNNNNNNNNNNNNNNNNNNNNNNNNNNNNNNNNNNNNNNNNNNNNNNNNNNNNNNNNNNNNNNNNNNNNNNNNNNNNNNNNNNNNNNNNNNNNNNNNNNNNNNNNNNNNNNNNNNNNNNNNNNNNNNNNNNNNNNNNNNNNNNNNNNNNNNNNNNNNNNNNNNNNNNNNNNNNNNNNNNNNNNNNNNNNNNNNNNNNNNNNNNNNNNNNNNNNNNNNNNNNNNNNNNNNNNNNNNNNNNNNNNNNNNNNNNNNNNNNNNNNNNNNNNNNNNNNNNNNNNNNNNNNNNNNNNNNNNNNNNNNNNNNNNNNNNNNNNNNNNNNNNNNNNNNNNNNNNNNNNNNNNNNNNNNNNNNNNNNNNNNNNNNNNNNNNNNNNNNNNNNNNNNNNNNNNNNNNNNNNNNNNNNNNNNNNNNNNNNNNNNNNNNNNNNNNNNNNNNNNNNNNNNNNNNNNNNNNNNNNNNNNNNNNNNNNNNNNNNNNNNNNNNNNNNNNNNNNNNNNNNNNNNNNNNNNNNNNNNNNNNNNNNNNNNNNNNNNNNNNNNNNNNNNNNNNNNNNNNNNNNNNNNNNNNNNNNNNNNNNNNNNNNNNNNNNNNNNNNNNNNNNNNNNNNNNNNNNNNNNAGAUAGAACCUAUGAUGAGCAAGGAUCAACCACGUUGAGAAGAAACGCAUAAGAGAUUGAAUCAUGCACUUCAACCGUUCAUAUGAGCGGUUCAACUACAAUGAACAAUAUCAAAUCGCUAAUCUCAAACAGUGUUUGUGACAAAAUGAAGAUAGUCUAAGUGUUGCAAUCACUUAAACCAAAAUGUACCCAACGAAUGAUACAUAAGAUAAUCAAGAAUGCGUAGGAUCGAGUACAAGAAAAUAACAUAGAACAAUACCUCGAUCCAAAGAUGGGGGGCAAGAUCUCUCAACGAGAAGGAGGAAGAUGGUGGAAACACGCCGGGAAGAACGGAUCUCCAACCACACUUCCAAACGGGUGAGAGCUCGAGAGAGUUUGGAGAGGAGAGAGGAAAGACAGAAGUGGCGACGGCGGCUGGAAACAGGGCUGAGAAGGGAAGAGAAGAGAGGGAGAGGUAUAAAAAAGGAGAGGAGUCGGCCGCCAGAAAGCCGAAAACCGGUUCAACCGGUUUCAAAACCGGUUCAACCGGUUUCGGGUCAAACGGCACAGUAAAAGCGCGCAGAAAACAGUGUUGACUGCGCGCAAAACCUGGCAGUCUGACAGCACAGACUGCAAAACUGACAGCGCAGACUGCGCAGCUGUCAGCGCAGACUACGCGCGGACUGACGGCGCGACGGCCAAAACCGGUUCAGCCGGUUUUUAGACCGGUUCAACCGGUUUCCACCAGGACGAAACCGGUUGAGUGGCCUACUCAGCCGGUUUACUCAACCAGAUUUCAAAUAUUGCCUGGAAGGGCUGUAAUAUCACCUAGCAAUUAUGACAUGAGAUAUUAUAAAGAUAAAAAUGACAUUCUCAAUUCAUAUUGCUCAAACAAACAAUUUUCAAUCAUCAAAUUUGAUCAAAUUUUAGUUAUUAAGUCACGUUUCGAGAAUCCAAGAUAUUUAGCUCACUCCUAAGAAAACAAAACCUAGUCUCAUCAAGGGGUUUUGUGAAGAUAUCGGCUAGUUGAUUUUCGGUGCUCUCAUGAAAAAGUUCGAUAUCUCCUUUGGCUUCAUGGUCUCUCAAGAAAUGGUGUCUAAUGUCAAUAUGUUUAGUUCUAGAGUGUUGCACUGGAUUGUUUGCAAGUUUUAUGGCACUCUCAUUGUCACACAAAGAGGAAUUUUGUUAAACUCACAACCAAAAUCUCUAAGGGUUUGCUUCAUCCAUAACAACUGUGCACAACAUGCCCCAGCUGCUAUGUAUUCAGCUUCUGCAGUGGAGAGUGCAACACAAUUUUGUUUCUUGGAACUCCAUGACACUAAGGACCGCCCAAGGAAUUGGCAAGUCCCAGUAGUGCUUUUUCGAUCUACUUUGCAACCGGCAUAAUCUGAGUCAGAAUAGCCAAGCAAAUCGAAAAAGGAGCCUUUAGGAUACCAUAAUCCUAGGUUUUGGGUGUGGACUAAGUAUCUUAGAAUUCUCUUAACGGCUACAAGAUGACAGUCUUUAGGAUUUGCUUGAAAACGUGCACACAUACAAACACUCAACAUAAUAUCAGGCCUAGAUGCACAUAAGUAAAGCAGUGAUCCUAUCAUUGAUCUAUAUAAUUUUUGAUCUACAGGUUUACCUUCCUCAUUUAGGUCGAGAUGUCCAUUUGAUGACAUUGGAGUCUUGGCGUGCUUUGCUUUUUCCAUGCCAAACUUCUUGAGCAUAUCUUGAGUAUAUUUAGUUUGGCAUAAAAAGGUACCUUCCUUGAGUUGUUUGACUUGAAAUCCCAGGAAGUACUUAAGCUCGCCCAUCAUAGACAUCUCAAACCUGUUCGUCAUUACUUUGCUAAACUCUUCACAAAAUUUUUCAUUAGUACUACCAAAUAUAAUGUCAUCAACAUAUAUUUGGCACACAAAUAAUUCAUUAUCAACUUUUCGAGUAAACAAAGUAGAGUCAGCUUUUCCUAUUGUAAACCCAUUUUUAAUUAGAAAAUCUUUAAGACAAUCAUACCAAGCUCUAGGGGCUUGUUUAAGCCCGUAGAGUGCCUUGUGAAGAAGAUAAACAUGAUUUGGCUUCUUUGGGUCUUCGAAGCCCGGUGGUUGCUCCACAUAUACUCUUUCUUGUAGUGGUCCAUUUAGAAAAGCGCUCUUGACAUCCAUUUGAUAUAGCUUGAAAUCAUGGUUAGUAGCAUAGGCAAUUAAUAUUCUAAUUGAUUCUAACCUUGCUAUCGGCGCAUAUGUUUCACCAAAGUCAAGUCCUUCCACUUGAGUAUAGCCUUGGGCAACCAACCUUGCCUUGUUUCUUGUAACAACGCCAUUUUCAUCUUGCUUGUUCCUAAAGACCCAUUUAGUCCCAAUCACAUUUUGUUUGGGUCUUUGGACUAAGGACCAGACUUCAUUCCUAGUGAAGUUGUUCAACUCCUCUUGCAUCGCAGUUAUCCAAUCCGGAUCACCCAAUGCUUCUUCAACCUUAAGUGGCUCAAGAGAGGAAACAAACGAGUAAAAUUCACAAAAAUUAGCUAAACGUGAUCGAGUCGUUACCCCUCUCCUGAUGCUACCCAGGAUGUUGUCCACCGGAUGAUCCCUUUGAAUUGAAUGAUGGACUCUUGGAUGAGGCACUGAUGGAUGUCUUUGUAUUUGCUCUUCCUCAUCAGUUACUUGAUCAAGACGCACUUCACCAUCAAUAUUUUCUUGUUCAUCUUCUACCACUGUUGGCAUCCUUUGAUGAUUUUCUUCGUGGUUUGGAUGACUUGAGGUUGAUGGGUUUGCUUGGGUGGAGACAUUGUCACUCACCACCCUUGCACCCACAUCAACUACCUCAUUGGUCAUCCACAAGGUUCCUUCUUCAUCAUCCCUUUCUUGAGGUCUCACCUCACCUAUGGCAAGUUUCUUUAUGGCCUCACAAGGUAGUUUUUCAUUUCCUGCAGUGUCAUUAGAAACAUGCCCUUGCGAGCCAUUAGACUCAUCAAAUGUCACGUCUAUCGCUAUUUCAACAAGACCGGUGGAAUUGUUGAAAACACGAUAUCCAUGCGCAUUUGAUGCAUAACCAAGCAAGAAACCCUCGUCCACUCUAGGAGCAAACUUUGAGCUCUUGACUUUCUUGUUAAGAAUAAAACAUUUACAACCGAAUACUCUAAAAUAAUCAACUUUAGGUUUGUUACCAGUGAGAAGCUCAUAGGCAGUCUUUUUGUAGAUCUUAUGAAGAUAGAGGCGGUUGAUUGCAUGACAGGCGGUGUUGACCGCCUCUGCCCAGAAGUUGUCAGGUGUCUUGUAUUCAUCCAACAUGGUUCUUGCAGCUUCAAUUAGAGUCCGGUUCUUUCUUUCCACAACACCAUUUUGUUGUGGAGUGUAAGGCACCGAGAACUCAUGCUUGAUUCCCUCUUCUCCUAAGAAUUCUUCGACACCUGUGUUCUUGAAUUCCGUCCCAUUAUCGCUUCUCACUUUCUUGAUUUUGAGCUCAAAUUCAUUUUGAGCUCUCCUCAUGAAUUUCUUUAAGAUUUCUUGAGUUUCACCUUUGUCACUCAAAAAGAAAACCCAAGUGAAUCGAGAAAAAUCAUCAACAAUAACUAAACCAUACUUACUACCACCAAUGCUAAUGUAGGCCACAGGUCCGAAGAGGUCCAUGUGAAGAAGCUCCAAUGGCCUCUUUGUUGUGACCACAUUCUUUGAUUGAUGUGGGACUCCAUGUUGCUUUCCUGCUUGGCAUGCGCCACAAACCCUAUCUUUCUCAAAUACAACAUUGGUUAGUCCAAUGAUGUGAUUAUCCUUUUGAAGUUUGGCCAAAUUCCUCAUACCGACAUGGGCUAGCCGGCGAUGCCAUAGCCAACCCUUGUCGGAUUUUGCCACUAAACAAGUCUCAGGCGUCACUUUACUUGUUGUGAAAUCAACAAGAUAAAGUUUACCCUUCAAGCGACCUGUAAAGGCAACUGAGGAGUCCUCCCUUCUAAGGAUUUUCACAUCCACAUUCGAAAAUAAGCAAUUAUAACCCAUUCCACAAAGUUGUGAAACAGACAACAAAUUAUAGCUCAAGGAAUCUACUAAUAAAACAUUUGAAAGUGAUUGUUGGUCAGAGAUAGGAAUUUUACCAAUACCAAUCACCUUACUCUUGCCACUAUCUCCAAACACAAUUUCUUGUGCUUCUUGAGUUAGUUGCAAUGUAUGAAACAUGUCUUUCUCCCCGGUCAUGUGAUUUGUACAUCCACUGUCAAGCACCCAACUUGACCCACCAGAGGAGUAGACCUGCAAAACAAGUUUAGGCUAUACUUUUAGGUACCCAAAUUGAAUUGGGUCCUACAGUGUUAGUUAUAGCCUUGGGUACCCACACACUUCUUUUCAUGACUUUUUGUUUAGUGUAGGCACCCACAUAUUUCACAACUAAUUUCCCUGAAUCCCAAGUCAACAUAUAAUCACAAAGAUAUGAGUGGGAAAUGGGAGCAUUAGAUUUUUGUCCACUUGAGGAUCCCACUUCCUUCAUCUUACUCUUUGUGGAACUCAAGUUAACCUUUACCUGAGAUGACUUGUCAUUUGAGGAGUGGAUCCUCCCCAAGGCAUCAUAUAGAGUGGUUCCCUCUAUGAACUUGGGGGAUCUCCACCCCUUAUGCACUGUGCUAGGGUUUUCCUUGGAUGAAUUGAACCCAAGCCCCCUUCUACCAUUGUUGGACUUAAGGGACUUGUACUUGGGUUCAACUUUCUUUAACCCAUCAUUGCUAGAGCAUCUUUUCAAAAUUUCUUUGACCUUCACCUGUGGGCUUUGCUUCCUUGCAUGGUUAGUUAGACAACAAGAAGCAUGAUAUUUGGCACAAUGCUUGCAAGAAUUAUCAUUAGAGCUAGACUUAGAUUCAAAUACUAAAGUGGGGGCAUUGAUGUUCUUGCAAUUUUCAAGUUGCACUUGAAGUUCUUGAUUUUGAACAUUCAAGCUUAACAUGCUUGAUUCAAGUGCAUUCUUUUCAUUUGCAAGGUUAUCAAUAGAGGUUUUCAAGUUAAUUACUUCUAUAUCUUUAUUGUGAAUCAACUCUUGAAGCUCUAGGUUUCUUUCCUUUUCAAGGAUAAGCAAGUCUUCUUGAGCAUCAAGAGUUGCCUUUCUUUUAUCUAGCUUUUCCAUUAAUUUUGUGAUAACAUUGUAUCCAUUUAAGCCAAAUUCUUUAAUCAUUUUAUUUUUCAUGGCAAUUUGAUCAUCAUCAUCAUCAUUUGAAAAAUCAUUACUAAAUAAAGUUACCUUAUCUCCUUUUGCCAUGAGGCAAGUUGGAAUGUAGGAGUCGUCUUGAAGGUUGGUGAAGAGUUGCGCGCUUGAGGUAGAUUGGAUGGCCACAUUUGCCACCACUUCCUCUUCCUCGGAGCUAGAACUCUCAUCAUCGGAGUUCCAUUCUUCACCAAUAUGAGCUUGUCCAUACUUCUUCUUCUUGAAGUAUCCCUUGGUCUUGCCUCCCUUUUUAAACUUAUCCUUCUUGUAUUCCUUCUUGGCUUCUUGUUCCUUCUUGUUAGGACAAUCCGCUAUGAAAUGACCGGUUUGGCCACAUUCAUAGCAUGCCCUCUUCUUUCCUUUCCUUUGGAACUUGUCAUUCUUCCUUACAAAUUUCUUGAAAGUUUUGAUGAACAUAGCUGUGUCUUCAUCACUUGAGCUAUCUUCAUCACUUGAGGUCUCGACCACUUUCUUUGCUUUGUGGUCUUUGCUCUUCUUGAGAUUGUCUUGUUCAUUUGUGAUCAAGGCAUGAGAGUCUCUUGUCUUGAUGGGGGCUUCCUCGGACUCGUGUUGUUGAAUUUUUGCAAAUAGUUGAUGAGGCAUCAUGUCCUCAUAAUCAUCACGAUCCCUUAUCAUCCUUGCAAGACUUUUAUCUUUCUCUUUAUAAGCUCUCAUGAACAAUCUUGUGGCCUUGGAGUCACUCCAAUCUUCACUCCCAAGUACUCUUAUUUUGUUGACCAAUACCAUCAAUCGAUCAAAGAGUGAUUGGAGCGACUCACCCUUUGUCCAAUCAUACCUUGCAAGCUCACUUUCCAAAGCUUCAACUCUAUGUCUUUUAGCUUUGGGAUCUCCUUCAUGUGACAUUCUAAGAAUGUUCCAAAUGUCACGAGCAUCUUCUCUUCCUUGAACUUUCCGGUAUUCUUCCGGACAAAGACUUCCUUUGAUUAUGCUCACUGCUUGAGCAUUUCGAUGAACCUCUUGCAUCAUUUCCGGAGUCAUCUCUUCUCCUUGGGCGGGCUUAUACAUACCUACAUUAACAAUCUCCCAAAGACUAGGAUGCACACCGAUUAAAUGCGACUUCAUCUUGUCGGCCCACUCAUCAUAGUUCAACUCACUAAGAGUUGGUAACUUUCCAAGUGGGGCGGAAGAGAAGUUGGGAAUAUAAUUUCUAGAGUAAUCGAAUUGAACUUUGCUAAAGUCAUUACCUUUGCUUUUGGUAGAUGAUCCUUCGGUGUUGAAACUUACCUUGCUCAAUACCUUAGACACCAAAAGGUCCACUAGAUCGUCAUUAUAAUCAAACGUUCCCUUACCUUUACCUUCUUCGGCCUUUCUUCUUGUUUCCUCUUCUUCGGCCUUUUUCCUAGCAUCUUCCUCUUUCAUUUUGAGGAACAUUUUCUCGGCAAUCUUCAUGGCGAGGUCGAGGACCUUGGGGUCCACUUCCUCACCGGAAGAUGUGACGGGGAUUUCCUCGAGAAGAGGAUCCACAUGGUCCCGUUGUGUAGACAUGAUCGUUUCCUCACGCGGUUAAGCGUAAAACGAGGCACGAAGCUCUGAUACCAAUUGAAAGUAGCCUAGAGGGGGGGGUGAAUAGGCUACACCUGAAAAUUUUCACUAAAAACUUCGAAAUAGGUUAAAUUAAAGUUGCACAGGUGCAAACCGGUUCAGCCGAUUUUAAUCACAACUGAACAAGUUUGAACCCACUCAACUUGAAUUUAAUAAUCUAUUGAACAAAUUAAAAGUAGUAAAGAAAAUAGCUAAAGAUUUGCCCUACACAAGAACUACUUGAAUGAAUAAUAUGAACCAACCACCGAAUAUGAAAUGCUUAUCAAGAACACACAAGAACACGCGAUAUAACCCGAGGUUCGGCAACCACCACAAAGGUGUCCUACUCCUCGUUGAGGAACCCACAAAGGGCCGGGUCUUUUCCAACCCUAAUCCUCCACAAGCCGACCACAAAGGUCAAGGCAAUCUCUUCUCAAAUCUGCUCAAGGAGCGGGUGAUACAAACUUCUUGGGGUCGUCCACAAAUUUGGAGACUCCCAAGCAACCUCUAACCGUCAAGGAACACGAGGUUCCAAGAGUAACAAAUCCGCACACGGUUAAGUUUGCAACGAGCUCAAGAACAAGAGAAUGGGAGAAUCGAGAUGAAAUAGACAGCGAGUUCGAUCGAGUUCACCUCACACCAAGGGUCCUUCAAAUGAUUGAAGGAGAUGCGAUUGCGGGUGUGAGAGGUGAAGUGAAUGCUCUUGUUUGAGGGUUGGUCAGCCAAAGAUUCGUGGGAGAGGCAGUAGUUAAUGAGAGAGAGAGUGUGAGGGGGUAUAUAAAGGAUCCCCCAAAAGCUGGCAGCCGUUGGGAGGAAAAGGGCAAAAACCGGUUGAACCGGUUUUCAAACCGGUUGAACCGGUUUCUACCAGGGGGAUCCCGGUCCACUGGUCUACUCAGCCGGACACUCGACCGGUUUCAAAACCGGCUGAGUAGGAUCAAAUUUCGUCUCAACCGGUUUCAGAAAAAUAUCUGCUGCGACUUUUCUGACAGCUCUGACUGUCAGACAGGUCAGAGCAGAGGUGGCAGGAUGAACAGUACCAAAACCGGUUGAACCGGUUUCUGGACCGGUUGAACCGGUUUUGGGGGCUGAAACCAAACUUUGAGAAUUUGAAGAGAACUUAGGUGGAGACUUUGUGGGAAGUGAAAUUUGUUUUUCUCAAGAGCAUUCAUGAUCUGGAAAAGAUGAUUCUCAAAUGAGUUUUCAAAAGAAUUGAACUUGGCUCGUUUCACAACUUACUUAACCGUCGCGGAUCCCUCUUAAUUGUACGGCGAUUCCUAUGAUUCAAGAAUUUUAAACUUAGUACCGCCGACGUUUCAUAGCACUUGGAGCACGCCAUUUGAUGUGGAAAUUUAAAUCCGCUGUGCUUUAUACUUUUAUGCUCGUAGGAUCUGUGCUUCUCCUGUCUGUAAAAAUACUGUGUACACACUAGGAGCAAACUUGUUAGAAUCUUAGUUUGUUUUGUCAUUAAUCACCAAAACCCUCAAUAGGGUUGAUUGCACUUACAAUCUCCCCCUUUUUGGUGAUUGAUGCCAAAACAAACUAGAAUGGAAAUAAUAAUUAAAAGUUACACAUACUUGUGAUAAAAGUCUUUUGUGUAUAUGUAGCUCCCCCUAAAUAUGUGCAUGAGUUUUGCGAUAUUCACAUUGACUUGAUAUGUCAAUUUGCAACAUAUUUAGAGAGAGAACAAUCAACACCAUACACAAAAAAAUGAUGAGAUAUGAAACAUAAUUGAAUAUAAAGAGUAAAAGCACAUUCAAGCUCAUCAUCGCAUAGCAUAUGAUAUGAAAAAGGUCUACAGCUAUUACAAUAGUGAGAGCUCGUCUCAACACAUCAUCAAGUGUUUAUGGCUUCCAAGCCAUGCAUGCAGCAAAUAGUAGUUAUUACAGACCAAGUGUUCAUUACAAAAAUAAAGUACUGAAUAGUAAACGUUCUCCCCCUUUUUGGCACCAAGAACCAAAAAGAGAGAGAGAGACGCGUCAAGCCACGAAUCACCAGUGGGGAGGAGGUUGAUGAGGAGCAAAGAGGUGUUGCGCCAGGUCGUAGGCAAAAUGUUCCUCUCCAGACUGGGCCGGAGGAGGAGCACUGCCAGACGGGUCCUGGGCGGAGGGUAAGAGGACGAUUGACUCGGAUCCCCGCGAUAUGGGGGAGGGUCAAACUGCUCCGGAUCAUCAAAAUAGGUUUCUUCUUCGACGUCAUCGGCUGAAGAGAAAGGUACCCCAUACGCCUGCUGGUACCACUCAUUCACAUCUGGAGGAGGAGGGUGAAGAGGUACAUCAGGAGAGCGAGGGGCGAAGGGAGUACCCAAAGCAGAAGCUUGACGACGAAGGUUGUCGUCGGUCUCCCGCUGACGUCGAGCCACCUCAUGGACAUCUGCGGCAAUAUUUCGGCACAUGGAGAAGAAGGCCGCAAACCCGUGGGCCAGGCGGGCACCCAUCCCACGUCCACGACCUCGACCACGACCACGACCACGUGGUGUGGGAGAUCCGCGGCCAGGGGAAGAGCGCGAGGCACCACCAGCAGCAGCAGCAGCACCAGCACCGGCAGACGGACCAGCAGAUGUAGGACCACGGGAACUGGAGGGAGCUUUCCUGAGACGCCCAGCUGGAUUGUUGGGAUCAAUCCAGAAGGGAGUGUAUGACUGAUGUCGGGUGCCUUUCUCAAAUCUGAAUUGGGUCACGACCUCAAUCAUCUUCAUAAUGAAUGGGGCAUGAAGACACCCCUUCAAAGGAAAGCAGGCUGCAUGAAUGAUCUCCUGCCAAAUCAUGUCAAAGACAUUAAUCCUUUCUGAGCUGUUUGGUUUCAUAAAAGAGAGCAAGACUUUGCUCUCGCCAAGGAUGUUCAUCUGAUUUCCCCCUUUUGGAAUGAGGGUCAUCCUGCAGAGGGAGUUGAUAUAGCGAUAAUACUUGUGAAUGUUGGUUGACUCCCAAUACUUUCCAGACUCAGACAAAUGAAGGUCCUUGGCUUCAUCUCUUGUGGGCUGACGGAAAUCAUGAAUCUUGAUCCUGUCUCCAGAUAUAUCCUCGUCAGAAAAACCAAGAAUGUGAGCAAAUCGACGAUAGCUCACCUUGUACCAACUACCUUCAAUGAAGAAGUUUAGAUAGGGGUAGUUGUAAUGGCUCUCCUCAUCAGCCAGCUUUAUCCAGAGAGUGGAAUAAAAUUGUGCAAUCACUUCAUCAUUCCAAUCAUAAUGGAAUGUCAUGAUGUUCUUCAUUUGCUUCCUUUCACAGGCCCUCAGUGCCUGUGACAUCUCUGGGUCUCCAAUUGCUUCGCAACCUUCCCAGUUAAUAUAACGUUGAUGAAGGAUGGGCUGAUGCUUCUUGGGAAGAAUAACUGAAUUAUAGAAAUCAACAUGGUGAAGAGUCCAGAAACGAUUUCCAUCGAUCCUGGCAUCGUGAAUACGCAAUACCGGAUUUUGGAAACGCAGAUCCUGGAGAAGUGCAGACCCUCCACUGGCCGUGAAGUCCGUGACUGGCUCAUUGCCAGCACGCCGAGCCUCGGCCCGGUGGAGCACCAAGCCGCGAAUCACAGGAGCCGACGCGGGGGGAAGAUCAACCUCAUCGUCCUUCCCACCGUCAUCGUCACUUGCAGGCUCCCACGCCUGCGGAUUCGUGGCAGGUCGAGACCUACCGGAGGGAGUCCGGGAAGUCCGACCCCGAGCACUUUGAGACCCGGAGGCCUCAGUACCCGGCAUGACAUUUCCACAUCUGCGCCCUCGCUUGGAUCGAGAGCGAGGAGGGGUAUCACCAUGGAUCUCCUGUUCAUCCAAAGAGUCGGAUUCUACCACUGACGGGUUCCUUCGUCGCACCAUUCUAAGAAAUAAGAGAUAGAACCUAUGAUGAGCAAGGAUCAACCACGCUUGAGAAGAAACGCAUAAGAGAUUGAAUCAUGCACUUCAACCGUUCAUAUGAGCGGUUCAACUACAAUGAACAAUAUCAAAUCGCUAAUCUCAAACAGUGUUUGUGACAAAAUGAAGAUAGUCUAAGUGUUGCAAUCACUUAAACCAAAAUGUACCCAACGAAUGAUACAUAAGAUAAUCAAGAAUGCGUAGGAUCGAGUACAAGAAAAUAACAUAGAACAAUACCUCGAUCCGAAGAUGGGGGGCAAGAUCUCUCAACGAGAAGGAGGAAGAUGGUGGAAACACGCCGGGAAGAACGGAUCUCCAACCACACUUCCAAACGGGUGAGAGCUCGAGAGAGUUUGGAGAGGAGAGAGGAAAGACAGAAGUGGCGGCGGCGGCUGGAAACAGGGCUGAGAAGGGAAGAGAAGAGAGGGAGAGGUAUAAAAAAGGAGAGGAGUCGGCCGCCAGAAAGCCGAAAACCGGUUCAACCGGUUUCAAAACCGGUUCAACCGGUUUCGGGUCAAACGGCGCAGUAAAAGCGCGUAGAAAACAGUGUUGACUGCGCGCAAAACCUGGCAGUCUGACAGCACAGACUGCAAAACUGACAGCGCAGACUGCGCAGCUGUCAGCGCAGACUACGCGCGGACUGACGGCGCGACGGCCAAAACCGGUUCAGCCGGUUUUUAGACCGGUUCAACCGGUUUCCACCAGGACGAAACCGGUUGAGUGGCCUACUCAGCCGGUUUACUCAACCAGAUUUCAAAUAUUGCCUGGAAGGGCUGUAAUAUCACUUAGCAAUUAUGACAUGAGAUAUUAUAAAGAUAAAAAUGACAUUUCUCAAUUCAUAUUGCUCAAACAAACAAUUUUCAAUCAUCAAAUUUGAUCAAAAUUUUAUUUAUUAAGUCACGUUUCGAGAAUCCAAGAUAUUUAGCUCACUCCUAAGAAAACAAAACCUAGUCUCAUCAAGGGGUUUUGUGAAGAUAUCGGCUAGUUGAUUUUCGGUGCUCUCAUGAAAAAGUUCGAUAUCUCCUUUGGCUUCAUGGUCUCUCAAGAAAUGGUGUCUAAUGUCAAUAUGUUUAGUUCUAGAGUGUUGCACUGGAUUGUUUGCAAGUUUUAUGGCACUCUCAUUGUCACACAAAAGAGGAAUUUUGUUAAACUCACAACCAAAAUCUCUAAGGGUUUGCUUCAUCCAUAACAACUGUGCACAACAUGCCCCAGCUGCUAUGUAUUCAGCUUCUGCAGUGGAGAGUGCAACACAAUUUUGUUUCUUGGAACUCCAUGACACUAAGGACCGCCCAAGGAAUUGGCAAGUCCCAGUAGUGCUUUUUCGAUCUACUUUGCAACCGGCAUAAUCUGAGUCAGAAUAGCCAAGCAAAUCGAAAAAGGAGCCUUUAGGAUACCAUAAUCCUAGGUUUUGGGUGUGGACUAAGUAUCUUAGAAUUCUCUUAACGGCUACAAGAUGACAGUCUUUAGGAUUUGCUUGAAAACGUGCACACAUACAAACACUCAACAUAAUAUCAGGCCUAGAUGCACAUAAGUAAAGCAGUGAUCCUAUCAUUGAUCUAUAUAAUUUUUGAUCUACAGGUUUACCUUCCUCAUUUAGGUCGAGAUGUCCAUUUGAUGACAUUGGAGUCUUGGCGUGCUUUGCUUUUUCCAUGCCAAACUUCUUGAGCAUAUCUUGAGUAUAUUUAGUUUGGCAUAAAAAGGUACCUUCCUUGAGUUGUUUGACUUGAAAUCCCAGGAAGUACUUAAGCUCGCCCAUCAUAGACAUCUCAAACCUGUUCGUCAUUACUUUGCUAAACUCUUCACAAAAUUUUUCAUUAGUACUACCAAAUAUAAUGUCAUCAACAUAUAUUUGGCACACAAAUAAUUCAUUAUCAACUUUUCGAGUAAACAAAGUAGAGUCAGCUUUUCCUAUUGUAAACCCAUUUUUAAUUAGAAAAUCUUUAAGACAAUCAUACCAAGCUCUAGGGGCUUGUUUAAGCCCGUAGAGUGCCUUGUGAAGAAGAUAAACAUGAUUUGGCUUCUUUGGGUCUUCGAAGCCCGGUGGUUGCUCCACAUAUACUCUUUCUUGUAGUGGUCCAUUUAGAAAAGCGCUCUUGACAUCCAUUUGAUAUAGCUUGAAAUCAUGGUUAGUAGCAUAGGCAAUUAAUAUUCUAAUUGAUUCUAACCUUGCUACCGGCGCAUAUGUUUCACCAAAGUCAAGUCCUUCCACUUGAGUAUAGCCUUGGGCAACCAACCUUGCCUUGUUUCUUGUAACAACGCCAUUUUCAUCUUGCUUGUUCCUAAAGACCCAUUUAGUCCCAAUCACAUUUUGUUUGGGUCUUUGGACUAAGGACCAGACUUCAUUCCUAGUGAAGUUGUUCAACUCCUCUUGCAUCGCAGUUAUCCAAUCCGGAUCACCCAAUGCUUCUUCAACCUUAAGUGGCUCAAGAGAGGAAACAAACGAGUAAAAUUCACAAAAAUUAGCUAAACGUGAUCGAGUCGUUACCCCUCUCCUGAUGCUACCCAGGAUGUUGUCCACCGGAUGAUCCCUUUGAAUUGAAUGAUGGACUCUUGGAUGAGGCACUGAUGGAUGUCUUUGUAUUUGCUCUUCCUCAUCAGUUACUUGAUCAAGACGCACUUCACCAUCAAUAUUUUCUUGUUCAUCUUCUACCACUGUUGGCAUCCUUUGAUGAUUUUCUUCGUGGUUUGGAUGACUUGAGGUUGAUGGGUUUGCUUGGGUGGAGACAUUGUCACUCACCACCCUUGCACCCACAUCAACUACCUCAUUGGUCAUCCACAAGGUUCCUUCUUCAUCAUCCCUUUCUUGAGGUCUCACCUCACCUAUGGCAAGUUUCUUUAUGGCCUCACAAGGUAGUUUUUCAUUUCCUGCAGUGUCAUUAGAAACAUGCCCUUGCGAGCCAUUAGACUCAUCAAAUGUCACGUCUAUCGCUAUUUCAACAAGACCGGUGGAAUUGUUGAAAACACGAUAUCCAUGCGCAUUUGAUGCAUAACCAAGCAAGAAACCCUCGUCCACUCUAGGAGCAAACUUUGAGCUCUUGACUUUCUUGUUAAGAAUAAAACAUUUACAACCGAAUACUCUAAAAUAAUCAACUUUAGGUUUGUUACCAGUGAGAAGCUCAUAGGCAGUCUUUUUGUAGAUCUUAUGAAGAUAGAGGCGGUUGAUUGCAUGACAGGCGGUGUUGACCGCCUCUGCCCAGAAGUUGUCAGGUGUCUUGUAUUCAUCCAACAUGGUUCUUGCAGCUUCAAUUAGAGUCCGGUUCUUUCUUUCCACAACACCAUUUUGUUGUGGAGUGUAAGGCACCGAGAACUCAUGCUUGAUUCCCUCUUCUCCUAAGAAUUCUUCGACACCUGUGUUCUUGAAUUCCGUCCCAUUAUCGCUUCUCACUUUCUUGAUUUUGAGCUCAAAUUCAUUUUGAGCUCUCCUCAUGAAUUUCUUUAAGAUUUCUUGAGUUUCACCUUUGUCACUCAAAAAGAAAACCCAAGUGAAUCGAGAAAAAUCAUCAACAAUAACUAAACCAUACUUACUACCACCAAUGCUAAUGUAGGCCACAGGUCCGAAGAGGUCCAUGUGAAGAAGCUCCAAUGGCCUCUUUGUUGUGACCACAUUCUUUGAUUGAUGUGGGACUCCAUGUUGCUUUCCUGCUUGGCAUGCGCCACAAACCCUAUCUUUCUCAAAUACAACAUUGGUUAGUCCAAUGAUGUGAUUAUCCUUUUGAAGUUUGGCCAAAUUCCUCAUACCGACAUGGGCUAGCCGGCGAUGCCAUAGCCAACCCUUGUCGGAUUUUGCCACUAAACAAGUCUCAGGCGUCACUUUACUUGUUGUGAAAUCAACAAGAUAAAGUUUACCCUUCAAGCGACCUAUAAAGGCAACUGAGGAGUCCUCCCUUCUAAGGAUUUUCACAUCCACAUUCGAAAAUAAGCAAUUAUAACCCAUUCCACAAAGUUGUGAAACGGACAACAAAUUAUAGCUCAAGGAAUCUACUAAUAAAACAUUUGAAAGUGAUUGUUGGUCAGAGAUAGGAAUUUUACCAAUACCAAUCACCUUACUCUUGCCACUAUCUCCAAACACAAUUUCUUGUGCUUCUUGAGUUAGUUGCAAUGUAUGAAACAUGUCUUUCUCCCCGGUCAUGUGAUUUGUACAUCCACUGUCAAGCACCCAACUUGACCCACCAGAGGAGUAGACCUGCAAAACAAGUUUAGGCUAUACUUUUAGGUACCCAAAUUGAAUUGGGUCCUACAGUGUUAGUUAUAGCCUUGGGUACCCACACACUUCUUUUCAUGACUUUUUGUUUAGUGUAGGCACCCACAUAUUUCACAACUAAUUUCCCUGAAUCCCAAGUCAACAUAUAAUCACAAAGAUAUGAGUGGGAAAUGGGAGCAUUAGAUUUUUGUCCACUUGAGGAUCCCACUUCCUUCAUCUUACUCUUUGUGGAACUCAAGUUAACCUUUACCUGAGAUGACUUGUCAUUUGAGGAGUGGAUCCUCCCCAAGGCAUCAUAUAGAGUGGUUCCCUCUAUGAACUUGGGGGAUCUCCACCCCUUAUGCACUGUGCUAGGGUUUUCCUUGGAUGAAUUGAACCCAAGCCCCCUUCUACCAUUGUUGGACUUAAGGGACUUGUACUUGGGUUCAACUUUCUUUAACCCAUCAUUGCUAGAGCAUCUUUUCAAAAUUUCUUUGACCUUCACCUGUGGGCUUUGCUUCCUUGCAUGGUUAGUUAGACAACAAGAAGCAUGAUAUUUGGCACAAUGCUUGCAAGAAUUAUCAUUAGAGCUAGACUUAGAUUCAAAUACUAAAGUGGGGGCAUUGAUGUUCUUGCAAUUUUCAAGUUGCACUUGAAGUUCUUGAUUUUGAACAUUCAAGCUUAACAUGCUUGAUUCAAGUGCAUUCUUUUCAUUUGCAAGGUUAUCAAUAGAGGUUUUCAAGUUAAUUACUUCUAUAUCUUUAUUGUGAAUCAACUCUUGAAGCUCUAGGUUUCUUUCCUUUUCAAGGAUAAGCAAGUCUUCUUGAGCAUCAAGAGUUGCCUUUCUUUUAUCUAGCUUUUCCAUUAAUUUUGUGAUAACAUUGUAUCCAUUUAAGCCAAAUUCUUUAAUCAUUUUAUUUUUCAUGGCAAUUUGAUCAUCAUCAUCAUCAUUUGAAAAAUCAUUACUAAAUAAAGUUACCUUAUCUCCUUUUGCCAUGAGGCAAGUUGGAAUGUAGGAGUCGUCUUGAAGGUUGGUGAAGAGUUGCGCGCUUGAGGUAGAUUGGAUGGCCACAUUUGCCACCACUUCCUCUUCCUCGGAGCUAGAACUCUCAUCAUCGGAGUUCCAUUCUUCACCAAUAUGAGCUUGUCCAUACUUCUUCUUCUUGAAGUAUCCCUUGGUCUUGCCUCCCUUUUUAAACUUAUCCUUCUUGUAUUCCUUCUUGGCUUCUUGUUCCUUCUUGUUAGGACAAUCCGCUAUGAAAUGACCGGUUUGGCCACAUUCAUAGCAUGCCCUCUUCUUUCCUUUCCUUUGGAACUUGUCAUUCUUCCUUACAAAUUUCUUGAAAGUUUUGAUGAACAUAGCUGUGUCUUCAUCACUUGAGCUAUCUUCAUCACUUGAGGUCUCGACCACUUUCUUUGCUUUGUGGUCUUUGCUCUUCUUGAGAUUGUCUUGUUCAUUUGUGAUCAAGGCAUGAGAGUCUCUUGUCUUGAUGGGGGCUUCCUCGGACUCGUGUUGUUGAAUUUUUGCAAAUAGUUGAUGAGGCGUCAUGUCCUCAUAAUCAUCACGAUCCCUUAUCAUCCUUGCAAGACUUUUAUCUUUCUCUUUAUAAGCUCUCAUGAACAAUCUUGUGACCUUGGAGUCACUCCAAUCUUCACUCCCAAGUACUCUUAUUUUGUUGACCAAUACCAUCAAUCGAUCAAAGAGUGAUUGGAGCGACUCACCCUUUGUCCAAUCAUACCUUGCAAGCUCACUUUCCAAAGCUUCAACUCUAUGUCUUUUAGCUUUGGGAUCUCCUUCAUGUGACAUUCUAAGAAUGUUCCAAAUGUCACGAGCAUCUUCUCUUCCUUGAACUUUCCGGUAUUCUUCCGGACAAAGACUUCCUUUGAUUAUGCUCACUGCUUGAGCAUUUCGAUGAACCUCUUGCAUCAUUUCCGGAGUCAUCUCUUCUCCUUGGGCGGGCUUAUACAUACCUACAUUAACAAUCUCCCAAAGACUAGGAUGCACACCGAUUAAAUGCGACUUCAUCUUGUCGGCCCACUCAUCAUAGUUCAACUCACUAAGAGUUGGUAACUUUCCAAGUGGGGCGGAAGAGAAGUUGGGAAUAUAAUUUCUAGAGUAAUCGAAUUGAACUUUGCUAAAGUCAUUACCUUUGCUUUUGGUAGAUGAUCCUUCGGUGUUGAAACUUACCUUGCUCAAUACCUUAGACACCAAAAGGUCCACUAGAUCGUCAUUAUAAUCAAACGUUCCCUUACCUUUACCUUCUUCGGCCUUUCUUCUUGUUUCCUCUUCUUCGGCCUUUUUCCUAGCAUCUUCCUCUUUCAUUUUGAGGAACAUUUUCUCGGCAAUCUUCAUGGCGAGGUCGAGGACCUUGGGGUCCACUUCCUCACCGGAAGAUGUGACGGGGAUUUCCUCGAGAAGAGGAUCCACAUGGUCCCGUUGUGUAGACAUGAUCGUUUCCUCACGCGGUUAAGCGUAAAACGAGGCACGAAGCUCUGAUACCAAUUGAAAGUAGCCUAGAGGGGGGGUGAAUAGGCUACACCUGAAAAUUUUCACUAAAAACUUCGAAAUAGGUUAAAUUAAAGUUGCACAGGUGCAAACCGGUUCAGUCGAUUUUAAUCACAACUGAACAAGUUUGAACCCACUCAACUUGAAUUUAAUAAUCUAUUGAACAAAUUCGAAGUAGUAAAGAAAAUAGCUAAAGAUUUGCCCUACACAAGAACUACUUGAAUGAAUAAUAUGAACCAACCACCGAAUAUGAAAUGCUUAUCAAGAACACACAAGAACACGCGAUAUAACCCGAGGUUCGGCAACCACCACAAAGGUGUCCUACUCCUCGUUGAGGAACCCACAAAGGGCCGGGUCUUUUCCAACCCUAAUCCUCCACAAGCCGACCACAAAGGUCAAGGCAAUCUCUUCUCAAAUCUGCUCAAGGAGCGGGUGAUACAAACUUCUUGGGGUCGUCCACAAAUUUGGAGACUCCCAAGCAACCUCUAACCGUCAAGGAACACGAGGUUCCAAGAGUAACAAAUCCGCACACGGUUAAGUUUGCAACGAGCUCAAGAACAAGAGAAUGGGAGAAUCGAGAUGAAAUAGACAGCGAGUUCGAUCGAGUUCACCUCACACCAAGGGUCCUUCAAAUGAUUGAAGGAGAUGCGAUUGCGGGUGUGAGAGGUGAAGUGAAUGCUCUUGUUUGAGGGUUGGUCAGCCAAAGAUUCGUGGGAGAGGCAGUAGUUAAUGAGAGAGAGAGUGUGAGGGGGUAUAUAAAGGAUCCCCCAAAAGCUGGCAGCCGUUGGGAGGAAAAGGGCAAAAACCGGUUGAACCGGUUUUCAAACCGGUUGAACCGGUUUCUACCAGGGGGAUCCCGGUCCACUGGUCUACUCAGCCGGACACUCGACCGGUUUCAAAACCGGCUGAGUAGGAUCAAAUUUCGGCUCAACCGGUUUCAGAAAAAUAUCUGCUGCGACUUUUCUGACAGCUCUGACUGUCAGACAGGUCAGAGCAGAGGUGGCAGGAUGAACAGUACCAAAACCGGUUGAACCGGUUUCUGGACCGGUUGAACCGGUUUUGGGGGCUGAAACCAAACUUUGAGAAUUUGAAGAGAACUUAGGUGGAGACUUUGUGGGAAGUGAAAUUUGUUUUUCUCAAGAGCAUUCAUGAUCUGGAAAAGAUGAUUCUCAAAUGAGUUUUCAAAAGAAUUGAACUUGGCUCGUUUCACAACUUACUUAACCGUCGCGGAUCCCUCUUAAUUGUACGACGAUUCCUAUGAUUCAAGAAUUUUAAACUUAGUACCGCCGACGUUUCAUAGCACUUGGAGCACGCCAUUUGAUGUGGAAAUUUAAAUCCGCUGUGCUUUAUACUUUUAUGCUCGUAGGAUCUGUGCUUCUCCUGUCUGUAAAAAUACUGUGUACACACUAGGAGCAAACUUGUUAGAAUCUUAGUUUGUUUUGUCAUUAAUCACCAAAACCCUCAAUUAGGGUUGAUUGCACUUACAGGUAAGUCCGGUCAUUUUAUUGUUAAAUGUCCUAUGUCUAGUGAAAGUGACAGGGAUGACGACAAGAAAGGGAAGAAGAAGGAAAAGAAGAGGUACUACAAGAAGAAGGGCGACGAUGCCCACUUGUGUCGGGAAUGGGACUCCGACGAGAGCUCCACCGACUCCUCCUCCGACGAGGACGCCGCCAACAUCGUCGUCAACAAGGGCCUCCUCUUCCCCAACGUCGGCCGCAAGUGUUUCAUGGCGAAGGACGACAAGAAAAAGAAGGUACAAUCUAGAGCCACCCCCAAAUAUACAACAUCUAGUGAUGACGGUAGCUCUAGUGAAGAUGAAGAUGAUUUGCUUAAUCUUUUUGCCGACCUCAACAUGAAACAAAAGAAAAAGUUAAAUGAAUUAAUAGAAGCUAUUCAUGAGACGGAUGAUCUCUUGGAAAGCCAAGAGGACUUCCUUAUUAAAGAAAACAAGAAACAUGUUAAAGUGAAAAAUGUGUAUGCUCAGGAAGUAGAAAAAAUGUGAAAACCUAACCAAAGAGCUUAGCAUUUGUCAUGAUUGUAUUUCUAGCCUUAGGAAUGAAAAUGCUAGCUUAAUUUCCAAGGUUAAAGAAUUGAAUGUUUGUCAUAAUUCAAUUUCUAGUCUUAGAAAUGAGAAUGCUAGUUUAGUUUCUAAGAUUAAAGAAUUGAAUGUUUGCAAUGAUUCUAUUUCCUGUCUUAAAGAUGAAAAUGCCAUGUUAAAAUCUAAGAUAGAUGAAUUAAAUACUUGCAAACCCUCUACAUCUACUAUCGAGCAUGUUUCUAUUUGUACUAGAUGCAGAGAUGUUAAUGUUGAUGCUAUAAAUGAUCACCUUGCUCUAAUUAAACAACAAAAUGAUCAUAUAGCUCAAUUAACUGCUAAAAUUAAUGAGCAUGAAAUUGAAAAUGAAAAGUUUAAAUUUGCUAGAAGCAUGCUUUAUAAUGGGAGACGCCCUGCCAUUAAGGAUGACACUGGUUUCCAACAGGAAAGCAAUGUCAAGCUUAAUGCCUCUAAGAGAUUGUCCAACUUUGUUAAGGGCAAGGCUCCCAUGGUUCAGGAUAAUGAAGACUAUAUUUUAUAUCCUGCAAAUUAUCUUGAGCAUAAAAUUAGGAGAAUUCAUGCUAGAAAACCUCACACUGUUUCUCAUCAUGCAUUUAUGUAUAAAAAUGAGGCUUCUAGCUCUAGGCAAUCAACUCCUGUUAAAUUGCCUAAAAAGAAAACUCCUGCUGCAUAAAAUGAUCAUAACAUUUAAUUCAAAACUUUUGAUGCUUCUUAUGUGCUUACUAACAAAUCAGGCAAAGUAGUUGCCUAAUAUGUUGGGGGCAAACACAAGGCUCAAAGACUUGUGUUUGGGUACCCAAGGUGCUUGUUUCUAAUGUGAAAGGACCCAAGACUGUUUGGGUACCUAAGAACAAGGUCUAAAUUGUUUUGCAGGUUUAUGCAUCCGGGGGUUCAAGUUGGAUAAUUGAUAGCGGAUGCACAAACCACAUGACAGGGGAGAAGAGAAUGUUCUCCUCCUACGAGAAAAACCAAGAUCCCCAACGAGCUAUCAAAAUCGGGGAUGGAAAUCAAGGAUUGGUCAAAGGUUUGGGUAAAAUUGCUAUAUCCCCUGAACAUUCCAUUUCAAAUGUUUUUCUUGUAGAUUCUUUAUGUAGGAAACGGGUGACGCCUAAGAGGGGGUGAAUUAGGACUUCUAAAACUUUUACUAAACUAGGCCACAAUUAAAUCCGUAGAGCAAAACCUAUGCAAAUAGUCAAACUAGAAUGUGCAAACUAGGUUUUGUCUAAGUGUUGCUAUCUCUACCACAAUGGCUAAGUUUCAAUCUACACUAAAUAAGUAUGACUACAAGAUUGAAACUUAAAUGCUUAAUAUAAAUGCAGAAACUUAAAGAGCAAAGCAGAGAAGCAAACUCUAGUGGAUGACGCCGGUAUUUUUACCAAGGUAUCCAGAACCGCACAAGGUCCCGACUAAUCCUCGUUGGUGCCCCUACGCAAAGGGAAGCCCAGGCGAGGGCCAAGCACCUCGGUCGAGUAACUCCAUAGAGAGCCUCGGGCCUUCUCCACGCGCAAGUGGUGCUCCGCUUCCAGCUCCUCUCGGACGCUCCCCGUCGUCUCCACUAUCGAGCUUCCAGCCGAAACGCCGCGGGCCUCGUUCCCUCCGGUACACGGUGGCGGCCGUGACACAAACACGGUUGUCACGGUCUCGCAAGACACUCGCCCCACUCGGUACAAUUACAACGGCUCACGCAAGAGCUGAGGGGUUGUAAGGUUUAUGUAAACUCACUCAACAAUCUAGGGUUCACCUAGAGCAAGCGCUAAUGCAGUCUAACUAACCUAAGCACUUCGCAAAGCACCUACGCUAAUCACCGAGUGAUUAUAUUAAGCACUUGGGUGUAAGAGCACUUGGGAAUGUCUACUAUAUGCCUUGGUAUGUCUCUUGGGCUCCCACACUUGGAAAUGGCCGGUUGGGGGUGUAUUUAUAGCCCCCAACACAAAUAGAGCCAUUGGAGAAAAGCUGCUGCUUUCUGCGGCACACCGGACAGUCCAGUGGUGCACCGGACAGCGCACUGUAGCCUGUCCAGUGCGCCUAGCCGUUGCCCUGUCAAAGCAGGUGACCGUUGGCGCCGCAGGCUUUCCACACCGGACAAUCCAGACUUCACACAGGACAGUCCGGUGGUCUACUCUCCGGGUGCCACCUGGAACUAGCCGUUGGGCUGUGAUUCCCUGGUGCACCGGACAGUCCGGCGUGUGGACACCGGACAGUCCGGUGUGCCACCGGACAGUCCGGUGCUCCACGCAGAGACAGUCCGCAGGCAGCACACUUGGACUUUUCUUGGAUCUUUUUAAUGCCUUCUUUUGAGGUGUUGCUUUCCUCAAUUCCUUAGUCCAAGUUAAUCUUGCAUCCUGUGAACUACAAACACUAGAAAACUUAUUAGUUCACGGAUUGUGUUGAUCAUCAAACACCAAAACUCAAUUAGCCAAAUGGCCUGGGGUCCAUUUUCCUUACAAUCUCCCCCUUUUUGGUGAUUGAUGACAACACAACCAAAGCAAGCAAAUAAUACAAUUAUUUGAAUGACGAUAUGCUAUCUACUUGCUAGGAUGCAUGUUUGUCCCCACAAUGGACUUAAGCCUCCCCCUAACUCCAUAAUUCACUUACUUCCUAUUUUUAGACCAAAUAACCAAAACCACUUGAAAAACUAUUUUUAGAUUUAAAAUUUUAAAUUGGUGGUGUUUGGUGUUUGAUAUAGUUUUCAUUGCUUUGGUCCCUAAACUUCUCCCCCUUUGGCAUCAACCACCGGAAAGGAAGACAUUAAAAUCAUGUAGGAAGUAAAUAAAAGUUGCCCUCAAAUGAUUACUCCCCCUAAAUGAGUGUUCUCUUUUAGAGAGAAAGUUUCUCCCCUUGUUAGAGACGAAGAAAUACUCCCCCUGACAGAGAUCUUCUACUUUUAGGAAAAAGCAUGUGAAAAAUAGAGGUGCAAGACAUGAUUUGAAUAGACUAAGGAAGUAUAUAAUAUGUAAUAUUUAGCAACAAGGAAGUAUAUAAUAUGUAAUAUAGUCUAAUCAAAUAUUGGAGAAGACAUGUAAAUGAUACUAGUUGUAGUCUCAAAAGAUACCGGUUGAAAUUCAAUGGCGAGCUUGAGAGACAUGAGAGUUCUUGGAGAUUUUGCAGUGGAAGAUUGUUGUCUUUCUCCGAGGACCUCAUUUUCCUUACAAUGAGACUAUCACAUAAAAUAGACUUGAAAAGGUGUUAGUCUCAAAGUAUUAGAUUAUAGAGUAACCUCCCCCUGAAGGUGUGCAUACAAGUUUUGAAUACACUUGUAGGAGACAUGCACUUUGAUUUGAUAUCAAGAGCGACAAAUUAUCUAUAAUCCGAACUUUGGCACAUAUAAGUUAAAUGAUACAGAUUGUAGAAUAUGAGUGUUUUACCACUUGAAGAAUUCACAGUUAUCAAUUGAUGUAUCAUUUACUAUGGAGUGAUAUUGAAGCUAUGUGUCGUGCUUAAAUAAACAUUUUAAGCCAUGUAGGUUUGCUUAAGUAUAUGAAUUGAAAAAAGCAAUCCUACCAUGUGAUUUACCUACUAUGCAUAAUUUUAAAACAAAAGUAAAUACUAGGCAUGAAAGGUAAACUAGAUACAAGGUAAAUAGAUACGCAUAUCUAAAGAUAAGAAAUACAAUAAAUCUAGUUACCUUAGUCAUGGGUGGGGAAAUUUGGGUCCAAAAUAUUCACUAACCCACUUGGCAAUAAACUUGAUCCAAUAUGAUGUAUCCCAUGAUAUACAUCUCAAAUUUGCCAAGUCACCAAAUUUCCCGAUUGACCUUCGGUCCACUCACUUCCCUUUCGGGAUCCAAACCUUCUUGGUGCUUUUCAUGGUUGAAAUUAUUUCCUUUGACACCCAGAUGCGUUUGGCCCCCUUUCCUUUGUUGGCUUGCUUGUUGGCCUUGAUUGUUAUCACCUUUCCAUUCUUUUUCUUCUUGAUCAAAUAUGGUGUAGCAGCCUUUUUGUCCACCUUUUUGAUGUAGGUGUUGGAGAUUUUGCUUGAUGGCUUUUAUUUGAGCUUUUGCCUUUGCUUAUCCCCGGUCAUUGCCUUGCAUUGGAAAGACUUAUGGCCUUCCAUGUGGCAUAGCCUACAAAUCACAGUUUCUCCCUCCAUAGGCUUGUUCACUCCCGCAGUGGUGUUAUCCUGUGGAGGUCGGAUUUGUUUGGCUUUGUCUUUCUUGUCAUACAAAGCCUUGCCAAGGCGAGCCACUUCUUGCCUUAAUUGUUCAUUUUCCUUUGCAACCUCAUCCGAACAUGUUUCUACAACAAUAUUCUCAACAAGAACUUGGUUGCAGGGGUUAGAAUCAUCAACUAAAUCAAAGCAAGAAGUAGAAGCAUCUUUUUUUAAUAAUUUUAGGUAUUUCAACUAAAGAUGCUGCUGGGGUGCUACCGACAUUUUCUAGCUUAGUAGUUAGCUCAUUAUUGUGUAUGCUAAGAAUUUCCAUUUUCUCUAGCAAUUUUUCAAUAGCUUCUUGGGAGCUAGCUAACUUAGCCUUAAGUUUUUCAUUCUUUUUAAUAAGGCCAUCAUCGGUAGCAGUGGAUGGAGCACUAGACUCUAAUAGCUCAAUUUUAGUUGACACCUCACAAUUUAGGUUUGCAAAAGUUUCAAAUUUUUCUAGCAAUCCUUUGUAAUCAUUUUGGGAGCUAAUCAAGUUAUUUUUCAAAGUUUUAAGUUGAGCUUUUUGCUUAGUGCAAACAUCCUGGAAAAAUUUAACGGCUUCUGCAAGUUCAUCUACGGGGGGCUUUCCCUCACCAUUAUCAUCACUACUACUGUCAUCACUAGAGGAUGGAAUGCUCAUUUUACCUCUUGCCAUAAGGCAUUUGUGUGAUGACCGAGAUGAGAGUGAUGAGGACCGAUGGCUGUGCGUCCUUGGAGGUUCAUCUUCACUUGAAGAAUCAUCCCAAGUUCUAACACUUGUUAGCGCCUUGCCUUUGCUCCUCUCCUUUUUGGGCUCGACCAUAGUUGGACAGUUGUCCCUGAAGUCGCCCAUCUCCCUGCAUGCGAAGCACCCUCUCUUUCUUUGCUUUUUCCUGUCAAUGUUAAAGAGAAUAUCUUCAACCUGCAGGAGCACACCCAUUAGAUUAAUCUCGCGGAUUAUCCCCAUUACCUUUCCGACGCGUCGGAUUGUUUCUUCGUCCUCGGAGGAUGAUGUGCAUGGUUGAUUAUCUUCAUCAUCAUCACUUUCUUCUUCUUCCUCUUCUUCACUUGAGGAACUUGGAGUGGGAGCCUUCUUUUUGCCCUUCCUUUCAUCACAUGCAAAAGCAUAUGGCCUUGAGGAAGUUGGCUCCUCUCCCCGACACAUUUUUCGCGACAUCUCAAAAGUCGCGAUUUUCCCAAUCACAAUGGUCGGGGUCAUGUUACUCAAGUCCUCCAUGUUGUGAAGGAUGGUGAUGAUACUCCCAUAUCUUCGUUGUGGUAGCAGGGAGAUAAUCUUCCUUACAAUGUCCGCGUCACCUAGCUUAUUUAUGCCAAUAGAGUUGAGCUCAUUGAUGAUUAGAUUUAAACGAGAAUACAUGUCUCUAACAAGCUCAUCAUCUCUCAUAGCAAAAGAAUUAUACUCAUUUAAGACUAGGCAAUGUUUUUGCUCACGGACAUUUGAUGUGCCAUCAUGGAGCUCAUGCAAUUUUAGCCAAAUCUCAUUAGCAGUUUCAAGGUAAAUACUUGAUUAAAAAUAUCCAUGCUAAGAGAUUCAUACAAGCAAUUUUUGGCUCAAGCAUUUAAAUAAAUUUCUUUUUCCUCACUCGUGGUCGGUUUCUCGGGAUUCUUGGGGGGUUUCAUCCCGUCACGAGUGACUCGCCAAACACCUAGAUCAACGACAUUUAGGUAACAAGCCAUUCUAGCACUAUAAUAUGGGAAGUUAGUGCCGUCAAAGUGUGGUGGCCUAUGGGUAUCCAUCCCUUCCUCUAAAAAGCAUCGGCUCUUUUAGCGGUGAAGCUAAAGCGUUUCAAAUGAGCCAAACCAGGCUCUGAUACCACUUGUAGGAAACGGGUGACGCCUAAGAAGGGGGUGAAUUAGGACUUCUAAAACUUUUACUAAACUAGGCCACAAUUAAAUCUCUAGAGCAAAACCUAUGCAAAUAGUCAAACUAGAAUGUGCAAACUAGGUUUUGUCUAAGUGUUGCUAUCUCUAUCGCAAUGGCUAAGUUUCAAUCUACACUAAAUAAGUAUGACUACAAGAUUGAAACUUAAAUGCUUAAUAUAAAUGCGGAAACUUAAAGAGCAAAGCAGAGAAGCAAACUCUCGUGGAUGACGCCGGUAUUUUUACCGAGGUAUCCGGAACCACGCAAGGUCCCGACUAAUCCUCGUUGGUGUCCCUACGCAAAGGAAAGCCCACGCGAGGGCCAAGCACCUCGGUCCAGUAACUCCAUAGAGAGCCGCGGGCCUUCUCCACGCGCAAGUGGUGCUCCGCUUCUAGCUCCUCUCGGACGGUCCCUGCCGUCUCCACUAUCGAGCUUCUGGCCGAAACGUCGCGGGCCUUGUUCCCUCCGGUACACGGUGGCGGUCGUGACAUAAACGCGGUUGACACGGUCUCGCAAGACACUCGCCCCACUCGGUACAAUUACAACGGCUCACACAAGAGCCGAGGGGUUGUAAGGUUUAUCUAAACUCACUCAACAAUCUAGGGUUCACCUAGAGCAAGCGCUAAUGCGGUCUAACUAACCUAAGCACUUUGCAAAGCACCUACGCUAAUCACCGAGUGAUUCUAUUAAGCACUUGGGUGUAAGAGCACUUGGGAAUGCCUACUAUAUGCCUUGGUAUGUCUCUUGGGCUCCCACACUUGGAAAUGGCCGGUUGGGGGUGUAUUUAUAGCCCCCAACACAAAUAGAGCCGUUGGAGAAAAGCUGCUGCUUUCUGCGGCACACCGGACAGUCCGGUGGUGCACCGGACAGCGCAAUGUAGUCUGUCCGGUGCGCCUAGCCGUUGCCCUGUCAGAGCAGGUGACCGUUGGCAGCGCAGGCUUUCCACACCGGACAGUCCGGACUUCACACCGGACAGUCCGGUGGUCUUCUCUUCGGGUGCCACCUGGAACUAGCCAUUGGGCUGCGAUUCCCUGGUGCUCCGGACAGUCCGGCGUGUGGGCACCGGACAGUCCGGUGUGCCACCGAACAGUCCGGUGCUCCACGCACAGACAGUCCGCAGGCAGCACACUUGGACUUUUCUUGGAUCUUUUUAAUGCCUUCUUUUGAGGUGUUGCUUUCCUCAAUUCCUUAGUCCAAGUUAAUCUUGCAUCCUGUGAACUACAAACACAAACACUAGAAAACUUAUUAGUUCACGGAUUGUGUUGAUCAUCAAACACCAAAACUCAAUUACCAAAUGGCCCGGGGUCCAUUUCCUUACAAUUUAGAUUACAAUUUGCUUUCUGUUUCUCAAUUAUGCAAAAUGGGCUACAACUGUCUUUUUACAGAUGUAGGUGUUACUAUCUUUAGAAGAAGUGACGAUUCAAUAGCAUUUAAGGGAGUGUUAGAGGGUCAGCUAUAUUUAGUUGAUUUUAAUGAGAACACAGCUGAACUCAACACUUGUUUAAUUGCUAAGACUAAUAUGGGUUGGCUCUGGCAUCGCCGACUAGCUCAUCUUGGAAUGAAGAAUCUUCACAAGCUUCUAAAGGGAGAACACAUUUUGGGACUAACAAAUGUUCAUUUUGAGAAAGAUAGGAUUUGUAGCGCAUGUCAAGCAGGAAAGCAAGUUGGCUCUCAUCAUCCACACAAGAACAUCAUGACGAUCGACAGGCUGCUUGAGCUACUCCACAUGGAUUUAUUCGGCCCGAUCGCUUACAUAAGCAUCGGUGGGAGUAAGUAUUGUCUUGUAAUUGUGGAUGACUAUUCUCAUUUCACUUGGGUGUUCUUUUUGCAGGAAAAAUCACAGACCCAAGAGACCUUAAAAGGAUCCUUAAGACGGGCUCAAAAUGAGUUCGGAUUAAGGAUCAAAAGAUAGGAAGCGAUAAUGGGACGGAGUUCAAGAAUUCUCAAAUUGAAGGUUUUCUUGAGGACGGGGGCAUCAAGCAUGAGUUCUCUUCUCCCUACACACCUCAACAAAAUGGUGUAGUGGAGAGGAAGAAUAGAACUCUACUGGACAUGGCAAAUACCAUGCUUGAUGACUACAAGACACCAGACCAGUUUUGGGCCGAGGCGAUUAACACCGCCUGCUACUCCAUCAACCGGUUAUAUCUUCACCGAAUCCUCAAGAAGACAUCAUAUGAACUCCUUACCAGUAAAAAUCCCAAUGUUUCAUAUUUUAGAAUCUUUGGGAUAAAUGUUUUAUUCUUAUUAAAAGAGAUAGAAAAACUAAAUUUGCUCCUAAGGCUGUAGAAGACUUUUUACUUGGUUAUGACUCAAACACAAGGGCAUAUAGAGCCUUCAACAAAUCCACUGGAUUAGUUGAGGUUUCUUGUGACAUUGCGUUUGAUGAGACUAAUGGCUCCCAAGUGGAGCAAGUUGAUCUUGAUGAGUUAGAUGAUGAAGAGGCUUCGUGCAUCGCGCUAAGGAACAUGUCCAUUGGGGAUGUGUGUCCUAAGGAAUCCGAAGGGCCUACACAAGCACAAGAUCAAUCGUCAUCUUCCAAUCAAGCAUCUCCACCAACUCAAGAUGAGGAACAGACUCAAGAUGGUAAGGAUGAAGAUCAAGAGGAUGAGCCACCUCAAGAGGAGGACAAUGAUCAAGGGGGAGAUAAGCAAAAUGAAGACAAGGAAGAUGAUCAAGAAAUUCAGAGUCAAAGACCGCCACACCCAAGAGUCCACCAAGCAAUUCAACGAGAUCACCCCGUCAACUCCAUCCUUGGUGACAUUCAUAAAGGGGUAACCACGAGAUCUCGAAUUGCACAUUUUUGUGAACAUUACUCUUUUGUGUCCUCUAUUGAGCCAUACAUGAUUGAGGAUGCAUUAAGAGAUCCGGAUUGGGCGCUGGCAAUGCAAGAGGAGCUCAACAACUUCACAAGGAACGAGGUAUGGCAUUUAGUUCCACGUCCUAAUCAAAAUGUUGUAGGUACCAAAUGGGUAUUCCGCAACAAGCAAGAUGAGCGUGGUGUGGUGACAAGAAACAAAGCCCGACUUAUGGCCAAAGGUUAUUCACAAGUCAAAGGUUUGGAUUUUGAUAAAACUUAUGCACCCGUAGCUAGGCUUGAGUCAAUUCGUAUAUUACUUGCCUAUGCUACUUACCAUGGCUUUAAGCUCUAUCAAAUGGACAUGAAAAUUGCCUUCCUCAAUGGACCUAUCAACGAAGAGGUCUAUGUUGAGCAACCUCCCGGCUUUGAAGAUAGUGAGUACCCUAACCAUGUGUAUAAACUCUCAAAGGUGCUUUAUGGGCUCAAGCAAGCCCCAAGAGCAUGGUAUGAAUGCCUGCGAGAUUUCCUUAUCACUAAUGGCUUCAAAGUCGGUAAAGCCGAUCCUACUCUCUUUACUAAAACUGUUGCAAAAGAUUUGUUUGUAUGCCAAAUUUAUGUUGAUGAUAUCAUAUUUGGGUCUACUAACAAAUCAACUUGUGUAGAGUUUAGUAGAAUCAUGAUACAGAAAUUCGAGAUGUCAAUGAUGGGGGAGUUGAAGUAUUUCCUAGAAUUUCAAUUCAAGCAACUCAAAGAGGGCACCUUCAUCAGCCAAACAAAGUACAUUCAAGACAUACUUAAGAAGUUUGGGAUGAAGGAUAGCAAACCCAUCAAGACACCCAUGUGAACCAAUGGACAUCUCGACCUCGACACGGGAGGUAAAUCUGUAGAUCAAAAGGUAUACCAGUCAAUGACAGGAUCUCUACUCUAUUUAUGUGCAUCUCGACCGGAUAUUAUGCUUUCUGUAUGCAUGUGUGCAAGGUUCCAAGCCGAUCCUAAGGAAGUUCACCUUAGGGACGUGAAAAGAAUCAUGAGAUAUUUAGUUUACACUCCUAAGUUUGGACUUUGGUACCCCAAGGGAUCCACCUUUGAUUUAAUAGGAUAUUCUGAUGCUGAUUGGGCAAGGUGUAAAAUUGAUAGGAAGAGCACAUCAGGGACUUAUCAGUUUCUAGGGAGAUCCCUGGUGUCAUGGGCUUCAAAGAAACAAAACUCAGUAGCUCUUUCCACUGUCGAAGCCGAGUAUAUUGCCGCAGGCCAUUGUUGUGCGCAAUUACUUUGGAUGAGGCAAACCCUUAGGGACUAUGGCUACAAAUUGAGCAAAGUCCCUCUCCUAUGAGACAAUGAUAGUGCAAUAUGCAUGGCGGAUAAUCCCGUUGACCACAGCUGCACUAAGCACAUAGACAUUCGGUAUCACUUUCUGAGAGAUCACCAACAAAGGGGGGAUAUCGAAAUAGCUUAUGUAAACACCAAAGACCAACUAGCCGAUACCUUUACCAAGCCGUUAGAUGAGAAAACCUUUAGCAAACUUAGGAAUGAGCUAAAUAUACUUGAUUCUCAGAAUUUUGAUUGAAAUAUUGCACACAUUGCUCAUUUAUAUACCCUUGAUCAUGUCUCUUUCAUUUUGGUACAAAUACUUAUUUUUUUAUUCUUGUACCAAGACUACGACUAAUGUGUUAUCAAGUAUAUACUAAGUCAUAGGUUGAAAGGGAAAUGGAGUAUUCUAUGAAGACAAGGCUUCCACUCCACUCUAACGGUAUCAUUUACCCUUCGUCGUCACUCCACAACACUCUCAAAUAGGUAUAAUCCUUCACUCAUAUUUACUUGUACCAAUGGGAGAGAAAAUAUUAGGGCUCUCAAAAUCUCCGUUUUUGGCGAUUAAUGCCAAAGGGGAAAAAGUAUUAAGCCCAAAGCAAAAGGACCGCACCACCACCUAAUUUUAAAAUUUCCGAAAUAAAGUUUUUAAUUAAUAUAUAUAUUCAAAUUGGUAUCUAAUUAGUAUUUUUAAAUGUAGAUUUUCAAAAAUUGGUAUCUGUUAAAACCCUCUUGAAAACUAAGAGGAGAAUUUCAUUCAGGGGGAGUUUUGUCAAAGGAAAAGCAUUUGAAACAGGGGGAGAAAUUUCAAAUCUUGAAAAUGCUUCUUGCAAUCUUAUUCAUAUACCUUUGACUACUUGCAAAAAGGAUUUUGAAAAGAUUUUCCAAAAGAAUCUGUGAAAACAAAACAAGUGGUGUAAAUGUGGUCCAAAAUGUUAAAUAAAAGAAAUCAAUCCAUUCAAAUCUAGUGAGAUUAUCAAUUGGUUUAAUUCUAAGUAACCUAUGCACUUACCUUAUGCAAACUAGUUCAUUUCUACACUUUAUAUAUUUGCUUUGGUUUGUGUUGGCAUCAAUCACCAAAAAGGGGAAGAUUGAAAGGGAAAUAGAGUUAACCUUUUUCCACAAUUAAUUUUGGUGGUUGAAUGUCCAACACAAACAAAUGGACUAACUAGUUUGCUCUAGAAUACAUGUUUUACAGGUGCAUAAAGGUUCAACACAAACCAAUAAAUAUCCAAGUUAGGGAUCCAAUUCAAAAGAGCAAAAGAAACCAAGUGUGCUGUGGUCUGGCGUACCAGACUGUCCGGUGCACCAGGACCGUACAUAGUCCAAACAGCCACUCUCGGGUUUUCACAGGCGCGCUCCGCUAUAAUUCACCGGACUGUCCGAUGCACCAGCGGAGCAACAGCUAACUCGCGCAAUGGUCGAUUGUGACAAGUGAACGGUGCGCGAACAGUGCACGCCAGAAGUCAGAGCAGAAGUCAGAGGCGCACCGGACUGUCCGGUGCCACAAGAAGACAACAGCUCCAACGAUCGACUGCUCCCGAACCCUAACGAUUGGGUGACGUGGCGGCGCACCGGACAGCCUACAGUGCCUAUCCGGUGGCGCACCGGACUGUCCGAUGCGCCCAUCACCAGCAGCCAUCCCCCAACGUCCACUUUGGUGGGGGGCUAUUGAAAGGGAAAUGUGCCAUUGAGCCAUUUCUAAGUAUUUUGGUGAUUUAGUGUCCAACACAAGUGCCUAAGUGUUAAAUGGUAGACAAAGUACAAAUCAAGUAUAAAGGUAUGUUUCUCAGACUUAGUACAUUGUUUUAGAGACUAAUGUAUUGUGUCUAAGUGCUGGAAACAGGAAAAAUCAAGUUGAAAUUAAAGAUGGCUUUGUUCAGCCAAAGUCAGCUAUGUCUGGGUGCACCGGACAGUGUCCGGUGGUGCAUCGGACAGUGUCCGGUGCGCCAGGCUGACUCAGGCGAACUUGCUGCUCUCGGGAAGAGAUUAGCGGCGUACGACUAUAAUUCACCGGAUUGUCCGGUGAGCCAAUGGUCGGCCGGGCCAACGGUCGGCCGCGCGAUUCGCGCGAGACACGUGGCCGAGCCAACGGUCGGAAGGGGGCACCGGACUGUCCGGUGCGCCAACGGCUCCAAAGCGCCAACGGUCGGCUUCGCCAAAGAAGGAAAGAAAUCCGCACCGGACAGUGUCCGGUGGUGCACCGGACUGUCCGGUGCGCCAGGCGACAGAAGGCAAGAAUUGCCUUCCUGGAAUGCACUCAACGGCUCCUAGCUGCCUUGGGGCUAUAAAAGGGACCCCUAGGCGCAUGGAGGAGAAUACCAAGCAUUCUCUAAGCAUUCAUAAGCACCAAGACUUCGAUUCCGCGCAUUUGAUUCUUUGCGAUAGCAAUUAGAGCUCCGUUUGAGUUGUGAACUCGCUGAGUUGUGUUGUGAGCUCUUGUUGCGACUUGUGUGCGUGUUGGUACUGUGAUUUUGUGUCUUGUGUGCGUUGCUCAUCCCUCUCUUACUCCGUGCUUCUUUGUGAACAUCAAAGUGUAAGGGCGAGAGACUCCAAGUUGUGGAGAUUCCUCGCAAACGGAUAUAGUAAAGCAAAGCAAAACACCAUGGUAUUCAAGUGGGUCUUUGGACCGCUUGAGAGGGGUUGAUUGCAACCCUCGUCCGUUGGGACGCCACAACAUGGACUAGGCAAGUGUUGAACUUGGCCGAACCACGGGAAAAACCACUGUGCCAUCUCUGUGUUGAUCUCUUUGUGGUUUUCGUGUUGUGCAAACUCUCCUCUCUAGCCACUUGGCUUAACUGUGCUAACUCUAAUCAAGUUUUGUGGAUUAAGUUUUAAGUUUUCUCAGGAUCACCUAUUCACACCCCCCCUCUAGGUGCUCUCAAUUGGUAUCAGAGCUGUUCUCUUCAAGAAAUAAAGGGACUAAUCGCCCGAAGAGAUGGAUCCUAAGGGCAAGAGGAUUGUGAUCAAUGAUAAGGAGAAGGAGUCCUUCGUCAAUGAGCCGAAAGAUGACAAGCCUACCGACUCGGGCUCGGGCCACAAACGAAAAGAUGGAAAGAAGAAGAAGACGAGGCGCAUCAAGGAGAUUGUCUACUACGACGACAGCGACGAGUCCUCUUCUUCUCAAAAGGACGACGACAACGACUACGAGAAAAAGAAGAUGGUUAACUCAAACUUCUCUUUCGAUUAUUCUCGUAUUCCGCAUAGCUCAAAUGCACAUUUGCUUUCUAUUCCUCUUGGCAAACCUCCUCACUUUGAUGGAGAGGACUAUGGAUUUUGGAGCCACAAAAUGCGUAGUCACUUGUUCUCUCUCCAUCCUAGCAUAUGGGAGAUAGUAGAAAGUGGAAUGAAAUUUGAUAUCUCGGAUAGUCCUAUGUUUAUCAAUGAAAAGAUUCAUAAAAAUGCACAAGCUACUACUGUGUUGUUAGCCUCUUUGUGCAGGGACGAGUAUCAUAAGGUGAGCGGCUUGGAUAAUGCCAAGCAGAUCUGGGACACCCUCAAGAUCUCUCAUGAGGGGAACGACGUCACCAUGCUCACCAAGAUGGAGUUGGUGGAGGGCGAACUCGGGAGAUUCGCGAUGAUAAGGGGCGAGGAGCCAACCCAAACGUACAACCGGCUAAAGACCCUCGUCAACAAAAUAAGGAGCUACGGAAGCACGCGAUGGACGGACCACGACGUUGUCCGCCUAAUGCUAAGGUCCUUUACUGUUCUUGAUCCACAUCUUGUGAACAAUAUUCGUGAGAAUCCUAGGUACACCAAGAUGUCGCCCGAAGAAAUUCUUGGGAAAUUUGUAAGUGGGCGGAUGAUGAUCAAGGAGGAUAGAUACGUCGACGAUGCAUUGAAUGGCCCAAUCCAAGAACCUCAAACUAUUGCUCUCAAGGCAACAAGGAGCAAGGAGGCGCUACCUAGCAAGGUGGCGCAAGUUGAGGCGGCCAGGCUUAAUGAUGAAGAGAUGGCCCUCAUCAUCAAGCGAUUCAAGACGGCGCUAAGGGGUCGCAAGGAGCACCCCAACAAGAACAAGACGAAGGGGAAGCGCUCCUGCUUCAAAUGUGGUAAGAUUGGUCAUUUUAUCGCUAACUGCCCCGAUAAUGAUAGUGACCAGGAAAAGAAGAGUGGAAAGUGGGAAAAGAAGAAGAACUACAAGAAGGCAAAGGGCGAGGCACAUCUUGGAAAGGAGUGGGAUUCGGAUUGCUCCUCGUCCGACUCCGACAACGAAGGACUCAUCGCCACCGCCUUCAACAAGUCAUCCCUCUUCCCAAACGAGCGUCACACAUGCCUCAUGGCGAAGGAGAAGAAGGUAUGUACUCAGAAUACUACUUAUACUUCUUCAAGUGAGGAUGAGUCUAGUGAUGAUGAUGAAAUAGAUUAUUCAUGUUUAUUCAAGGGCCUAGAUAGAACCAAGAUUGAUAAAAUUAAUGAAUUAAUUGAUGCCUUGAAUGAUAAGAAUAAGUUAUUAGAAAAGCAAGAGGAUCUUUUGUAUGAAGAACAUGAUAAGUUUGUAGAGGCUCAAAAAUCCCUUGCUUUAGAAAUUAAAAGGAAUGAAAUGCUUUCUUGUGAAUUGUCUGCAUGUCAUGACUCCAUUUCUAGCUUAAAGAGCAUAAAUGAUGAUUUGAAUGCUAAGUUAGAAAUAGCAAAUAAAUCAACAUCUUGUGUAGAACAUGUUACAAUUUGCAAUAGAUGUAAAGAUUUUGAUAUUGAUGCGUGUAGUGAACACCUAGUUUCAAUUUCCAAAUUAAAUGAUGAAUUGGCUAGUCUUAAUGCCCAACUUAAGACUAGCAAGAGUGAAAUUGAUAAAAUAAAAUUUGCAAGGGAUGCCUACACGAUUGGUAGACACCCCUCAAUUAAGGAUGGUCUUGGCUUCAAGAGGGAAGUCAAGAACUUAACAAGCCAUAAGGUUCCCAUCUCAGCCAAAGAGAAAGGGAAGGCCCCUAUGGCUAGUAGUGCUCAUAAGAACCAUGCUUUCAUGUAUCAUGAUAGGAGAAAUUCUAGGAAUGCUUUUAGAAGUUAUGAUGCUUUUGAUUCUCAUGCCAUGGUUGCUUCUAGCUCUUCUAUUAUGUAUGAUAGAAAUGUUGCUAGGAAAAAUGCUAUGCCUAGAAGAAAUUUUGUUCAUGCUCCUAGGAAAGUAAUGAAUGAACCUUCUAUAAUUUAUCAUGCUUGCAAUGCUUCAUUUGCAAUUUGUAGAAAGGAUAGGAAGAUAGUUGCUAGAAAAUUAGGGGCAAAAUGUAAGGGAGACAAGACUUGCAUUUGGGUCCCUAAGACUAUUGUGACUAACCUUGCAGGACCCAACAUGAGUUGGGUACCUAAGACCCAAGCCUAAAAUUGCCUUGCAGGUUUAUGCAUCCGGGGGCUCAAGCUGGAUUAUCGACAGCGGAUGCACAAACCACAUGACGGGGGAGAAGAGGAUGUUCUCUUCCUACGUCAAGAACAAAGAUCCCCAAGAUUCAAUCAUAUUCGGUGAUGGCAACCAAGGCAAGGUGAAAGGGUUAGGAAAAAUUGCUAUUUCUUCCGAGCACUCUAUUUCUAAUGUAUUCCUAGUUGAGUCACUUGGAUAUAAUUUGUUAUCUGUAAGUCAAUUAUGUAAUAUGGGAUAUAAUUGUAUAUUCACUAAUGUAGAUGUGUUUGUCUUUAGAAGAAGUGAUGGUUCACUAGCUUUUAAGGGUGUAUUAGACGGCAAACUCUAUUUAGUUGAUUUUGCAAAAGAGGAGGCCGGUCUAGAUGCAUGCUUAAUUGCUAAGACUAGCAUGGGCUGGCUGUGGCAUCGCCGCUUAGCACAUGUGGGGAUGAAGAACCUUCACAAGCUUCUAAAGGGAGAACACGUAAUAGGUCUAACCAAUGUUACUUUCGAAAAAGAUAGACCUUGUGCAGCUUGUCAAGCAGGGAAACAGGUGGGAAGCUCUCAUCAUGCCAAAAAUGUGAUGACAACAUCAAGACCCCUGGAGUUACUUCAUAUGGACCUCUUCGGACCCGUCGCCUAUCUAAGCAUAGGAGGAAGUAAGUAUGGUCUUGUUAUAGUUGAUGAUUUUUCCCGCUUCACUUGGGUAUUCUUUUUGCAGGAUAAAUCUAAAACCCAAGGGACCCUCAAGCGCUUCCUAAGGAGAGCUCAAAACGAGUUUGAGCUCAAGGUGAAGAAGAUAAGAAGCGACAAUGGGUCCGAGUUCAAGAACCUUCAAGUGGAGGAGUAUCUCGAGGAGGAAGGAAUCAAGCACGAGUUCUCCGCUCCCUACACACCACAGCAAAAUGGUGUGGUAGAGAGGAAGAACAGGACGCUUAUAGACGUUGCGAGGACGAUGCUUGGAGAGUUCAAGACCCCCGAGUGCUUUUGGUCGGAAGCCGUGAACACGGCUUGCCACGCUAUCAACCGGGUCUACCUUCAUCGCCUCCUCAAGAAGACUUCGUAUGAGCUACUAACCGGUAACAAACCCAAUGUUUCAUAUUUUCGAGUUUUUGGGAGUAAAUGCUACAUUCUAGUAAAGAAGGGUAGGAAUUCCAAAUUUGCUCCCAAAGCCAUAGAAGGGUUUUUGUUAGGUUAUGACUCAAAUACAAAGGCGUAUAGGGUCUUCAACAAAUCAUCGGGUUUGGUUGAAGUCUCUAGCGACGUUGUAUUUGAUGAGACUAAUGGCUCUCCAAGAGAGCAAGUUGUUGAUCUUGAUGAUGUAGAUGAAGAAGACGUUCCAACGGCCACAAUGCGCACCAUGGCGAUUGGAGAUGUGAGGCCAAUGGAACAAAAGGAGCAAGAUCAACCUUCUUCCUCAACAAUGGUGCAUUCCCCAACUCAAGUCGAUGAACAGGUUCAUCAAGAGGAGGCGUGUGAUCAAGGGGGAGCACAAGUUGAUCAUGUAAUGGAGGAAGGAGCACAACCGGCACCUCCAACCCAAGUUCGAGCAAUGAUUCAAAGGGAUCAUCCCGUCGACCAGAUUUUGGGUGACACUAGCAAGGGAGUAACUACUCGGUCUCGAUUAGUUAAUUUUUGUGAGCAUUACUCCUUUGUCUCUUCUAUUGAGCCUUUCAGGGUAGAGGAGGCCUUGCUAGAUCCGGACUGGGUGUUGGCCAUGCAGGAGGAGCUCAACAACUUCAAGAGAAAUGAAGUUUGGACACUGGUGCCUCGUCCCAAGCAAAAUGUUGUGGGAACCAAGUGGGUGUUCCGCAACAAACAAGACGAGCACGGAGUGGUGACAAGGAACAAGGCACGACUUGUGGCAAAAGGUUAUGCCCAAGUCGCAGGUUUGGACUUUGAGGAGACUUUUGCUCAUGUGGCUAGGCUAGAGUCCAUUCGUAUUUUGCUAGCAUAUGCCGCUCACCAUUCUUUCAGGUUGUUCCAAAUGGAUGUGAAGAGCGCUUUCCUCAACGGGCCAAUCAAGGAGGAGGUGUACGUGGAGCAACCCCCUGGCUUCGAGGAUGAACGAUACCCCGACCACGUGUGUAAGCUCUCUAAGGCGCUCUAUGGACUUAAGCAAGCCCCAAGAGCAUGGUAUGAAUGCCUUAGAGACUUUUUAAUUGCUAAUGCUUUCAAGGUUGGGAAAGCCGAUCCAACUCUUUUUUACUAAGACUUGUGAUGGUGAUCUUUUUGUGUGCCAAAUUUAUGUCGAUGACAUAAUAUUUGGUUCCACUAAUCAAAAGUCUUGUGAAGAGUUUAGCAGGGUGAUGGCUCAAAAGUUUGAGAUGUCGAUGAUGGGCGAGUUAAGCUAUUUCCUUGGGUUCCAAGUGAGGCAACUCAAGGAUGGGACCUUCAUCUCCCAAACGAAGUACACGCAAGACUUGAUCAAGAGGUUUGGGAUGAAGGACGCCAAGCCCGCAAAGACUCCAAUGGGAACCGACGGACACACCGACCUCAACAAAGGAGGUAAGUCCGUUGAUCAAAAGGCAUGCCGGUCCAUGAUAGGGUAUUUACUUUAUUUAUGUGCUAGUAGACCGGAUAUUAUGCUUAGCGUAUGCAUGUGUGCUAGAUUUCAAUCCGAUCCGAGAGAAUGCCACUUAGUGGCGGUGAAGCGAAUUCUUAGAUAUUUAGUUGCUACGCCUUGCUUCGGGAUCUGGUAUCCAAAGGAGUCUACCUUUGACUUGAUUGGAUAUUCAGACUCCGACUAUGCUGGAUGUAAGGUCGAUAGGAAGAGUACAUCGGGGACGUGUCAAUUCUUAGGAAGGUCCCUGGUGUCAUGGAGCUCUAAGAAACAAACUUCUGUUGCCCUAUCCACCGCUGAGGCCGAGUACGUUGCCGCAGGACAGUGUUGCGCGCAACUACUUUGGAUGAGGCAAACCCUCCGGGACUUUGGCUACAAUCUGAGCAAAUUCCCACUCCUAUGUGAUAAUGAGAGUGCUAUCCGCAUGGCGGAUAAUCCUGUUGAACACAGCCGCACAAAGCACAUAGACAUCCGGCAUCACUUUUUGAGAGACCACCAGCAAAAGGGAGAUAUCAAAGUGUUUCAUGUUAGCUCCGAGAACCAGCUAGCCGAUAUCUUUAUCAAGCCUUUAGAUGAGCAGACCUUUUGCAAGUUGCGUAGUGAGCUAAAUGUCUUAGAUUCGCGGAACUUGGAUUGAUUUAUAGCAUACAUGUGUUUUAUGCCUUGAUCAUGUUCCUUAAGCAUAUUGUUGUUUAUUUAUGGUGCUCAAGUUGUGCAAACACUCCCCGGACCUCACAAGUCCACUUGCAAGUGAUGCACAUAUUUAGGGGGAGAUGUGCUACAACUUGACCCUUUGAGACUAACUGUGUGCUUGAGUGUGCUUAAUUUAGUCUCAAAGGAGGUUUGAAAGGGAAAAGGUGGACUUGGACCAUGCAAGACUUCCACUGCACUCCGAUGAAAGAGUAACUUUUCCAAGUUCAUCUUUGUACUCUUAUUGCCUUUUUACUCUUAGUUGAAGAUUUUGGUGAGGCAAUGGGGUUAAAGGGCCAAAAUUGAUCCCAUUUUGGUGCUUGAUGCCAAAGGGGGAGAAAAUAAGGCCAAAGCAAGAAAUGGAUCAGCUACCACUUGAGAAUUUUGAAAAAGUAGAGUUAGAGUUUUUGUUUGUCAAAAACCUCUUUUUUGCCUCUUAUUGUCAACAGUUGAUCUCUUGUGGGGAGAAGGCUUAAUUAUGGGAAAAGGGGGAGUUUUUGAACUCUUUGAUCAAUUUCUCUUGAAAUAUCUCUCUUUAUGUUUCAACAAGUGUGUUUGACUUAGAGAUAGGAAAUUGAGUUUGAUUUGCAAAAACAAACCAAGUGGUGGCAAAGAAUGAUCCAUAUAUGUCAAAUUUGAAUCAAAACAAUUUUGAGUUCUUAUUUGAAUUGAUUUUGCACUUGUUCUACUUGCUUUAUGUUGUGUUGGCAUAAAUCACCAAAAAGGGGGAGAUUGAAAGGGAAAUGUGCCCUUGGGCCAUUUCUAAGUAUUUUGGUGAUUUAGUGUCCAACACAAGUGCCUAAGUGUUAAAUGGUAGACAAAGUACAAAUCAAGUAUAAAGGUAUGUUUCUCAGACUUAGUACAUUGUUUUAGAGACUAAUGUAUUGUGUCUAAGUGCUGGAAACAGGAAAAAUCAAGUUGAAAUUAAAGAUGGCUUUGUUCAGCCAAAGUCAGCUAUGUCUGGGUGCACCGGAUUGUCCGGUGGUGCACCGAACAGUGACCGGUGCGCCAGGCUGACUCAGGCGAACUUGCUGCUCUCGGGAAGAGAUUAGCGGCGUACGGCUAUAAUUCACCGGACUGUCCGGUGAGCCAACGGUCGGCCGGGCCAACGGUCGGCCGCGCGAUCCGCGCGAGACACGUGGCCGAGCCAACGGUCGGAAGGGGGCACCGGACUGUCCGGUGCGCCAACGGCUCCAAAGCGCCAACGGUCGGCUUCGCCAAAGAAGGAAAGAAAUCCGCACCGGACAGUGUCCGGUGGUGCACCGGACUGUCCGGUGCGCCAGGCGAUAGAAGGCAAGAAUUGCCUUCCUGGAAUGCACUCAACGGCUCCUAGCUGCCUUGGGGCUAUAAAAGGGACCCCUAGGCGCAUGGAGGAGAAUACCAAACAUUCUCUAAGCAUUCAUAAGCACCAAGACUUCGAUUCCGCGCAUUUGAUUCUUUGCGAUAGCAAUUAGAGCUCCGUUUGAGUUGUGAACUCGCUGAGUUGUGUUGUGAGCUCUUGUUGCGACUUGUGUGCGUGUUGGUACUGUGAUUUUGUGUCUUGUGUGCGUUGUUCAUCCCUCCCUUACUCCAUGCUUCUUUGUGAACAUCAAAGUGUAAGGGCGAGAGACUCCAAGUUGUGGAGAUUUCUCGCAAACGGAUAUAGUAAAGCAAAGCAAAACAUCGUGGUAUUCAAGUGGGUCUUUGGACCGCUUGAGAGGGGUUGAUUGCAACCCUCGUCCGUUGGGACGCCACAACGUGGACUAGGCAAGUGUUGAACUUGGCCGAACCACGGGAUAAACCACUGUGCCAUCUCUGUGUUGAUCUCUUUGUGGUUUUCGUGUUGUGCAAACUCUCCUCUCUAGCCACUUGGCUUAACUGUGCUAACUCUAAUCAAGUUUUGUGGAUUAAGUUUUAAGUUUUCUUAGGAUCACCUAUUCACCCCCCCCCUCUAGGUGCUCUCAGCUAUAAAUACCCCCAACCACCACAACACCAACAACCCAAGUAUUCUGAACAUUGCAUUCAAUACAAGAGCAAUAGCCUCCACUCCAAGACACAAUCAAAGCGAUCGAUCCACUCAAAGUCCCCAAAUCAACUCUAGUGCAUUAGGACUUGUGAGAGGAUCUCUUGUGUUCCUUUGUUGCUCUUGUUUGCUUGGCUUGGACUUCUUUUUUUCUUUUCAAUUCUUACUCUCAAGUGCUUUGUAAGCAAGGCAAGAGACACCAAUUGUGUGGUGGUCCUUGCGGGGUCUAAGUCACCCGUGAGAUUAAGGAAGAAGGCUCACUCGGUAUAAGUGACCGUUUGAGAUAGGGAAAGAGUUGAAAGAGACCCGGUCUUUGUGACCACCUCAAUGGGGACUAGGUUCUUUAGAACCGAACCUCGGUAAAACAAAUCAUUGUGUUCAUCCACCUGAUUCGCUCUUGAUUUGUUUCCCCCCUCUCUCCUGGACUCGAUUUAAGUUCUAACGCUAACCCCGGCUUGUAGUUUGUGUUUUAAGUUAUAAAUUUCAUAUUACACCUAUUCACCCCCCCUCUAGGCGACUUUCACCAACAAAGGUACAGAUUCACACAAUUGUGCAUCUCUACUCUACUCGAUGCAAAUAUUUUUUAAAUGAGGUUGUGUGCUUUUUUGUUUCUCUAUGCAAAUUUCUGAAUCGGGGCGCAUUUCUUCACCUUAAUGUAAGUUUCUAUAUUUAUUGUGUAACUUCUUUACUCGUUUUUUGGUAAAUAAUAGUGGUUCUGAAGUCAACAUAGGUCUAAGUUGCUGGCAAAUGUUCCUUCUAUAUAAAUUUAAGUUUUUGCCCGCUGCACAAUGAUGACAAUUUUUCACUCCUCGUUUCUACAAAAAAAAAAUCAACACUGCAAGGAGACCAAAACCUGCACCGUGACCCCCUCGAGCACCCCGCUAUGGUGCUGCCAGCGCAGCCGCCUCGCAGGUGAGUGCCCGUGUGUUGCAUGUGGUCUGGUGGUAACACAUGUGCUCCUAACCAUACAGGUGACCUUGCUCUUCCUCGUCUAAGCGACUCGAUCACUUCUAUAUAAAUUUAAGUUUUUGCCCGCUGCACGAGAAUGACGAUUUUUUCACUCCCCGUUUCUACAGAAAAAAAUCGACACUGCAAGGAGGCCAAAGCCUACGCCGAUGACCCCCUCGAGCACCCUGCUACGGUGCUACAAGCGCAACCGCCUCACAAGUUGACGUUCCGGCGGGGCAAAGUACUGAACCCUGAAGAGAUCAGUGGUAGCACCCCAAAACGGCUCCGGUUCAUGCCUUCCAUAGCCGUGGCAGACGCGACAUCCAGGAGCAAAUGCGACAGGAUCACAAGUAGGAGGAGCGGCGACGAUGCUGUAGCGAGAGACGUGGGUGUCGAGGUCAUCGUGCUGCGUUGGUGGUAGGACGAGAAGGAGACGAAAAAGUAGGAGUCAGGGCUGUUCAACAACGUGAUCGAAUCGCUGAGGCGAGGAAGAGCAAGGUGAAGGCACUCGUCGAUGCCUUUGAGACCGACAGACCAUCAUCUCGCUGCAGAAACGAGCAAGCCUGCUGCUGCUCCAGCUAUGGCAGCAGGUGUCGUGCCAUGAGCGCUUCUUGACCUGCAGUGUGCAUGAUCACAUUUCUUGGAAUUUUGGACUUUUGUUGUUGUUAGUGACCGUAAAAGUGGCGCUUGUUGAGGUUUGCUCGUUCCCAUGUAAACUAAGUUUUCUCAUGGGAGUUUCCAUACUUUCGUAGUGCUUCCAAAAACCGAAAGUUCGUAUAGGUUUUGUGUCUGUGCAAGGCUUGGCAAGUUGGUAUUGUACUGAUAAGUGAUAAGUAAGCAAGUUACUGUAAUGAUUUAAACUAUAUUGUUUUGAAAGGAAAUGGAAAGGAUAAAGCAAAUUAAACUUUGUAUUAAGUUACCUGAUUCAUGAAAAUGGUACUAACCUUCUUCCAACGUUUUCUAUGUUUCUCAUUUCACUCGCUGCAUUUUCAGUUACAGCUACACUGCAUAUGCUGGCAGAUUUGUUCAUAUAUUACUCCUGCUGGCAUUUUCACUAUCGCAGCAGCAUCUCUACUACUAUUUGUUUUUUUCAUAUAAAUGUAUUUUAUCAUAUUGAUUCCGUAGCAACGCACGGACAUAUUCAUAGUAAAUACUUAUGUAGAGACAUUUUUAAUUUUUAUAUAUACAUAUUUAUCAUACUCUCAAAUGUGUUGUACAUAUUUUAGUUUUGCUAAACCAAUUGUUUAAAGUAUUCAAAUGGAUAGAUAAAAGGAGAAAAAAACUCUACAUAUAGAGGAUCUAAUAAUAUUCUCUAAAUUUAAAAUUUAGAGGAUUAUUUAGAUAACCUCGUUGGAGAAAUUAGAGCACAAAAAUUUUAUCUAUAAUUUAGAGUACAUGAACCUUUACAUGGUCUAUUGGAGCUAGUCUUAGAUAGCCUUAGCCCAAUAGUGUACCCUAAAGCUCUAUCCAUUUUAAUAUACGUAUGUAGAAAAUUAGAAGUAAAAUAUGUCUCUGUAUUUACAUGCAGCACGAGAUUUACGUAUAGGACGAGAUUUAUAAAACGCUACUGAACAAGAAAAAAAGAAGAGUGGACAGAUAUAAUGGAUAGAGAAAAUUGUAGCAGAUAAAGGAUUCAGAAACCAAUCCAAACGACCCUGCAAAACUUCCAAAACUUUGGCUUGUUUGGUUAUACCAAUCCAGAAGAGAAUUGGAGGGAUUUAAAUCCCCUCCUAUUCAUUUUUGACUUGGAUUGGUAUAACCGAACAUGCUCUUAGGCCUAGUUUGGGUACUCUAGUAUUGACCUCAAUCCACUUGUAUUGAGGUGUAACUUAAACUAAUUUACACCCCAAUCCAGAUCAAUACAUGUGGAUUGAGGUCAAUACUAGAGUACCCAAACAAAGCCUUAAGGGGAUAAAAAGAAACAUACUGCGUAAUUGGUUGCUCAACCGAAUACACCAGGAGUUUCGCUAAACGUCCAAGCCCACCGCGUAGACCUGCAUGCGUAGAGACGCGAGGACGGAGCUAGCUAGCCGUCAUUCGUCAAGGCCGCUGCGAGCCGUGCAAGGACAGAGCUUCGCUAGCCGUCCAGGCGCUGCGAGCCGGGCGCCCACGAACCCAGAAACCAAUCAUGCCGAUACUGAAGAUAACUAUACGACUUCCUAAAAUCAAAUUAACAAUGCCAAAAGGUUAACAUAUAGCUCUUACAGCAUUCUUGUAUUGCAGAAGGUGAAAUAGCAACAAGGUACCAAAUAAAUAGAUAAAAGUGCACAGGCUAACAGAGCUCAACAGUUCACACAAUAACAGCAACGACCACAAACAAAACUUGUAAUGAUGAAAACUAGGUAUUGCUAAAGCAGGCGCAGGAUCGCAUCAUUUCUUCUUGGCAGCAGCCUUGGUCACCUUGGCGCCGGUUGGGUCCUUCUUCUCCACACUCUUGAUAACUCCAACAGCAACCGUCUGCCUCAUGUCACGGACAGCAAACCUACCAAGGGGAGGAUACGCUGAGAAUGUCUCCACCACCAUGGGCUUGGUGGGUAUCAUCUUCACCAUACCAGCAUCACCGUUCUUCAGGAACUUUGGCUCCUUCUCAAGCUCCUUGCCAGAGCGCCUGUCGAUCUUGGUAAUGAGCUCAGCAAACUUGACAGCGAUGUGGGAGGUGUGGCAGUCCAGCACAGGGGCAUAGCCGUUGCCAAUCUGCCCAGGGUGGUUCAUGAUGAUGACCUGGGAGGUGAAGCUGGCAGCCUCCUUGGCAGGGUCAUCCUUGGAGUUGGAGGCCACAAACCCACGCUUGAGGUCCUUGACAGCAACAUUCUUCACGUUGAAGCCAACAUUGUCACCCGGAAGAGCCUCCUGAAGUGCCUCGUGGUGCAUCUCAACAGACUUCACCUCGGUAGUCAGGCCAGUUGGACCAAAGGUGACUACCAUACCAGGCUUGAUGACACCAGUCUCCACACGACCAACCGGUACAGUUCCAAUACCACCAAUCUUGUACACAUCCUGGAGGGGCAGACGCAGGGGCUUGUCUGAAGGCCUCUUGGGCUCGGUGAUCUGGUCAAGAGCCUCAAGCAGGGUUGGGCCUUUGUACCAGUCAAGGUUGGUGGACCUCUCAAUCAUGUUGUCGCCCUCAAAACCAGAAAUGGGAACAAAGGCAAUCUUAUCAGGGUUGUACCCAACUUUCUUGAGGUAGGAUGAGACUUCCUUCACAAUCUCUUCAUAACGUGCCUUGGAGUAUUUGGGAGUGGUUGCAUCCAUCUAAAAAACAGAACACCAUUACUUUGAUUAUCCACGGUACAUAGAUAGUAUAUGCUUGGAACAGAAUAAUACUAUUAGCUUAAUGGAAUAAUAAAGGACAUGAACAUCAGGCAAACUGUGGAUGUGAUACCACAGCAGUGACAACUACACAUAAAUAGGUAGAUCACCGUGUAUCGUAAUUCAUAUAUAUGUAGCCAACAUAGCAAGUCCUGGAUGUAACAAAUAAGAAGCAUAUGACAAAAUACAGAGCUAAUCAGGUAUAUGUCAAUGCAUCCUACAAUAAAACUGCAGUACCAGCACAUUAAAUAACCAUACCAAUCAAGUGAAGAUAAAUAAAUGCUUAUACACUUGUACAUACAUUACUUGUUCCAAUAACAUCUAAACAUUACUUGGAACAAUUGAGCGAGAAACUUCUAUGAAAAUUAAUGAGAAAAUAUUCUACAACAGAUCAUACUAGCAAACUAAUGAAUGCUAUUAAGUUAACUAACUACUAAAUAUGAAAGAAACAGAAGGUUAAUCGAAGCUCUAGCCACUAUAUGCAUUUCACAAAUCCUGUAUUCAACUCCAGAACUAUUAUACUAGCACCAAAUUCUGCAAAAGUAGCACAUACCAUUAUACUAGAGGCUUUUGAAACAAAAAUUCCUGAAAGCAUACCUUGUUGCAGCAGCAAAUCAUCUGCUUCACUCCAAGGGUGAACGCAAGGAGAGCAUGUUCACGGGUCUGGCCAUCCUUGGAGAUACCAGCCUCAAAACCACCAGUGGUGGAGUCAAUGAUAAGGACAGCACAGUCAGCCUGGGAGGUACCAGUGAUCAUGUUCUUGAUGAAGUCACGGUGUCCAGGGGCAUCAAUGACCGUGCAGUAGUACUUGGUGGUCUCAAACUUCCACAGAGCGAUAUCAAUGGUGAUACCUCUCUCACGCUCAGCCUUGAGCUUGUCGAGCACCCACGCGUACUUGAAGGACCGCUUGUUCAUUUCAGCAGCCUCCUUCUCGAACCUCUCGAUCACACGCUUGUCAAUGCCUCCAAGCUUGUAGAUAAGGUGUCCUGUGGUGGUCGACUUGCCAGAGUCGACAUGGCCAAUAACCACAAUGUUGAUGUGGGACUUCUCUUUACCCAUGGUUGGAGGUGAGAUUGAACUGUUAACAAGACGAAUCAACGAUUAGAAACACUAGUAAAUUAAUACUACCAGUAACGACACAAUUUAUCAGAUGGGAUCAGAAACUAGAUCUAACGUUGUCACCGGUGAGCUUGAAAAGAGCUUGAUACGCAUAAGCAGUGUAAAAAUAAAGAAGCAAAUAUUAAACAGAGCAAUCAAUGUAAUAUAAAAAAAUAAAGCAGGCAGAGAAAAUAAAGGGCAAACUAAUAAGCGUGCGCACAUAAUUUUGAGCCAGUAAGACGAAUUCAAAAUUAGGCACAACAACUCUAUAAAGCAGAUCAGGAAUUUGGUCAUAUUAUGAGGUUACAACUCUUACUGCGCAUGAACUACAAAGACAAGUAUCGGUCAAAUAGAAACUGCAGCAGCUCUACACCUCAAAAAUUCGAUCUGACUUUAUUAAGACCACGUAACACGACCGCAAGCGCAAUUAAGAAGUCGUCCAACUACGGUGGCACGGUGCGUAUGUAAUUUAUCAAAUCCAGAAGCAACUAUCCGUAAGAAUCAGGUCAUCCAAACAUGGAAGCACACAAAACCACAAAAAACUAAGAGAAUGGAGACGCAGUAGCUACAAUUAAUCGCAAACAGAAGACCGAAUCACUUCAGGCACGGGGAGGCAACAGAGCACAGCUUUCAACCACUGCCUAUCUCAUCGAGCACCUCAAGGACAAAGAUCGAGCGACAGAGGAUUAGCUACCUUGCAAGGGACAGAGGCCGAAAUGGAGGCGCAGAAGGCAGACGGCGAGUUGGGGAGGAAGGUGCUGGCCUCUAGGGUUCGGGACUUUAUAUAAGGGUGUCGGAGUGGCCGGACCAGCCCAAUCUGACUUCCGAUUUCCGAAUGGCGGCCCAGGGCCCAUAAACGGAGCGAGACAUAGUAUAUGGGAAUAUGGGAUGACUGAAUGACAUUGUUAUCUGCUCUCAAUAUUGUAUAGCACCAUUUUUAUGUAGGGAUGGCAACGAACACAUUUUACUCGUGUGCCUGCGGGUAAAAACCUUAUAGGGUGUGGGUUUAAGUGUGAGUUUGUACUCAUGGGUACGAGUACGGGUUUGAUUCACAACUCGAUGGGUUUUUUUCUCGUGGGUAUGAAAAUAUUGUACCUGUGCCCGCAAAACCGUAUACUCGCGUGUGUGUCUGUGUAGACUAUAGAGCACAUGCAUCUCAAUUUAGUGCCACCUCGAAAGCUUUGAGCGAGCGAAGCCAAUCAAAUGAUAUAAAAGAAGACUACAGGCGCCAGGGAACUCGUAGAACUUUUGGCUAAGAUCGGUACAUGUUUUUAUCAGUUUAAUAAAUAUUUAUUAUUAUGUGCUAUCGGUUUAAUAAAUAUUUAUUAUAUGACUGUGCUCGCGGGUGUACCUGCGGGUAGCGGGUUUUGGUAACAUACGCUACCCGUCGCGGGUAGCGGGUGCGGGUACGGGUUUAACAUUAAUCUCGUGGGUACGAGUUUGUAAUCUCUGUACCCGUGGGUUUUAAACCCGUUGCCAUCCCUACUUUUAUGUAUAUGCCCCGAUUUCUCUAGUUACACUUUCCCAACUCUCGUAAUUGAUUUUAUCAAGCCAUAAUUAAUUUUGGUGGUUGAUCGUCAACACAAACACAUGGACUAACUAGUUUGUCUAUAACUCAUGUGUUAUAGGUGCAUAAGGUUCAACACAAACCAAUAAAAGAUUCAAGUUAGGGACUAAAAUUGAAACGGAGCAAAGAAUUUGAGUGUGCUGUGGACUGGCGCACCGGACUGUCCAGUGUGCCACCGGACAGUGUCCGGUGCACCAGGGCCGUAUAAGUUCCAACCAGCCACUCUCGGGAAUUUAACGGUGCCCUCCGCUAUAAUUCACGGGACUGUCUGGUGUGCCACCGGACUGUCCGGUGUGCUAGCGGAGCAACGGCUAACUCGCGCAACGGUCAACUCUGACAGAAGCUACAGUGAGCAACAGUGCCGCGCAGAAGUCAGAACAGCGAAGUCAGAGGGGCAUCGGACUGUCCGGUGUGGCACCGGACUGUCCGGUGCGGCACCGAACUGUCCAGUGCCGCAAGAGGGCAAAGCUCCAACGGUCGCCCGAGCUCCGAACCCUAAUAGUUGGGUGACGUGGUGGCGCACCGGACAACGCACAGUACCUGUCCGGUGGUGCACCGGACUGUCCGGUGGCGCACCGGACUAUCCGGUGCGACCAUCGCCAGCAACCUCCCCAACGGCUACCAAAGUGGUUGGAGGCUAUAAAUACCCUCCAACCACCACAACUUCAAGCAUCCAUGUUUUCUGAAGAUCACAUUCAAUACAAGAGCUCUAGCAUUCACUCCAAGACACAAUACAAAAGAUCAAAUCCUCUCCAAGUCCCAAAUUCAUUCCAAACACUUAGUGGCUUGAGAGAGAGAGAGAGAAUUUUGUGUUCAUUUGAGUUCUUGUCGCUUGGAUUGUCUUUCUUCUUUUCCAAUUCUUAUUCUCAAGUGCUUUGUAAGCGAGGCAAGAGACACCAAGUGUGUGGUGGUCCUUGCGGGGUCUUAGUGACCCGUGAGAUUAAGGAAGAAGGCUCACUCGGUCUAAGUGAUCGUUUGAGAUAGGGAAAGGGUUGAAAUAGACCCGGUCUUUGUGACCUCCUCAACGGGGACUAGGUUCUUUGGAACCAAACCUCGGUAAAACAAAUCAUCGUGUUCACUCGCCUUAUUUCUUGGUUGAUUUGUUUUCCAUCUCUUUCCGACUUAAAUUUAAUUCUAACGCUAACCUCCGACCUUAGUGCUUGCUUAAAGUUAUAAAUUCCAGGUUUCUCCUAUUCACCCCCUUUAGGCGACUUUCAAUUGGUAUCGGAGUCUGGUGCUUCAUUAGAGUCUAACAACUCGAAGUUAUGUCGGGAUAUCACACCAAGAGGGAGAUUAUGACCGGCAACAAGUCCGCAAGCUCGGGGAGGACUCUCUCAAGGGAGUCUGGCAACAAACAUAAAGAGGAAUCCUCUUCCUCCAUCAAGUCACAUCGGAAAGGUGACAAGAAGAAAAAUAUGAAAAAGGUGGUCUAUUACGAGACCGACUCUUCGUCACCCUCCACAUCAAGCUCCGAGUCAUCCGUCGCUUCUAAGAGCCAUGAGCUCAACAAGUAUAGUAAGAUGUCUCUUCGCUAUCCCCGUAUUUCUAAGCGCGCUCCAUUACUUUCCGUUCCCCUAGUCAAACCACCAUAUUUUGAUGGUGAAGAUUAUUGUAUUGUCGGGGACCAUAAUUAGGGGUACCCUGAAGGCUCCUAAUUCUCAGCUGGUAACCCCCAUCAGCACAAAGCUGCAAAGGCCUGAUGGGUGCGAUUAAGUCAGGGAUCGGUCCAUUCGCGGGACUCGAUCACGCCUCGCCCGAGCCUAGCCUCGGGCAAGGGCAGCCGACCCCGGAGGAUCUCCGUCUCGCCCGAGGCCCCCCUCCAGCGACGAACAUACUUCUGGCUUGCCCGAGGCCCUGUCUUCGCCAAGAAGCAACCCUGACCGAAUCGUCGCGCCGACCGACCAAAUCGCAGGAGCAUUUAAUGCAAAGGUGGCCUGACACCUUUAUCCUGACGCGCGCCCUUCUGUCGAUAGAGCCGAAGUGACCGCAGUCACUUCGCCGCUCCACUGACCGACCUGACAGAAGGGCAGCGCCGCCUGCGUCGCACCGACUGCAGUGCCACUUGACAGAGUGAGGCUGACAGGCAGUCAGGCCCGACCUCAGGCACCAUAGGAAACUCCGCUCCGCCCGACCCAGGGCUCGGACUUGGGCUAAGCCCCAGAAGACGGCGAACUCCGCUCCGCCCGACCCAAGGCUCGGACUCGGGCUAAGCCCCGGAAGACGGCGAACUCCGCUCCGCCCGACCCAGGGCUCGGACUCGGGCUAAGCCCCGGAAGACGGCGAACUCCGCUCCGCCCGACCCAGGGCUCGGACUCGGGCUAAGCCCCAGAAGAUGGCGAACUCCGCUCCACCCGACCCAGGGCUCGGACUUGGGCUGAGCCCCGGAAGACGGCAAACUCCGCACCGCCCGACCCAGGGCUCAGACUUGGGCUAAGCCCCAGAAGACGGCGAACUCCGCUCCGCCCGACCCAGGGCUCGAACUUGGGCUAAGCCCCGGAAGACGGCGAACUCCGCACCGCCCGACCCAGGGCUCGGACUUGGGCUCAGCCCCAGAAGACGACGAACUCCGCUUCGCCCGACCCCAGGGCUCGGACUCAGCCCUGGCCUCAGCCGACGGUCUCCGCCUCGCCCGACCCAGGGGCUCGGACUUGACCACGGCCACGGAAGACAGACUCGACCUCGACCUCGGAGGAGCCUCCACAUCGCCCAACCUAGGGCGCGGACCGACCACGUCGACAGGAAGCGCCAUCAUUACCCUACCUAGGGCUGGAAAAUUAGCUCGAGGCUCGCGAGCCGGCUCGGGCUCGGAGCGGCUCGGCUCGGCUCGGGACGGCUCGCGAGCCUCGAACGAGCCGAGCCGAGCCUCUUCUUCGAGCUCGUUUUUACAGCGAGCCGAGCCGAGCCAGCUCGUUCCAGCUCGCGAGCCGGCUCGCGAGCCUUGCAAAAAUAAUCAAUUUAUGGAAUAAUGAUAAAUAUUAGAUAAUUUUAUGGAUAAUAGCUCAUUUUUAGUCUUUAAUGAUGAAUACAUUACAAGUUAUAAUUUAAUUUACUCAUAAUGUAGAAUGAUGAUUCUAUAUUUCAAAUUUAUAUAAUGUUAAUUCACCAAAUAAUGCAACGGUAAGUACCAGAAUAUGGCUCACGAGCCGAGCCGAGCCGGCUCGCGAGCUAAGGUCGAGCCGAGCCUCUUUUGCCAGCUCGUGAAAUGGGCGAGCCGAGCCGAGCUCGUUCAGACACCGAGCCGCACCGAGCCGAGCCGAGCCGAGCUCGGCUCGGCUCGUUUCCAGCCCUAACCCUACCCCAAGCUGACUCAGGCUACGGGGAACAAGACCGGCGUCCCAUUUGGCUCGCUCCGCCAGAUAGGCAAUGAUGGCGCCCCGCACGCUCUGUGACGACGGCGGCUCUCAGCCCCCUUACGGAAGCAAGAGGACGUCAGCAAGGACUCGACGGCCCCGACAGCUGUCCUUCCGCCAGGCUCCAGCGCUCCUCCGACGGCCAUGACACCACAUGAACCGGGUGCCAAAACCUCUCCGGCUGCCACGACGGCGUGUACUUAGGGCGCUAGCUCUCCUCCGCUAGACACGUAGCACUUUGCUACACCCCCCAUUGUACACCUGGAUCCUCUCCUUACGCCUAUAAAAGGAAGGACCAGGGCCCUCUUACAGAGGGUUGGCCGCGCGGGGACGAGGACGAGACAGGCGCUCGCGUGAGGCCGCUCGCUCCCUCUCCCGCGUGGACGCUUGUAACCCCCUACUGCAAGCGCACCCGACCUGGGCGCGGGACGAACACGAAGGCCGCGGGAUUUCCACCUCUCUCACGCCUGUCUCCGGCCACCUUUCUCCCCCUUCGCGCUCGGCCUCGCGCCGACCCAUCUGGGCUGGGGCACGCGGCGACAUUUCACUCGUCGGCCCAGGGACCCCCCGGUCUCAAAACGCCGACAGUUAGCGUGCCAGGUAGGGGCCUGCUGCGUGUUGACGAACAGCUUCCCGUCAAGCUCCAGAUGGGCAGUCUCCAGCAACCUCUCCGGCCCGGGACGGUGCUCUGUUUCGGGAGCCUUGAGUUCAUGUCCUUCGACGGCAGCUACGACAUGAUACUCCUUCCACCGCCGUGCGACGGCGACAAUGGCGGCCGACAGCCCGCCCGCCGGCGGCGGAAUCGACGACGUCUUCCCCGCGUGGUGGAAGAACAACAUUCGAGCUCACCCCGUCCUCUCCCCCGCCGACGGAGGAGGAGGCGGGGCAACCAAGGCCAAGCAGGAGGCAGCGCCUCGUCGGCUGUCGAGCGAGUCGACGGCGCCAGCGCCCCAACGGGGGGCGCGUCGGGCAUCGACCUCACGUUUGAGACGAAGACGAGCGUCGUCUCCCCGCAACACGCCGAUUCCGAGCAAAUGGACGACGCCAGCAUGCUCGCGAAAGGCUUGCUGGAUGUCACCCUCGUACCUGAGACGACGGUGCAGUCAGUCCCCGACGUGACUUCAUCACCGCCCGUCGACCAAGAGGUACCGACCGAUUCCCAUCUCACGCCCUUUGGAUUCAGCCUCGACCCGCCAAGCGGCUUCGCUUUGGCGGACGCUCUCGUAGAGGCGAGUCCAAACCCUCUGGGGUAUCGUAUGUGGUCACCCUGGGACUGGCUGACGGACGUCUCGACCUACGGGCCCUCGAGGUCCGAGGAAGAUGACGAGCCCGACUUCUGUUGGGAUUUCUCCGGACUUGGUAACCCCAGUGCCAUGCGGGACUGAAAGGGAAAUGUGCCCUUGGGCCAUUUCUAAGUAUUUUGGUGAUUGAGUGUCAACACAAGUGCUUAAAUGUGAAUCAAUACCCAUGGAUGAACAAAGUGCAAAUCUAGAGCAAAGGUAUGUUUCUAAGUCUUAGUACAUUGGUUUUGUGUACUAAUAUACUUGUCUAAGUAUUAGAAACAGGAAGAAGAAGAAGAGAAGAAAGUUGGCUGUGUACAGCCAACAGGCUGUUUCGGUCUGGGGCACCGGACUGUCCGGUGGUGCACCGGACAGUGUCCGGUGGUGCACCGGACAGUGUCCGGUGCGCCAGGCUAUCUCGGCCGAAGAGGCCGCUCUCGGGAAUUUGCUGACGGCGUACGGCUAAAAUUCACCGGACUGUCCGGUGUGCACCGGACUGUCCGGUGAGCCAACGGUCGGCCAGGACCAACGGUCGGCCGCGCGAUCAGCGCAGGACACGUGGCCGAGCCAACGGUCGGAAGGGGGCACCGGACUGUCCGGUGUGCACCGGACAUGUCCGGUGCGCCAACGGCUCCCGCAUCUGCAACGGUCGGCUUCGCCAUUUAAGGAAAGGAAUCGGGCACCGGACACUGUCCGGUGUGCACCGGACUGUCCGGUGCGCCCGACGACAGAAGGCAAAGAUGGCCUUCCAGAUUUGUUCUCAACGGCUCCUAGCUGCCUUGGGGCUAUAAAAGGGACCCCUAGGCGCAUGGAGGAUAACACCAAGCAACUCUUGAGCAUUCUUGAUCAUCCACACUCAGUCUUUGCGCAUCCGUUUGUGAUUCUAAGUGAUUCGAGCUCUGUUCUUGUGAGAAACUGUGAGAUAGUCUUUGAGCUCGAAUCUUGGCCGUGUGUGUGCGCGUUUCGCUGUGGAUUUGUGUGUGUUGCUUCCCUCCCUUACUCUGUGCUUCUUUGUGAAUCUUAAGUGUAAGGGCGAGAGACUCCAAUUUGUGGAGAUUCCUCGCAAGUGGGAUAAAGAUAAGCAAGGCAAAAUACUGUGGUAUUCAAGUGGGUCUUUGGACCGCUUGAGAGGGGUUGAUUGCAACCCUCGUCCGUUGGGACGCCACAACGUGGAGUAGGCAAGUUUUGUACUUGGCCGAACCACGGGAUAAAUCACCGUGUCUCCUCUGUGUUGAAUUCUCUGUGAUUGUCGUAUUGUGCAAGAUCUUCUCUUUAGCCACUUGGCAAUUAUUGUGCUAACCUCUAACAAGUUUUUGUGGCUAUAAGUUAAGUUUUUACAGGAUCACCUAUUCACCCCCCCCCCUCUAGGUGCUCUCAAUUGGUAUCGGAGCCGUUCUCUUCACAAAGGGACUUACCGCCCGAAGAGAUGGAUCCUAAGGGGAAGGGAAUCGUGAUCAACGACAAAGAGAAGGAAUCCUUCGUCAACGAGCCGAAGGACAACAAGCCUACCGACUCCGGCUCGAGGCAUAGACGGAAGGAAGGGAAGAAGAAGAAGACAAGGCGCAUAAAGGAGAUCAUCUACUACGACGAUAGUGAUGAGUCUACUUCUUCCCAAAAGGAUGAUGACAACGACUACAAAAAGACGGUCAAUUCGAACUUUUCAUUUGAUUAUUCUCGUAUUCAACAUAGUUCGAAUUCGCAUUUGCUUUCCAUUCCUCUUGGCAAACCUCCACACUUCGAUGGGGAGGACUACGGAUUUUGGAGUCACAAAAUGCGUAGUCACUUAUUCUCUCUCCAUCCAAGCAUAUGGGAGAUUAUGGAGAAUGGAAUGAAAUUUGAUAGCUCGGAUAGCCCUAUGCUUAUAAAUGAACAAAUUCAUAGAAAUGCACAAGCUACUACUGUUCUCUUAGCGUCUUUGUGCAGGGAAGAGUACAAUAAGGUGAGUGGCUUGGACAAUGCCAAGCAGAUAUGGGACACCCUCAAGAUCUCUCACGAGGGGAACGACAUCACCAUGCUCACCAAGAUGGAGUUGGUGGAGGGCGAGCUUGGACGAUUCGCCAUGAUAAGGGGAGAGGAGCCAACUCAAACUUACAACCGGCUCAAGACUCUUAUCAACAAAAUAAGGAGCUACGGAAGCACACGUUGGACGGAUCACGACAUCGUCCGCCUAAUGCUCAGGUCCUUUACCGUUCUUGAUCCUCAUCUCGUGAACAAUAUUCGUGAGAAUCCCAGGUACACGAUGAUGACGCCCGAGGAAGUACUUGGAAAAUUCGUGAGCGGGCGGAUGAGAUCAAGGAGGCAAGAUACGCCGACGACGCGUUGAACGGUCCACUCCAUGAGCCUCAACCCAUUGCUCUAAAGGCAACGAGGAGCAAGGAGUCGCUACCUAGCAAGGUGGCGCAAGUUGAGGCGGCCGGGCUCAAUGAUGAAGAGAUGGCUCUCAUCAUCAAGAGAUUCAAGACGGCGCUAAAAGGUCGAAAGGGACAGCCAAGCAAGGCCAAGACCAAGGGAAAGCGAUCAUGCUUCAAAUGCGGUAAGCUUGGUCAUUUUAUUGCUAACUGUCCCGAAAAUGAUAGUGACCAGGAGCAAGGGAAAAAUGGGAAGAGAGAGAACAAGAAGGUUUACAAGAAGGCCAAAGGCGAAGCACACCUUGGAAAGGAGUGGGAUUCGGAUUGCUCUUCGUCCGACUCCGACGACGAAGGACUCGCCGCCACUGCCUUCAACAAAUCGGCUCUCUUCCCCAACGAGCAUCACACUUGCCUCAUGGCAAGGGAAAAGAAGGUAAUCACUCGUAAUGCUAAUACUUAUGAUUCUUCUAGUGAUGAUGAAUCUAGUGAGGAUGAAAUUGAUUACUCUAGUUUAUUCAAGGGAUUGGAUAGAACUAAGAUAGCUAAGAUUAAUGAGUUGAUCGAUGCCUUAAAUGAAAAGGAUAGAACCUUAGAGAAACAAGAAGACCUCUUAUAUGAAGAACAUGAUAAAUUUGUUAGUGCACAAAAUUCACUUGCUCUAGAAGUUAAAAGAAAUGGAAUACUUUCUUGUGAACUUUCUACUUGUAAUGAAACCAUUUCUUCUUUAAAAGGUGAAAUUAACGAUUUAACUGCUAAACUAGAAGUAGCAAGUAACUCGUAUGUUGAAAAUAUUACAAUUUGCACUAGGUGUAAGGAUUUUGAUGUUAAUGCUUGUAGUGAACACUUAGUUUCAAUUUCAAAACUAAAUGAUGAAGUGGCUAGUCUUAAUGCUCAACUUAAGACUAGCAAGAGUGAAGUUGAUAAAAUAAAAUUUGCAAGGGAUGCCUACACAGUGGGUAGACACCCCUCAAUUAAGGAUGGUCUUGGCUUCAAGAGAGAAGCCAAGAACUUAACAAGCCAUAAGACUCCUAUCUCCACCAAGGAGAAAGGGAAGGCUCCUAUGGCUAAUAGUGUUAAGAAGAAUCAUGCUUUCAUGUACUAUGAUAGGAGAUACUCUAGAAAUGCUUUUAGAAGUAAUGAUGUUUUUGAUUCACAUGCUUAUGACUCUUAUGCUAUGACUGCUUCUAGUUCUCAUGUUAUGCAUGGUAGAAAUGUGUUUAGAAGAAAUGUUGUUCACCAAAUGCCUAGGAGAAAUGUAGUUCAUAAUGCUCCUAGGAAAGUAGUGAAUGAACCUUCCGAAAUUUAUUGUGCUCUAAAUGCUUCCUUUGCUAUUUGUAGAAAGGAUAAGAAAAUUGUUGCUAGGAAGUUAGGGGCAAGAUGCAAGGGAGAUAAAACUUGCAUUUGGGUCCCUAAGAAUAUUUGUGCUAACCUUAUAGGACCCAACAUGAGUUGGGUACCUAAGUCCCAAGCCUAAAUUUGCCUUGCAGGUUUAUGCAUCCGGGGGUUCAAGCUGGAUUAUUGAUAGCGGAUGCACAAACCAUAUGACGGGGGAGAAGAAGAUGUUCACCUCCUACGUCAAGAAUAAGGAUUCCCAAGAUUCAAUUAUAUUCGGUGAUGGGAAUCAAGGCAAGGUAAAAGGGUUAGGUAAAAUUGCGAUUUCUAAUGAGCAUUCUAUCUCUAAUGUAUUUUUAGUAGAGAGUCUUGGAUAUAAUUUGCUAUCUGUUAGUCAAUUAUGUCAUAUGGGGUAUAAUUGUCUAUUUACAAAUGUAGAUGUGUCUGUCUUUAGAAGAAGUGAUGGUUCACUAGCUUUUAAGGGUGUAUUAGACGGCAAACUUUAUUUAGUUGAUUUUGCAAAAGAAGAGGCCGGUCUAGAUGCAUGCUUAAUAGCUAAGACUAGCAUGGGCUGGCUGUGGCAUCGCCGCUUAGCACAUGUGGGGAUGAAGAACCUUCACAAGCUUCUAAAGGGAGAACACGUGAUAGGUUUGACUAACGUGCAUUUCGAAAAAGAUAGACCUUGUGCAGCUUGUCAAGCAGGUAAACAAGUGGGAGGAGCGCAUCACAGCAAGAACGUGAUGACCACUUCAAGACCCCUGGAGCUGCUGCAUAUGGACCUCUUCGGACCUGUCGCCUAUCUGAGCAUAGGAGGGAGUAAGUAUGGUUUAGUUAUUGUUGAUGAUUUUUCCCGCUUCACUUGGGUGUUCUUUUUGCAGGAUAAGUCUGAAACCCAAGUGACCCUCAAGCGCUUCCUCAGGAGAGCUCAAAAUGAGUUUGAGCUCAAGGUGAAGAAGAUAAGGAGCGACAACGGGUCCGAAUUCAAGAACCUUCAAAUGGAGGAAUUCCUUGAAGAGGAAGGGAUCAAGCACGAGUUCUCCGCUCCCUACACACCACAGCAAAAUGGUGUGGUAGAGAGGAAGAACAGGACGCUAAUCGAUAUGGCGAGGACAAUGCUUGGAGAAUUCAAGACCCCCGAGUGUUUCUGGUCGGAAGCCGUGAACACGGCUUGCCACGCCAUCAACAGGGUCUACCUCCAUCGCCUCCUCAAGAAGACUUCGUAUGAGCUUCUAACCGGUAACAAACCCAAUGUAUCUUACUUUCGUGUAUUUGGGAGCAAGUGCUACAUUCUAGUGAAGAAAGGUAGAAAUUCUAAGUUUGCUCCCAAAGCUGUAGAAGGGUUUUUGUUAGGUUAUGACUCAAAUACAAAGGCGUAUAGAGUCUUCAACAAAUCAUUGGGUUUGGUUGAAGUCUCUAGCGACGUUGUAUUUGAUGAGACUAAUGGCUCUCCAAGAGAGCAAGUUGUUGAUUGUGAUGAUGUAGAUGAAGAAGAUGUUCCGACGGCCGCUAUACGGACCAUGGCGAUUGGAGAAGUACGGCCACAGGAACAAGAUGAACGAGAUCAACCUUCUUCCUCAACUAUGGUGCAUCCCCCAACCGAAGAUGACGAACAGGUACCUCAAGUGGAGGCGCUUGAUCAAGGGGGAGCACAAGAUGAUCAAGUGAUGGAGGAAGAAGCGCAACCGGCACCUCCAACCCAAGUUCGAGCGAUGAUUCAAAGGGAUCAUCCCGUCGAUCAAAUUCUGGGUGACAUUAGCAAGGGAGUAACUACUCGAUCUCGAUUAGUUAAUUUUUGUGAGCAUUACUCCUUUGUCUCUUCUAUUGAGCCUUUCAGGGUAGAGGAGGCCUUGCUAGAUCCGGAUUGGGUAUUGGCCAUGCAGGAGGAGCUCAACAACUUCAAGCGCAAUGAAGUUUGGACACUGGUGCCUCGUCCGAAGCAAAAUGUUGUGGGAACCAAGUGGGUGUUCCGCAACAAACAGGACGAGCACGGGGUGGUGACGAGGAACAAGGCUCGACUUGUGGCAAAAGGUUAUGCCCAAGUCGCAGGUUUGGACUUUGAGGAGACUUUCGCUCCUGUAGCUAGGCUAGAGUCCAUUCGUAUCUUGCUAGCAUAUGCCGCUCACCAUUCUUUCAGGUUGUACCAAAUGGAUGUGAAGAGCGCUUUCCUCAACGGGCCAAUCAAGGAGGAAGUGUACGUGGAGCAACCCCCUGGCUUCGAGGAUGAACGGUACCCCGACCACGUGUGUAAGCUCUCUAAGGCGCUCUAUGGACUUAAGCAAGCCCCAAGAGCAUGGUAUGAAUGCCUUAGAGACUUUUUAAUUGCUAAUGCUUUCAAGGUUGGGAAAGCCGAUCCAACUCUUUUUACAAAGACAUGUGAUGGUGAUUUGUUUGUGUGCCAAAUUUAUGUCGAUGACAUAAUAUUUGGUUCUACUAACCAAAAGUCUUGUGAAGAGUUUAGCAGGGUGAUGACACAGAAAUUCGAGAUGUCGAUGAUGGGCGAGUUGAACUACUUCCUUGGGUUCCAAGUGAAGCAACUCAAGGACGGCACCUUCAUCUCCCAAACGAAGUACACGCAAGAUCUGCUAAAGCGGUUUGGGAUGAAGGACGCCAAGCCCGCAAAGACUCCGAUGGGGACCGGCGGACACACCGACCUCAACAAAGGAGGUAAGUCCGUUGAUCAAAAAGCAUACCGGUCAAUGAUAGGUUCUUUGCUUUACUUAUGUGCUAGUAGACCGGAUAUUAUGCUUAGCGUAUGCAUGUGUGCUAGAUUUCAAUCCGAACCUAAGGAGUGUCACUUAGUGGCGGUGAAGCGAAUUCUUAGAUAUUUGGUUGCUACGCCUUGCUUCGGGCUCUGGUAUCCAAAGGGGUCUACCUUUGACUUAGUUGGAUACUCAGACUCCGACUAUGCUGGAUGUAAGGUCGAUAGGAAGAGUACAUCGGGGACGUGCCAAUUCUUAGGAAGGUCCCUGGUGUCAUGGAACUCUAAGAAACAAAUAUCCGUUGCCCUAUCCACCGCUGAGGCCGAGUACGUUGCCGCAGGUCAGUGUUGCGCGCAACUACUUUGGAUGAGGCAAACCCUCCGGGACUUUGGCUACAAUCUGAGCAAAGUCCCACUCCUAUGUGACAAUGAGAGUGCUAUCCGCAUGGCGGAGAAUCCUGUUGAGCACAGCCGCACAAAGCACAUAGACAUCCGGCAUCACUUUUUGAGAGACCACCAGCAAAAGGGAGAUAUCGAAGUGUUUCAUGUUAGCACCGAGAACCAGCUAGCCGAUAUCUUCACUAAGCCUCUAGAUGAGAAGACCUUUUGCAGGUUGCGUAGUGAGCUAAAUGUCAUAGAUUCGCGGAACCUGGAUUGAAUUGUAGCAUACAUGUACUUAUGCUUUUGAUCAUGUUCCUUUUUGCAUUUUGUUGCUUAUUAUGGUGCUCAAGUUGUACCAACACUCCCUGGACCUCACAAGUCCGUUGCAAAGUGAUGCACAUGUUUAGGGGGAGAUGUGUUACAACUUGACCCUUUGAGACUAACCAUGUGCUUGAGUUUGAUAAUUUAGUCUCGAAGGAGGAUUGAAAGGGAAAAGGUGGACUUGGACCAUGAAAGACUUCCACUGCACUCCGAUGAGAGGGUAACUAAUUCCAAGUUCAUCUCAUGAAAUCUUAUUGCCAUUUGCUCUUAAUUGAAGACUUUGGUGAGGCAAUGGGGUUAAAAGGCCAAGAUUGAUCCCGUUUUGGUGCUUCAUGCCAAAGGGGGAGAAAAUAAAGGCCAAAGUGAUAAAUGGAUCAGCUACCACUUGAGAGAUUUUGAAAAUAGUAGAAUAGAGUUUUUGUUGUGUCAAAAGGCUUUUAUUAUCUCGUAUUGUCUCUAUUGUCAAAAGUUGGCUUCUUGUGGGGAGAAGUGUUGAUUAUGGGAAAUAGGGGGAGUUUUUGAAAUCUUUGAUCAAUCUCUUUUGGAAUGACUCUCUUUAUGCCUCAACAUGUGUGUUUGACAUAGAAAUAGAAAUUUGAGUUUGAUUUGCAAAAACAAACCAAGUGGUGGCAAAUGAUGAUCCAUAUAUGCCAAAAUUGAAUCAAAACCAAUUUGAGCUUUUAUUUGAAGUGAUUUUGCACUUGUUCUAGUUGCUUUAUGUUGUGUUGGCAUAAAUCACCAAAAAGGGGGAGAUUGAAAGGGAAAUGUGCCCUUGGGCCAUUUCUAAGUAUUUUGGUGAUUGAGUGUCAACACAAGUGCUUAAAUGUGAAUCAAUACCCAUGGAUGAACAAAGUGCAAAUCUAGAGCAAAGGUAUGUUUCUAAGUCUUAGUACAUUGGUUUUGUGUACUAAUAUACUUGUCUAAGUAUUAGAAACAGGAAGAAGAAGAAGAGAAGAAAGUUGGCUGUGUACAGCCAACAGGCUGUUUCGGUCUGGGGCACCGGACUGUCCGGUGGUGCACCGGACAGUGUCCGGUGUGCCAGGCUAUCUCGGCCGAAGAGGCCGCUCUCGGGAAUUUGCUGACGGCGUACGGCUAAAAUUCACCGGACUGUCCGGUGUGCACCGGACUGUCCGGUGAGCCAACGGUCGGCCAGGACCAACGGUCGGCCGCGCGAUCAGCGCAGGACACGUGGCCGAGCCAACGGUCGGAAGGGGGCACCGGACUGUCCGGUGUGCACCGGACAUGUCCGGUGCGCCAACGGCUCCCGCAUCUGCAACGGUCGGCUUCGCCAUUUAAGGAAAGGAAUCGGGCACCGGACACUGUCCGGUGUGCACCGGACUGUCCGGUGCGCCCGACGACAGAAGGCAAAGAUGGCCUUCCAGAUUUGUUCUCAACGGCUCCUAGCUGCCUUGGGGCUAUAAAAGGGACCCCUAGGCGCAUGGAGGAUAACACCAAGCAACUCUUGAGCAUUCUUGAUCAUCCACACUCAGUCUUUGCGCAUCCGUUUGUGAUUCUAAGUGAUUCGAGCUCUGUUCUUGUGAGAAACUGUGAGAUAGUCUUUGAGCUCGAAUCUUGGCCGUGUGUGUGCGCGUUUCGCUGUGGAUUUGUGUGUGUUGCUUCCCUCCCUUACUCCGUGCUUCUUUGUGAAUCUUAAGUGUAAGGGCGAGAGACUCCAAUUUGUGGAGAUUCCUCGCAAGUGGGAUAAAGAUAAGCAAGGCAAAAUACUGUGGUAUUCAAGUGGGUCUUUGGACCGCUUGAGAGGGGUUGAUUGCAACCCUCGUCCGUUGGGACGCCACAACGUGGAGUAGGCAAGUUUUGUACUUGGCCGAACCACGGGAUAAAUCACCGUGUCUCCUCUGUGUUGAAUUCUCUGUGAUUGUCGUAUUGUGCAAGAUCUUCUCUUUAGCCACUUGGAAAUUAUUGUGCUAACCUCUAACAAGUUUUUGUGGCUAUAAGUUAAGUUUUUACAGGAUCACCUAUUCACCCCCCCCUCUAGGUGCUCUCAGGGACUUCAUGACCACAUGCAACUACUGCCUUUCCGACUGUUCCGACGGUAGCCGCAGCCUCGGCGACGAGGACUGCGGCCCAAGCCGCGAAUGUUUCCACGUCGAUCUAGGGGGUCCCUCCGAAGGCAACCAUCUCGGUAUGCCAGAGAACGGUGAUCUCCCUAGGCCUGCGCCUCGCGUUGACAUCCUACGGGAGCUAGCUGUGGUCCUCAUUCAGGCGGGGGGCCAUGACCCACAGCUCGAGCAAAUCCGCGGGGUGCAGGCCAGGCUCGACGAGGGAGCAGGAGCGCUUGAGCCGAUCCGCCUGGACGUCGGGCAGGAAUGGGCGGGCCAACCUCUGGCGGAGAAAUGCGUCAUCUACCCCAGGGCUUCCAGCACCGCAUCGCCGACAAUGUCAGGAUGAGGCCGCCACCCGCUUCCAGUGGGGUCGGCCAGAACCUGGUCGCGGCGGCAAUGCUUCUCCACGCGAUGCCGGAGCCAUCGACCACCGAGGGGCGGCGAAUCCAGGGAGAACUCAAGAAUCUCCUGGAGGGCGCCGCGGUCCAGCGGGCCGAAAGCUCCGCCUCCCGAAGGCAGGGGCACCCCUCGGAACAUCAUGCCGCGACUUCCCGAUUCAUGCAGGAAGCCUCAGUCCACACCGGGCGCACGCGCAACACAGCGCCUGCGGCCUCGGGUCGCCCCGGCAACGAGCACCAUCACCACGACCGUCGGGCCCACCUCGACGAGAGGGUGCGCCGAGGCUACCACCCCAGGCGUGGGGGACGCUACAACAGCGGGGAGGAUCAGAGUCCCUCGCCCGAACCACCCGGUCCGCAGGCUUUCAGCCGGGCCAUACGACGGGCGCCGUUCUCGACCCGGUUCCGACCCCCGACUACUAUCACAAAGUACUCGGGGGAGACGAGACCGGAGCUGUGGCUCGCGGACUACCGGCUGGCCUGCCAACUGGGUGGAACAGACGAUGACAACCUCAUCAUCCGCAACCUCCCCCUGUUCCUCUCCGACACCGCUCGCGCCUGGUUGGAGCACCUGCCUCCGGGGCAGAUCUCCAACUGGGACGACCUGGUCCAAGCCUUCGCCGACAAUUUCCAGGGCACGUACGUGCACCCUGGGAAUUCCUGGGACCUCCGAAGCUGCCGACAGCAGCCGGGAGAGUCUCUCCGGGACUACAUCCGACGAUUCUUGAAGCAGCGCACCGAGCUGCCCAACAUCACCGACUCGGAUGUCAUCGGCGCGUUCCUCGCCGGCACCACCUGCCGCGACCUGGUGAGCAAGUUGGGUCGCAAGACCCCCACCAGGGCGAGCGAGCUGAUGGACAUCGCCACCAAGUUCGCCUCUAGCCAGGAGGCGGUCGAGGCUAUCUUCCGGAAGGAUAAGCAGCCCCAGGGCCGCCCACCGGAAGAUGCCCCCGAGGCGUCAACUCAGCGCGGCACCAAGAAGAAGGGCAAGAAGAAGUCGCAAGCGAAACGCGACGCCGCCGACGUGGACCUUGUCGCUGCCGCCGAGUACAAGAACCCUCGGAAACCCCCCGGAGGUGCCAACCUCUUCGACAAGAUGCUCAAGGAGCCGUGCCCCUAUCACCAAGGGCCCGUCAAGCACACCCUUGAGGAGUGCGCCAUGCUUCGGCGCCACUUCCACAGGGCCGAGCCACCCGCGGAGGGUGGCAGGGCUCGCGACGACGACAAGAAGGAAGAUCACCAGGCAGGAGAGUUCCCCGAGGUCCGCGACUGCUUCAUGAUCUACGGUGGGCAAGCGGCGAACGCCUCGGCUCGGCACCGUAAGCAAGAGCGUCGGGAGGUCUGUUCGGUGAAGGUGGCGGCGCCAGUCUACCUAGACUGGUCUGACAAGCCCAUCACCUUCGACCAAGCCGACCACCCCGACCACGUGCCGAGCCCGGGGAAAUACCCGCUCGUUGUCGACCCCGUCAUCGGCGACGUCAGGCUCACCAAGGUCCUCAUGGACGGAGGCAGCAGCCUCAACAUCAUCUACGCCGAGACCCUCGGGCUCCUGCGUGUCGAUCUGUCCUCGGUCCGGGCAGGCGCUGCGCCUUUCCAUGGGAUCAUCCCCGGGAAGCGCGUCCAGCCCCUCGGACAACUCGACCUUCCCGUCUGCUUCGGAACACCCUCCAACUUCCGAAGGGAGACCCUGACGUUCGAGGUGGUCGGGUUCCGAGGAACCUACCACGCGGUACUGGGAAGGCCAUGCUAUGCGAAGUUCAUGGUCGUCCCCAACUACACCUACCUCAAGCUCAAGAUGUCGGGCCCCAACGGGGUCAUCACCGUCGGCCCCACAUACAAACACACGUUCGAAUGCGACGUGGAGUGCGUGGAGUACGCCGAGGCCCUCAUCGCCGACCUGGAGAGCCUCUCUAAGGAGGUGCCGGACGUGAAGCGUCAUGCCGGCAACUUUGAGCCAGCGGAGACGGUUAAGUCCGUCCCCCUCGACCCCAGCAGCGACGCCUCCAAGCAGAUCCGGAUCGGCUCCGAGCUCGAUCCCAAAUAGGAAGCAGUGCUCGUCGACUUUCUCCGCGCGACUGCCGACGUCUUCGCGUGGAGUCCCUCGGACAUGCCUGGCAUACCGAGGGAUGUCGCCGAGCACUCGCUAGACAUCCGAGCCGGAGCCCGACCCGUCAAGCAGCCUCUGCGCCGAUUCGACGAAGAGAAGCGCAGAGCCAUAGGCGAGGAGAUCCACAAGCUAAUGGCAGCAGGGUUCAUCAAAGAGGUAUUCCAUCCCGAAUGGCUUGCCAACCCUGUGCUUGUGAGAAAGAAAGGAGGGAAAUGGCAGAUGUGUGUAGACUACACUGGUCUAAACAAAGCAUGUCCGAAGGUUCCCUACCCUCUGCCUCGCAUCGAUCAAAUCGUGGAUUCCACUGCUGGGUGCGAAACCCUGUCUUUCCUCGAUGCCUACUCCGGGUAUCACCAAAUCAGGAUGAAGGAGUCCGACCAGCUCGCGACUUCUUUCAUCACGCCCUUCGGCAUGUACUGCUAUGUCACCAUGCCGUUCGGCUUGAGGAAUGCGGGCGCGACGUACCAGCGGUGCAUGAACCAUGUGUUCGGCCAACACAUUGGCCGGACGGUCGAGGCCUACGUCGAUGACAUCGUAGUCAAGACGAGGAAAGCCUCUGACCUCCUUUCCGACCUUGAAGUGACAUUCCGAUGUCUCAAGGCGAAAGGCGUGAAGCUCAAUCCCGAAAAGUGUGUCUUCGGGGUGCCCCGAGGCAUGCUCUUGGGGUUCAUCGUCUUCGAGCGGGGCAUCGAAGCCAACCCAGAGAAGAUCGCAGCCAUCACCAGCAUGGGGCCCAUCAAGGACUUAAAAGGCAUACAGAGAGUCAUGGGAUGUCUCGCGGCUCUGAGCCGCUUCAUCUCACGCCUCGGCGAAAGAGGUCUACCUUUGUACCGCCUCUUAAGGAAGGCCGAGUGCUUCACUUGGACCCCUGAGGCCGAGGAAGCCCUCGGGAACCUGAAGGCGCUCCUCACGAAUGCGCCUAUCUUGGUGCCCCCAGCUGCCGGAGAAGCCCUCCUGAUCUACGUCGCCGCGACCACUCAGGUGGUUAGCGCCGCGAUUGUGGUCGAGAGGCAAGAAGAGGGGCAUGCAUUGCCCGUUGAGAGGCCAGUCUACUUCGUCAGCGAGGUACUGUCCGAGACCAAGAUUUGCUACCCACAAGUUCAGAAGCUGCUGUACGCGGUGAUCCUGACGCGGCGGAAGCUGCGACACUACUUCGAGUCUCAUCCGGUAACUGUGGUGUCAUCCUUCCCCCUAGGGGAGAUCAUCCAGUGCCGAGAGGCCUCGGGUAGAAUCGCAAAGUGGGCGGUGGAAAUCAUGGGCGAAGCAAUCUCGUUCGCCCCUCGGAAGGCCAUCAAGUCCCAGGUCCUGGCGGACUUCGUGGCUGAAUGGGUCGACACCCAGCUCCCAACAGCUCCGAUCCAGCCAGAGCUUUGGACCAUGUUCUUUGAUGGGUCGUUGAUGAAGACAGGAGCCGGCGCAGGCCUACUCUUCAUCUCGCCCCUCGGGAAGCACCUACGCUACGUGCUACGCCUCCAUUUCCCGGCGUCCAACAAUGUGACUGAGUACGAGGCUCUGGUCAACGGGUUGCGGAUCGCCAUCGAGCUAGGGGUCCGAUGCCUCGACGCUCACGGUGACUCGCAGCUCGUCAUCGACCGAGUCAUGAAGAACUCCCACUGCCGCGACCCAAAGAUGGAGGCCUACUGCGAUGAGGUUUGGCGCCUGGAAGACAAAUUCUACGGGCUCGAGCUCAACCACAUCGCCCGGCGCUACAACGAGACUGCGGACGAGCUGGCUAAAAUAGCCUCGGGGCGAACAACGGUUCCCCCGGACGUCUUCUCCCGAGACCUGCAUCAACCCUCCAUCAAGAUCGACGACACGCCCGAGCCCAAGGCACCCUCGGCCCAGCCCGAGGUACCCUCGGCUCAGUCCGAGGCAUCUUCAGCACGACCCGAGGCACCCUCGGUCCGGCCCGAGCCACCCUCGGUUCAGCCCGAGGCACCCUCGGCACCCGAGGGUGAGGCACUGCGCGUCGAGGAGGAGCGAAGCGGGGGCACGCCUAAUCAAAACUGGCGGACCCCGCAUCUGCAAUAUCUCCACCGUGGAGAGCUACCCCUCGACCGAGCCGAAGCUCGGCGGUUGGCGCGGCGUGCCAAGUCGUUCGUCUUGCUGGGAGAUGAGAAGGAGCUCUACCACCGCAGCCCCUCGGGCAUCCUCCAGUGAUGCAUCUCCAUCACCGAAGGUCAGGAACUCCUACGAGAGAUACACUCGGGGGCUUGCGGCCAUCACGCAGCACCUCGAGCCCUUGUCGGAAACACUUUCCGGCAAGGUUUCUACUGGCCGACAGCGGUGGCCGACGCCACUAGAAUUGUCCGCACCUGCGAAGGGUGUCAGUUCUACGCAAGGCAGACCCACCUACCUGCUCAGGCUCUGCAAACCAUACCCAUCACCUGGCCUUUUGCCGUGUGGGGUCUGGACCUCGUCGGCCCCUUGCAGAAGGCACCCGGGGGCUACACGCACCUGUUGGUCGCCAUCGACAAAUUCUCCAAGUGGAUCGAGGUCCGACCCCUAAACAGCAUCAGGUCUGAGCAGGCGGUGGCAUUCUUCACCAACAUCAUCCAUCGUUUCGGGGUCCCGAACUCCAUCAUCACCGACAACGACACCCAGUUCACCGGCAGAAAGUUCCUGGACUUCUGCGAGGACCACCACAUCCGGGUGGACUGGGCCGCCGUGGCUCACCCCAUGACGAAUGGGCAAGUAGAGCGUGCCAACGACAUGAUUCUACAAGGACUCAAGCCUCGGAUCUACAAUGACCUCAACAAGUUCGGCAAGCGAUGGAUGAAGGAACUCCCCUCGGUGGUCUGGAGCCUGAGGACAACGCCGAGCCGAGCCACGGGCUUCACGCCGUUCUUUCUAGUCUAUGGGGCCGAGGCCAUCUUGCCCACAGACUUAGAAUACGGUUCCCCGAGGACGAGGGCCUAUGCUGACCAAAGCAACCAAGCUAGUCGAGAAGACUCGCUGGACCAGCUGGAACAGGCUCGGGACAAGGCCUUACUACACUCGGCGCGGUACCAGCAGUCCCUGCGACGCUACCACGCCCGAGGGGUCCGGACCCGAGACCUCCAGGCGGGCGACCUGGUGCUUCGGCUGCGACAAGACGCCCGAGGGCGGCACAAGCUCACGCCCCCCUGGGAGGGGCCGUUCAUCAUCGCCAAAGUUCUGAAGCCCGAAACGUACAAGCUGGCCAACAGUCAAGGCGAGGUCUACAGCAACGCUUGGAACAUCCAACAGCUACGUCGCUUCUACCCUUAAGAUGUUUUCAAGUUGUUCAUAUACCUCGCUCCCACGCAAAGUUUAGUCAUCAAGGAAGGGUCGGCUUGCCUCGGCAAAGCCCGACCCUCCCUCGGGGGCUAAAAGGGGGGAACCCCCUCUGCGUCGAAUUUUUUCCUCGAAAAAAAGAUCCUUUCUGCCAGAAUAUCUUUCGUGCUUUUCGACUACUUCGAAAGUGGAUCAUGAAAACGACGGAGUACACGUAAGCAGCCAAGGCUGACCGAGCCGAGGGACUCCUACGCCUCCGGGAUACGGAUACCUCAUUCAUCACCUUCCGCGAGAAGCAACUCUCGCCCACAUAGACAACUCUGUUACCGACGAAAAAGUCCAGAUACUCGAAACAAGAGGAAAAGAAACGCACCUUUACAACACGGCGAGGGUGUGUUUGGGCCUCGGCGGCCGUAGAAAACACACACUACAAGAUAAUCCGACCCUGCAGGCUCGGAUCUGGACAGUUGAAGGGAGCCGCAGCACCCUCGGCGUCGACAACACCUUCGGCGAGGUCCGACCUAGCCUCGGACGGCAACACGGUCCGAGGAUCUCCACUCUGAAGGACGACGUCAUCACCACGCCCGGGCCAUCGCCGCCAGGGUCUUCUCCGAGAAUCCGGCCCGAGUAGGCGGCUCGGCUGGUACCCCGAGGCCUCGGCCAGCUGUCCCCCGAGGACAUCAGCCUGACCCGAGGCCUCGGAAGAUCAACUCCGGCGUUGGUCCCGCUAACGGACGACCCGGCCAGGCUCCGGCCGACCAAGUCUUCUUUUCAAGCCAACUCUGCCUUUGUCCAUGCUGACACCGCUACCCCUGGCUUCGGCUCAUCGAAGAGCGGCCGAGGGGUUCCUUUAACUAAGCAAGAGAAGCCUCGGACAGCAAGGCCGACCGAGCCGAGGGACUCCUACGCCUCCGGGAUACGGAUACCUCACUCGUCACCUUUGCACAGGGCGACUCACGCUUGGUGAAGCGGUUCAGACAACCAACAGGCGACUCUUAGUGCUCGAAAAUGAGGAAAAAACACAGCCCCGUGCCAAAAAUACAUACAUGUUCAGGCCUCGACAGCCACAAUGAACAAAAACACUGGCAUUCAAAGUGCCAUUACAAACGGAACUCUGGUUCCACCUCCGCAGGUACGAACAACCCCACUCGAUGGGGGGGCCUGCGGAGCAAUAGAAGACCGACGAACGGCGCGCCGUCACCCGCUCCAGCAAUGACAACGACGAUGACUUCUGCUCUGGGGGGCCAAACAGCGGCAACGAUGACCUCAGGGCGGAUGCUGCUGCCGGGAGGCCCCCGCCCAUGCCCAAACUCAUGAGGCAAGGACGGGUAGAAGGCCAUAGAGUUGGAGGUCGGUCCGUAGGCGGCCCCGGCUAUCUCGUCGGCGGAAGAACCUCUUCCAACUGCCGUGGCGGGAGCCGGCACCGAGAGCGGCUCCAAAGCCACUCGGGUCCGAGAGCCAGGCACGCGGCAGCUGCCAGCGCCACGGACGACAACCGCCCUUCCCCCCGAUCACUGAGGGAAGGAGCGGGCCACCGCCCACGCAGGGGCCGACCCCAACUCGGCACACUCCCCUCCCCAGCCCUGGUGAUGAAAAUCCUUGAGGCUGAGGGAGGGGCAGAGGCCGCAGCCUGGCUUGCUUUCCCCCGCCAUCGAACUGGAGGUCACCAUCUUGGGUGACCGCCGGCGGAGGGGUGCAACCGGGCUGCAUGAUGAAAAUCCUUGAAGCCGAACGAUGGCUGAAAGGUACCAACUCCCACGGAGUUGCGUUCCCCCAACGACAAGGCGGAAGGACUGCAGGCAUCCCCCAUCAGGGGGUUCGGAAGGUGGAAAGACACGAUGCAUAAGGGAGCACGAAGACAUGGUCGCCUUUCAAGGGGGUCACCCUCCAUUUAAAGGCGACUCUCCCUACUUGCGUCCCCAGCCGUCGCAGGCUGAGUCUUCUCUAACACGUUCCAAGGUCCUCCCCCUACGACGCGGGGGCUGGGUCCCACACGUCAUGCAAUCCGACCUAGAGCAGAAGAAGCCAAACCGCCGCGCGCGGUGCAUGCAACCGCCCAGCGGUUACAAGCGGCCCUCCAUUUUUGCCCCGACCAGCGGGCGAAAGGGCGGGCAGCCAUGCAGGCGGCAUGCAACCGCGCCAAGUGGGCGCACUUCUCCGACUUCCAACACGCCCAGCAUGGAGGCCCAGGCCCACGCGUCAUGCAACCGGCGCGCCGGAUGCUGCGUGCGAGCAACUGCACCGCCACCCACGCCACUGCCACGCCUCCUCGACUGCGGAACCAGUACCGCGACUCGAGGCAACCCUACGCACGACCCAGCAGCACCAGCCUGGCGCGACGGUCAAUGCGGCCAAAAAUGGGCCGGCAGUAAUGGCGGUGGCAGGCGGGCAGGAGCAGCGGUCACGUCGUCAGCCAGGCAUACGUCCCACCCGGAGGCAGCGAGAGAACCCUCUCUCACGGCGUGAAGACGACGUGCCCGUGUUCCGUUCCUCGAACGGCUCGCGCACGCGCAAUGGCCGCCCCGCGAACCGCACGCCCCGUCGCAUUAACUCCGCGGCGGGACAGGCGGCGCCUCUGGCAGGAGAAGCAAGCGACGCUUCGCCUUCGCCAUAAUGACCGCAUCAAAAAAGGUACGCCAUGUCAUUCGAUUUCGAAUCCUUUUCCUUUUCCUCUUUCUCUCUCUUACGACAGGGACCGGGAAAGGGGGAUACCCCGAAAAGGAUCCUUCUCCGUGAAGGAACCAGGCUCCAAGCCUCCCUACUAAUCAGAGGUUCGAAGGCUGGCCCCUCGGAGGGGUUCAACAGCCGCCUCAGAGCGCGUGGGCUCCACACCCACUACUGGUCAGAGGUUCGAAGGCCGGCCCCUCGAAGGGUUCAAAGACCGCCUCAGGCUACUCGGGCUCCGCGCCCACUACUGAUCAGGGGUUCGAAGGCUGGCCCUCGAAGGGUUCACAGCCACCUCAGACGCAGAGCGAGGGAUGACCAUGGGUACGUUCGAUACAUAACCAAGGCUCGGGCUACGCUCCCGAGGUACCCUAGGACAUUUCCGAGACCAGCGGGAACGAUCUUGUAACGGAAUCCCAUCAGAGGGAGGCAUCAAGCCCUCGGACCCCGUCGACAGGGGACCGGGUCCGGCAGAUCACCCGCAGGUACUUUUGGGCGCGCCUCUGGGCCUCUAGCCGACCCCUAGCAAAUGGGGCACGGACAUCCGCUCGGAUUACCCGCCAGCAGCUCACUGGAGACACCAUGUUCGGCGCCCACCGAGGGCAGCAUGGCGCUUUCCCCCCUUCUCCUUUCGGAAAGGCGACGCAGGGGCGUAUGUAAAAAAGUCGAGUCUGUCCCUGAUCGUCCUCUCGCCCUGUGCAGAGGCUCGAGGGCUGCUCUCGCGAACCCGGCUCCGGCCAAACCGUUGACAGCGUCAAUAAACCAGCCCGAGAAUUUGGGACCCGACCGUGCACCCGGGCUACGACCAGCUCGCAUGAGGGAACGACCAGACCAGCCAAAGCAUUGCGCGAGGCAUUAAGACAUCGGAGGAGUCAAACCACUCCUCCGAGGCCUCGGGGGCUACACCCGGCGGGUGCGCUCGCGCGCACCCACCGGAACAAAACGCAACCGAGAAAGGCUGGUCCCCUUGCAAAAAAGUGCGACAAAAGCCUCCAAGCGAGUGUUAACACUCCCUUCGAGGCUCGGGGGCUACUGUCGGGGACCAUAAUUAGGGGUACCCUCAAGGCUCCUAAUUCUCAGCUGGUAACCCCCAUCAACACAAAGCUGCAAAGGCCUGAUGGGUGCGAUUAAGUCAGGGAUCGGUCCAUUCGCGGGACUCGAUCACGCCUCGCCCGAGCCUAGCCUCGGGCAAGGGCAGCCGACCCCGGAGGAUCUCCGUCUCGCCCGAGGCCCCCCUCCAGCGACGAACAUACUUUCGGCUUGCUCGAGGCCCUGUCUUCGCCAAGAAGCAACCCUGACCGAAUCGUCGCGCCGACCGACCAAAUCACAGGAGCAUUUAAUGCAAAGGUGGGCUGACACCUUUAUCCUGACGCGCGCCCUUCUGUCGACAGAGCCGAAGUGACCGCAGUCACUUCGCCGCUCCACUGACCGACCUAACAGAAGGGCAGCGCUGCCUGCGUCGCACCGACUGCAGUGCCACUUGACAGAGUGAGGCUGACAGGCAGUCAGGCCCGACCUCAGGCACCAUAGGAAACUCCGCUCCGCCCGACCCAGGGCUCGGACUUGGGCUAAGCCCCGGAAGACGACGAACUCCGCUCCGCCCGACCCAGGGCUCAGACUCGGGCUAAGCCCCGGAAGACGGCGAACUCCGCUCCGCCCGACCCAGGGCUCAGACUGGGGCUAAGCCCCGGAAGACGGCGAACUCCGCUCCGCCCGACCCAGGGCUCGGACUCGGGCUAAGCCCCGGAAGACGGCGAACUCCGCUCCGCCCGACCCAGGGCUCGGACUUGGGCUGAGCCCCGGAAGACGGCGAACUCCGCACCGCCUGACCCAGGGCUCGGCCUUGGGCUAAGCCUCGGAAGACGGCGAACUCCGCUCCGCCCGACCUAGGGCUUGGACUUGGGCUAAGCCCCGGAAGACGACGAACUCCGCACCGCCCGACCCAGGGCUCGGACUUGGGCUCAGCCCCAGAAGACGACGAACUCCGCUUCGCCCGACCCCAGGGCUCGGACUCAGCCCUGGCCUCAGCCGACGGUCUCCGCCUUGCCCGACCCAGGGGCUCGGACUCGACCACAGCCACGGAAGAUAGACUCGACCUCGACCUCGGAGGAGCCUCCACAUCGCCCAACCUAGGGCACGGACCGACCACGUCGACAGGAAGCGCCAUCAUUACCUUACCCCAAGCUGACUCAGGCUACGGGGAACAAGACCGACGUCCCAUCUGGCUCGCUCUGCCAGAUAGGCAAUGAUGGCGCCCCGCACGCUCUGUGACGACGGCGGCUCUCAGCCCCCUUACGGAAGCAAGAGGACGUCAGCAAGGACUCGACAGCCUCGACAGCUGUCCUUCCGCCAGGCUCCAGCGCUCCUUCGACGGCCACGACACCACACGAACCGGGUGCCAAAACCUCUCCGGCUGCCACGACGGCGUGUACUUAGGGCGCUAGCUCUCCUCCGCUAGACACGUAGCACUUUGCUACACCCCCCAUUGUACACCUGGAUCCUCCCCUUACGCCUAUAAAAGGAAGGACCAGGGCCCUCUUACAGAGGGUUGGCCGCGCGGGGACGAGGACGAGACAGGCGCUCGCGUGAGGCCGCUCGCUCCCUCUCCCACGUGGACGCUUGUAACCCCCUACUGCAAGCGCACCCGACCUGGGCGUGGGACGAACACGAAGGCCGCGGGAUUUCCACCUCUCUCACGCCUGUCUCCGGCCACCUUUCUCCCCCCUUCGCGCUCGGCCUUGCGCCGACCCAUCUGGGCUGGGGCACGCGACAACAUUUCACUCGUCGGCCCAGGGACCCCCCGGUCUCGAAACGCCGACAGGUAUGUGGAGUGAUAAAAUGAGGCACCAUCUAACCUCACUCCACGAAAGCAUAUGGGAUAUUGUUGAGUUUGGAGCGCAGGCACCGAAGGUGGGGGACAAGGACUAUGACUCGGACGAGGUUGCCCAAAUUAGGCACUUUAACUCCCAAGCCACAUCUAUGCUCCCCGCCUCCUUGUGUCGAGAGGAGUAUAACAAGGUGCAAGGGUUAAAGAGCACCAAAGAAAUUUGGGACGUCCUCAAGACCGCACACAAAGGGGACAAGGUGACCAAGAUCACCAAGCGGGAAACGAUCGAGGGGGAGCUCGGUCGAUUCGUCAUCAACAAAGGAGAAGAGCCACAAGCAAUGUACAACCGACUAAAAACAAUGGUGAACCAAGUGCGCAACCUCGGGAUCACCAAAUGGGAUGACCAUGAGAUGGUCAAGGUUAUUCUUAGAUCCCUCGUAUUUCGUAAUCCUACUCAAGUUCAAUUAAUACGUGGGGAUCCUAGAUAUAGACUAAUGUCUCCCGAGCAAGUGAUUGGCAAGUUUGUGAGCUUUGAACUUAUGAUCAAAGACUCCAAACACAUUGUCAACUUAGAGCAAGGCGCCACCUCCACACCCGAGGUGCAACCCAUCGCAUUCAAAGUGACGGAAGAAGAGAAGGAGUCUACAUCAAGUAGGCUUCCAAUCGACGCCUCCAAGCUCGACAACGAGGAAAUGACACUCAUCGUCAAGAGCUUCCGCCAAAUCCUCAAGCAAAGGAGGGGAAAGAACUAUAAGUCCCACUCCAAGAAGGUGUGCUACCAGUGUGGUAAGUCCGGUCACUUCAUUGCUAAAUGUCCAAUUUCUAGUGAAAGUGACAGGGACGACGACAAGAAGGGGAAGAAGAAAGAAAAGAAGAGGUACUACAAGAAGAAGGGCAGUGAUGCCCACAUAUGUUGGGAAUGGGACUCCGAUGAGAGCUCCACCGACUCCUCCUCCGACGAGGACGCCACCAACAUCGCUGUCAACAAGGGCCUCCUCUUCCCCAACGUCGGCCACAAGUGUCUAAUGGCCAAGGACGGCAAGAAAAAGAAGGUACACUCUAGAGCCACCCCAAAAUAUACAACAUCUAGUGAUGAGGGUAGCUCAAGUGAUAGUGAAGACAAUUUAAUGUCUUUUUUUGCCAACCUUAGCAUGGACCAAAAGAAGAAAUUGAAUGAAUUAAUAGAAGCUAUUAAUGAGAAGGAUGAACUCUUGGAUAGCCAAGAGGACUUCCUCAUUAAAGAAAACAAAAAAAUUGUUAAGUUGAAAAAUGAUUAUGCUCAGGAAGUAGAAAAAUGUGAAAACCUAUCUAAAGAGCUUAGCAUUUGCUAUGAUUCAAUUUCUAGCCUUAGAAAUGAAAAUGCUAGUUUAAAUUCUAAGGUUAAAGAAUUAAAUGUUUGCAAUGAUUCUAUUUCCUGUCUUAGAAAUUGUUGGUCACUUGUUCUCAAAUGCUGAGUUAAGAACAAGGCAACACAAAUGUUAAUGGUUAAAGACCUUCGUCUUUCGAAGCAUUAUUUCCCUUAGGGUAUAAUGAUCUUCAGACGAAGGUCAUGAAGGGCAUAUCUUCGUCAUCUCAAUAUACAAAAAUAUAGGCAAGGACGUACAAAACAUAGAAAGACCAUGAUUAAUCAUAUUAAAUCAUUAAAUCAUGUAUAUAUUGACAUUAUAUAAUAAUGAACAAACAUUAAUGAUAUUAAGUUACAUUAGUACCUUCGGCUUGACAGAAGGUAAAAGUUCGAGGGUUACGUGCGAGCGAUUACAAGUCAGCGUGAACAGUACGGUGUUACUGUUCAUCUAUUUAUAGGCACAGGACGCAGCCUGGGUAAAAUUACAUUCAUAUCCCUAACACUUACUAUUAGCUAAAAGGUAAGCUGUCGAGGACUAAGUAGUCUUUUCCCUUUUAAGUCGGUUUCAUUCUCCAUCGUCAUCUUUGCGCUAAGCCGAAGCUUCUCCAUCCAUAGCUUCGGAACUGGUCCAUCCUUCUUCCAGGUCACGCCUUUCAUACUAUGUACACCUUCAUCUCAAAGCCAAAGCCUCAUGUGACAAUAUACUAUACUGGAAGAUAUGUUAGUCGUGUUUUUGAGGACCUUCGAAAGACGAAGGCCCCCAACAGUAGCCCCUCGCAGUAUUAAUUUGUUCUUGUAUCUUAACGAAUUCAGACUGUGACGUGAACGAAGGCCUUUAGCCGAAGGUCCGAAAAAACACUUUCCCUUCGCUAGAAUAGCGAAAGUCAAUGACAAAUGGGGCCCGCCAAGUUGCAAUGCACGAGGCAUAUAAAUAUAAACCCAUAACGAUAACAUCUGCUGCGCCAUUUCAAUUGUUUGUGUUGUUUUCUCAAGUUUUAGAUUUCUUGCUGUCACAUUUCACUUGUUUUGUGAGCUUCGGCAUUUGCACAAGUGUUCGCUAUACGUCUAAAGAGAAUAUGUCUGAGGAGAAGAAGAUUGACCCUGCUCUUACUGGGUUUUACGAAGCUAUGGAAAAAAUAAACAUAGAGAAGAUUACAAACGAAAUAAUGGCUGAUUUGUCUGAAGAUUCUAACGAUAGUGAUGACUAUGAUGUGGAAAGUGAAGACGAAGAUGCGGAAAAUCGGCCCUGGCGACCAAGCCACAGCAUCUUCGGAAAAUCAUCCAUUAAGCAGAGCCAAAUUGACGCUAUGAAAGGGAACUAUUUCUGAGAUAUUUCAAUUGUGAGAGCUGGAGGAGAUAGUGCUGCACCUGCUCUCGAAGAGAAUGAGGUGGUUGUUUAUAAGAGUUUUAUGAAGGCUGGGCUUCGGUUCCUAUUGAGCAAAUUUCUGGUUGAGGUGUUGAAGACCUUCGAGAUUUUCCUGCAUCAAAUUACUCCCGAAGCCAUUGUUAGGAUGGGGGUUUUUAUUUGGGCCGUGAGAAGCCAAGGGAUGGAACCAAGCGCAAAAUGCUUCUGCAAUAUGCACGAGCUGCUGUACGAGAUGAAGGCUACUGGCAAGGAUCAAUAUCACAACAAUUUUGGUUGCUACGGCUUCGUGCCCUGCGCUGAUGUAAGUUAUCCGGUCCCAACAUUCCGAAAAAGGUGGCCUGGGGCCUGGAUGGAAGAAUGGUUCUAUGUUGAAAAUAAUUUAACUGAGAGGGAAGAUAUAAAAGGAAUUAUUCAACGUCCCAUCUGGUCUCGCUUCGGCAUCAGGAGGCCAGCCACCACUCUUGGGAAUGAUAUAGAGGCAUGCUAGAGAAGCUUAAACACCGUGUGCACUUUUAUUGGUACAAGAGACCUGAUUCAAGAACAUAUCGCUUACAGAGUAUGGCCGCUCGUGAAUGAGUGGGAGAUGCCGAAGGAAGCUGCUGCCGGGUCUAGUCAGGGUGGCCUGGUCUAUCUAAAGUAUACAUUCAGAUACAGAGGCGAGUUUGAUGAGCCAAAUGAUGAAUGGUUGAGCAGUAUCACUACUAGAAAUAUGCUUAUUUAAGACAUACAUCUUAAGACAAAUAUCAGUGCAUUUUAUAGAAGCGUCUUUUAUCAUAUGGUGCUGAGUAAGGUAAGACAGUUUGUUGGACAUCCGUCUUUAAUGAAGAAGGUUUUUGAGACAGAUAUAUGGUUGGAAAUGUCUUAUAUUGAUUUAAUACAGUUUGAUUUUGAAAACCGUCUCAAAUAAAUAUACCUUUUGAGGCAUUAAGUUCACAAGAAGUGUCUUUUAUUUUGGUUAGUAUAUUAGACACUUAUGUAUAUGAAACUAUCUCAAAUAAAGAUAUUAUUAGAGUCAUCUAGACUAUACAAAAUUGUCUUAGAUGUUAGUAAGUAUACUAGAAACUUGUAAACAUAAAACCGUCCCGUACGAUAUUUCUGAUAAGACAUAUUGUGAAAAACAUAGUCAAUAGUAAAUUCUGAUUAGAUUGAACUAAACAUUUUUUGGAAUUUAAAAUGAACUAGUUAGCUGACUGUAUGUUCGUACGGUUUCUAUAUAUCAUAUAGGUAAAAAAUCUUGCUUAAAAUAAGAAACUUCUUCAAAUAAAAUUAUACGUUUGAAAUAUGAUUAUUUUUUAUUUUCUCAUUAACAUUAUGUUUAUAGUUAUAAUAUCAUCUCUUUGUACGGUAUAAGCAACCUGAUAAGCGGUGGUUAAUGCCACAGAUAUUUCUCUUUAUAUCCGUAUUGCACAUAUAUACAAUACAUUUUAUUAAUAUAGCGGUGGUUAAUGCCAUCUCCUGUGUCCGACGCCCAUCGCCGAGGCUGAGAGGCAAGAUCCGUCAUCUUCAGUGCCCCCAGCGCGGCGCCCCAAACUCCCAGGCUAUGCUUUUGUUUAUGUUUUAUUGUCAUUUCAUGAUUCAUGACAUGGCAGGCUUGUAACGCCCCGAAUUUUGGAGUUGAAUUUUUUCUUUUCUUCACUCGCCAAAUUCGGGCUUUACCCUUUUCUUUUCCUUUUCUCCUUGCUAAGCCUUGAUCUUUUCAAAAGUUAUAGCGAGGAUAAGCUCGACAACUGGUGUGAGUAAACCCUAAAAAUAUUUUCUUUGGUUGUUGCAUCAUGCUGAACCACGCAUCUUUUUCUUGUGAUACUUGCUUGGUUUCCAUAAAGAAUGCGCUUAGUAGAAGGUUAGAGGGAAAUAGAUAAUGGGAAAAUAGGAAAAAUAAAUAAAAAGAAGGGAAUUCCCCUCACUCUCCCCCUCUUGGGCCGUCGUCCCGCGGCCCAGCUCGGCCGCGCCCCCUCCCUCCCCCUUAGCCCAGCCGAGCCCCCUCUCCCUUGGGCCGGCUCUCAGCCAUGGCCCAGCCGGCUCCCAGCCGCGGCCCGCCCUGCCUCUCCCCCCGCCUUGGGCCGAAUUGGCGCUGCGGUGGCCCAACCGCCCCACCCCGCGUCCUGCGCGCGCGCCGCGCGCGUGGGCGCAACCGCCGCCGCCGCCAUCCCAGGUGGGCCCCGCCCGUCAGCCGCGCCCUCCCCCAAAACCGCCUCCCUCUUUCUCUCUCCCCUCUACCCCCUAGCGCACGACUCCCUCUUCCCCCUCCACCUCGUCGCCGAUCGGACCCGCCCCGCCGCCGUCCGCCCGCGCCGCCAUCGCCCCUUCCGUGGUGAGCCCUGGCCCCCUCCUUCUUCCUCCCCCUCUCUCCUUCUUCCCCUUCCCCUUCCCCUGCUCGUGCGGCCCAGCGCGGUGCGCGGCUCGGCACGCCGGCGCGCGGCCAUGGCGCCCCUGUCGCGUCCGCUCGGCCUCGCGCGCCACCCCCCUCGCGCCCUUCCCCUGCGCGCGGUCGCGGCGGCUCCGGCCAGCGCGCGGUCCCGUCCGGCCAGGACGCGACCCGUCCAUGGCGCGACCCUCUCUCCCUCCCCGCUCCGGCGCGCACGGCUUCCCCUGCCCCGACGUGCUCGUCCGCCGUCCCUGGCGUGCCCGCUCGGCCUCGCCGCCCCUGCCCGUGGUGCGGUUCCCCGCCCCGGCGUGGCCUCGCCUCGGCGCGGCCCGACCUCGCUCCCCCGGCCGCGGCGCGCGCGGUCCCGGCCCCCUCCCUACGCAGCCUCGCCUUGCCGGCCCCGGCGCGCUCGCCUGGCGCGGCCCGGCUCGCUCGCCCUGCGCGCGCGGCCCGGCUCGCUCGCCCUGCGCGCGCGGCCCCUCCCCGCGCAGCAGCCCGUGGCGACGCGGCGUGGCACGCCCGGCGUGCGCGUGCCCGCCUCGGCGUGCUCCGUCCCUCCCCUGUCCCGGCGUGGCCUUGAGCUCGGCUAGCUUCGCGGUCCCCCGCGUUUGGCCCCGGCGUGGCCCCGUUGCCGCUCGCGGCGCGCAACGCGCAGCUCGGCCCCGACGUGUGCGUGGCUCGUUCGCGUCACGUUAGCGUGGCUUUGCGCGCGCAUGUGCUUGUGUGGUGCGCACGGUGCUUUGGCACGGCUCGUCGUGCCCUCGGCGCGCUCGUCUACCCCCCCCCCCCCCGUGUAUUUUAUGCGCGCUAAGCACGUUAUUCAUAUCAAUAAAUGGAAACUCAAUUUAGAAAUUGGUUACGUUAGUUAUUUCAUGUAGCUAAUCUUGGAUCUCGUUUAAUGUUGAUCAAUUGAAAAUAGUUAUAAUUUUAUUAGUGCAUGUGGCUAAUAUUUGUUAGUGUAACUCGAGGGAAUUAGAUCACGUAAUGAUUAGUUAUGUAUCUACCCGUAAUAUGCUUCGACUAUAGCUUUAACCACUGUGAGACCUUCCUUCUUCUCUUUCUAGCCAUGGCGAAUGCAAUAUCGUAUGUCAUAUCUUAUGCAUAUUUGACUUAUCUGCUUUCUUGUGUGGUGUACUGUUUAUUUCCUAAUUCGAAUGGAUGGAUGUAUGUAUGUUUGCGCUCGCAUAGAGAACGAUCUGGUUGAGGAGCCCAAAGAACUCGCAGGAGAAGCCCCUGAGCAGCAGUCGGUUGGUGGAGGCAAAUGUCCUUUGACCUAUCUCUGUCCUAUACAUUCUUUAAUUCACCUCCUGCAUUUCACAUUUAUACCUAAGGAUUGACUAGCUUUUGCUAUCCAUGUCCUUGUUUACCUAUUUGGGUUGGAUUAUUAUUGUUUAGCUUUAUGCUAUUGCUCAACUCUAAUCAAUGAACAUGAUGAGAAUUAUCAAUGAUACACUGUUUUCCCCUCCUUUAUUAUGAUGUGAUACUUGUGGCAUUCAAGGGGGGCUUGAGCGGUUUCUCGAGUGCCUCUCCGUAAGGACCUGUUUGUUGGAUGACCGCCCGGGAAAACAGUGCAACCAUGAGGGUGGAAUGAGAUGCCCUUAGCUGAAUAAUUAGAGGAACCGGGGUGUAGUUCGCUUAGCCGUCGUGCCGUCAAUGGGGCUCGGUGUAUGCGGCUCGCUCUGCCAAGUUUGGGUUUGCCCCUUGGGGAGGAGUGCGGUGCAUUUAGGAAACCUAAUGGGCGGCUACAGCCCCGGGGAAUCUUUGUAAAGGCUACAUAGUGAUGCCCUGCUGGGUCACCUUGGUAGUGUUUAAUGGAGAGUCAUGAUCUCCGGGCAGAAUGGGAAUCACGACUUGUGGGUAAAGUGCACAACCUCUGCAGAGUGUAUGAAAACUGAUAUAUCAGCCGUGCUCGCGGUUAUGAGCGGCCAAGGGAGCUCCAGUGAUUAGUGGUACUUGAUCAGAGAUGUUCGGAUUGAAGGUGGCAAUGAGAUUGAUGGUUUUGGUUAUGACUAUGGUACUGGUAAGUGGUAUUCUUUCCGUUUGGAAAGGGUACAUCGGGUUAAUAACUUGGGUUAUUGCUAAAACCUGGCUUUCUACUAGUAAAUAAUAACCUGACCAACUAAAAGCAACUGCUUGACUUAACUCCACAUAAAGCUAGUCCACUACAGCCAAACAGGAUACUUGCUGAGUAUGUUGAUGUGUACUCACCCUUGCUCUACACACCAACCCCUCCCCCCAGGUUGUCAGCAUUGCAACCACUGCUUAGGAGAAGAUGAAGCCGUGGAAGGAGACUUCCAGGAGUUCCAAGAUUACGACGAGUUCUAGGCGUGGGUUAGCAGCAACCCCCAGUCGGCUGUCUGUGAAGGUCGCGUGUAUCUACGUUUCGUUUUCACACUUUGAUUAUUGUAAAGACUAUGUGGAUGUCUCAGACAUAUGAUGUAAUCGACUAUUAUUACCCUUUUAUGUUAUCAUUUGAGCAAUGUGUGAUGAUUUCCAGUUAUGUAACUGCUGUGUACGUGAAUUGCUGAUCCUGGCACGUACAUGGUUCACAUUCGGUUUGCCUUCUAAAACCGGGUGUGACAAGGCUCCAGGCUAUGCUUUAGACAUUUAAUAAGUAUAUUCAGCUCAAAUGAAACGAGAUCUAAACCAGAGGGUUAAAGGCAUGUUUGGUUUGUGGCUAAAUGUGCCACACUUUGCCUAAGUUUAGUCGUCCGAAUUGAGGGCCUGUUUGGUUUACUACCUAACUUGCCACACUUUGCCUAACUUUUCUGCCUAAGGUUAGUUCUUCAAUUCGGAUGAUUAACCUUAGACAAAGUGUGGCACAGUUAGCCGUGAACCAAACAGACCCUGAAUAAAUAACCUUAGGCGGAAAAGUUAGGCAAAGUAUGGCAACUUAGGUAGCGAACCAAACAUGUCUUAAGUCUCACAUCAUACCACCCGUUCCUAUUUUUCCUAAAGCAGGGGCAGGGCAAACCGUAUUGUUGGCUCUGCCUAGGGUUUUAGCACCUGCCGCCGCAGCCUCCCUUCUACUGCCGCCGCAACCUCCCCAUCCUUCGAAUCCCAUCCGACCUAGCCCUACAACCCACCGGACGACGAGCAGCGAGGCCCGCGGCCGAGAUGGACCAGUACCUGAGGGUGGAGUGGCCGUGGAACGAGUCAACCAUCAAGGAGAACGAGAUCCGCAUCACCGCGCAGGGCCUCAUCCGCAACUAUGUCUCCUACGCUACCUCCCUGCUCCAAGUGCCUGGGCUUGUCCUCGCCAUCGCCGUCGUAUCGUAUUGUACUUAGGAUGCGCUGUUUUGUUCGAGUCUCGUCCCUGUCGAUUCGAAGAGAUCCCCAGCAACAUGAGGGAGGUGUUCCUGACCGGCGCCACCUCCAAGCUCCAUCACGCUCUACCUCUGCAGGAAGAAGAUCAGAGUCUUGGUAAGUGCUACACAUAAUCUGCUCAGCAUCAUCGAUCCAUAGAUGAUGACCUGUGUCUUGCAUCUAACCUCUCUCUCUCUGUCUCUUAGAUGUUCACGGUGUUGUCGGAGAGGUUCCUGAAGAUCCAGAGGGAGGCGCCGCUGGAGUACCAGCAGUACCUCGUGCAGGUGACCAAGUACCAGGCCGCACAGAACUGCAAGGUACGUAUGCACGCAUGGUUACAUUUACUAUAGAACUGGAGUUAUUUUUUGAUGCAAAGGCUGCCAGGUCAUGGUGAUUUCACGUCCGUUAGGCUCGAGAGGUGGACUCAAACAUCCAAGUUUUGCAAGUUUUGAUGUUGGAUGUUAAAUUUCUAUGCUCACUCCUCGUUUGGUUAUUGAUGUACUAUUUCCAUCUCAUGUCACAAAUUUGGCAUAAGGAAUGGGUAUUGGUGGCUAUUGACUAUGUUUGUUUCCACGUAUUAUACAUGUACAAUGGAACAUUUGAUAAUAGUUUUGCAUGAACUAUUGGCGUUGGCUAUCUAAAAGGACAGAAAGGUAGACAUGAGCAACAGAUCUCGCUCCAUGGGCUGAAACUGGGAUUCGUGAUGGUCAGCUAAGCAUACCUUCGCCUUCAAAUUUGCGUAGCUUCUUUUUUAUUCUGCAAGUUGUUUGGUCUGCCGUUCAAAUGCCUUAUUAUUCUGCGAGCUGUUUUAAGAUUGGGCCUCAAUUUUUUUUCCAGGCAGAAAGUGCUACUGCCGCUCUCAACUGUAGCGGUGUGGUACUGGGAUCCUUGCCAAUAAGGUAAAACUCUGACUGAUCUUCUUACGCUUUGCAUUGAGGAAGGAGCUCUUCUGGGCGGUUGGAUAUCAGAGUCGUUCUAGUGUGUUUUCAGGGUGAGCCCGUCCAAAACGCCCGUGCGUCCCCGCGCCCCUCGCCAGCUGAUGUCGUCCUAGGUAUACAUACAGGAGGUGCUGACGAUGACACUGCUCAUAUAUAAGUAAUAGAGAUAGACAUGUAUGAAAAGGGUCUUUUGUUUUCAAGUAGUGUGUAGUUGCUGUUACUUUUAACAGCUAAUGCAAUCUGAAUGAGUCACCUAUGAAUGCCAUACUGGAAUUUGUUGCGCUUUUGUUGAUCAUUAUUAUUUUACAAUCUAGGCUAGGGGAUUGAAGAAGCACUUGAAGAGGCUCAAUGCGCCCAAGCAUUGGAUGCUCAACAAGCUUGGCAGAGCUUUUGUAAGUAAACAAUAUUUUCUAGCUUUGGUACCUACAAUCUUCUGUACUUCCCCAUUUGUCUGAUGCUUCAGGUUGGUCUUUUUUUCUGUAGGCUCCCAAGCCAUCUUCUGGACCUCACAAGUCCAGGGAGUGCCUGCCUUUGAUCCUCAUCAUCAGGAACAGGCUCAAGUAUGCACUGACGUACCGUGAGGUCAUUUCUAUCCUGAUGCAACGCCAUGUACUUGUUGAUGGCAAGAUCAGGACUAACAAGACCUACCCUACUGGGUUCAUGGGUAUGCCUAUAUCUCUAUUAAUGCAUAAAGAUACCUAUACACAUAUUUUGGUUGCUGAUUUGUGGUGUCAUUUUUUUGGCAGAUGUCAUUUCCAUCCCUAAGACAAACGAGAACUAUAGGCUGCUUCCGUCUUCACCCAAUCAGGGAUGAGGAUGCCAAGGUUAGGCCAAUUCUCUUACACAUCAUCUCUCAUUGUUCUAGUUGAGCAUGAUGAUCUUGGUAGCUAUGUGAGGUUGCUGUUUUUCAUUUAGAUCUGUGUACCUUAACCUUGCUAUACUGUCCAUAUGUGUUGUGUGCAUGAAAGUCUUGCAUUGAAAAUGUCAUGUGCUACAAUCAUUAGGACUAUUAAUAGAUGUUGCUCUGUCUAUCUAUCCAUUUACAUCGCUGGAAAUUCCCAUGCCCUUUCAUAGUACGCCUGUGAAAUGUUCACUGUUUUUCUAUUGGUUUUAUGUGCAGUUCAUGCUCUGUAAGGUGGGGUCUGUUCAGUUUGGCCAGAAAGGCAUCCCCUACCUGAACACCUAUGGCGACCGCACCAUCCGCUACCCCGACCCGCUCAUCAAGGCCAACGACACCAACAAGAUCGAUCUAGAGACCAACAAGAUCAUGGACUUCAUCAAGUUUGACGUCGGCAACGUGGUCAUGGUGACCGGCGGGAGGAACACCGGGCGUGUAGGAGUGAUCAAGAACAGGGAGAAGCACAAGGGCAACUUCGAGACCAUUCACGUGCUGCUUGGAGCUUUUUGCUAUGUCUAGUUUUCUCCUAUUUGUUGUACAGGAAAACAUAGAAUGGAAUUCAAAUUUGGUGGCCGCAAAAGAGUAGAGACUUGUUUCAUAUAAAGUUAGGCUUAACAUUAGUGCAAACAGUUGUAUUUUAGUUUAGAUUUAGAGUACACUUAUGUAUGCGUUGUUUGACAAUGCUUAUUUAUGAUAUAUUGAAUGGUACUUAUUUAUAUUAUAUUAAUUAUAAUGUUGUUCAAUAUAUGUGUAUGUAUAUUUCUCUUUCAAAUUAUUAUAACGUGAUAUCUGAUACUGCCGUGUAAGUCAUUUUGUUUAAAUCUUAAUAAGACGGUCACCAAAAUGUCUAAUAUCAGUCUCCUAAAUAAGACGAUUUCUAAAACGUCCAUUAUUAGUCACCUAAAUAAGAUGGUUUUCUAUUGUAAUCAUCUAUUAUUGUAGGAUAUUCGAGACAGUUUGAUAAAUACUUUAUGACUUAUAAUGUUUGUAUUCUCUACGGUCCUUUAGAAGCAGUGUCUUAAACAAAAACCUAAUUCAAGACGGUUUAUCGGACAAAAUGACUUAAACAAAUACCUUUUUCAGACGGUUAUAAAUUAAAAAUUGUCUUAUAUAAUAUCUUUUAAGACGGUUUAUAACCAUCUUAAAAGUGGGACAUCUUUUACGACUCCAUCAAAUUUGGACACUUCAUAAGCGUCUUAAGAACUAAAAAUUAACCGUCUCAUAUAACAUGUUUUGUAGUAGUGUAUUGAGGCAACUAGCGAUGAAUUGCUUGGGGCUUACACUAGAGCCGAAGAUGAUGCUUUGACCUCAGCCUUUGGAGGUCGAGGCAAGAAUAGGCUGAACAGAGUUUUCGACGUGAUUAGCUUCAUAUACCCUGAUUAUUGCUAUCCCUCGCGAAAGCAGGGAAAGAAGAGAAAAACCACCGCUUCGUCAUUCCCUAUUGUGCCGAAGGGCAAAGAUCAAGGUCUUGAUGCACCGGCCGAGAUACAUUGAGAUGACCACAUUGCCGAAGCUAAGUGAAGGGACAUCUUCCACUGCCGAAACAGAACAACCUGCUUCUGCCAUUCCCAGGGAAGACCUGACUGAAUUACCGAAGGUUCCUACAGUCGGACCAGCCGAAACGCCGAAACUUGAUGCCGAAGCGAAAGAAGAGGCGGCCAAAGAGCUAGAGCUAGGGGAAAAGGUAGAGCUGCCAAAAAUCUUGAGCCCACCAGCAGAGUCAGAAUUGCCGAAGAUAACAAGAGCUCCUGCAACAACUCCUAAGAGGAGGAGAAUGGCUAGCGUGCUAGACACUGUCAUGGAGACAACAAGGGCAUUAACUCCUGCCCCUGCAAAGAAAAUUGUCGAAGCUGCUAUAAGUCGCGCUGAAACUGAAGAUGGGCCCUCAGUGCCUGCUGAGACGGAGCCUACCGCAACUGAGAUAGGGCUAAGCAAGAAUCUCUAGAUGUUGGCAUGGCUAUGGAGAAGGAUGUGGCCGAAAAAGCUAAAUCUCCUGCUCCUGAAGCACCGUCCGAAGAUCUUGACUUUAUUAUUCGACAUGCUUCGGGAAAAGACUAUCUAAAGGAGAAAUUGCAGAAGCCAAACACUAUGCCCGAGAACUGAAAUACCUGAAGGGGCCUUAGUGUUCAACGACACUGACGAUGAUGAUUUCCUAUACUUUCUCCCGGACAAUAAAGAAAUAUCCGUCUACCGGGAGAUGGCCAAAAAUAUGGGAUUUCCGAAGCUCGAAGCUGGCCUCUCCGCUAUGUCAAAAGAUGACCUUGCGGAUAGCCUUGCAUACAACAGUCUGAAGGUAUGAAAGUGAUGAACUUAAAAAUAGAUUAUCUUGUCUUGUAUACUCGUGCUGAUUCUAUCUUUUUGCAGGGCUUAAUUCUUAGCAACACUUUGAGGGCGCAAAAGAAUGCAGAAGAUGAAAGCUGCGUGAUAGCCCUUGGCAACCUUCGGUCAGAAGUUAUCAAACUAAGAAAUGAAGCCUUGGAGAAGGAUAAAAUUCUACUUUCAUUGGUGGAUAAAGUGAAGGAUGAUGAAGCGAAAUUUAAUGCUCAAUCCGAAGCUCCUAAAGUCGAAAUUGAAGACCUUCGGAAAAACUUGCCGAAGCUAAUGAAAAUUUUGCACUUGCAAAAUCUAGUCAAGAAAUAAGUGAAUGGUCGAACGCUAGGCUGGAGAAAAAUGUUGAGGAGCUUCACGAAUCCAAGGAAAGGUGCUUUAAGAAAUCCUUGGAUUGCGUAAGAAAAUUGAAAACAGCUUUGCCAAAGUAGGUGCUUAUUCUUCCGAAGAGAAUUUUAUUCGAGGUGACCCCAAUGGCGUUAUUGAUUGGAUAAGCGGGGAAGCCGAAGCUUUUGAAGAGAUCUUGAGCGAUCGUGGGGAUAUCUGUGCUUUCACUGGCGCUAGAGGUAUUGUGGCAAUUAUGGAGAAGGCUGGUUGCGACCACGUUAAAGCUGCGGCCCAGACUGAAGCCGCCUUCUCUACUGACAACACGAGAGACCCUUCGGCCAAAGCUACUUUGGUGGGUGGAAAGUUUUACUCCGAUGUUUGGGUGAACGGUGGCCGAGAAUUGGCAAACAAAAUUAUAAAAAAGAAUAAAAAGAAACCCAUGAUCCCCAAGAAGAAGCUAGGCGAGCCGAAGAAGCUGCUGCGCGCGCAAGGCGUAUAGGUAUUGUUUUUGAAUUUUAGCUUCGGCGUUUAUUUUCUAGCUUCGAACUAACAGUUUGCCUAUUACAGCUGAAUUAUCACCGUUGCCCGAGCCAUACAACCCCCUAGCCGAUCUGGUCAUGAAAGAAGCACUGGAUAUAAUGAGCCUUGCUAACUCCAUCGUCGACGGAGUUGUCGACAAGCUGCUGAACGAAGCCACCGAAAAAAUACUUAAGGAAGAUUAGACUUUUUUUUGUAAUGAUACUAUGUAACAUUUGGUGUAUGGAACAAUUAAUCAGACAUGUAAAUUAUUGUAAUAUAUUUCUUUACGAUGCAUGAAAUUUAUGCACAUACCGUUUUUGAGCCUUCGGCGAAAAAACACCUUCUCUUCUUUUCAUGCUUCGUAAAGAAAGAAGCCCCUUUUUAUGUCAAAUCUGUUAUGAUGAAAUUGUGUUUGCCGAUGGUUUGCUUCGUGCCUCAGCACAUUUUCAUUCAACAAAGUAUUGCCGAAGAUCUGCUUCGUAUCCAAUCUUUUUGUCGUUGAUGCGAUAUGAUGUAUGAUGUAAUGUUAUGCGGAAUAAUGUGAUGCUUAUAUGAUGGUGAUGCCGAACACACACACACACACGCCCAGACUAGAACACACAAGACUCUGCAUCCCCUUAGGGACGUCUUUGGAGACUUUAAGCUCUACAUCCCCUUAGGAACGACUUUGGAGCUUCUUCACCUUAUAUUUCGGUGGUAUUUAAGCUCUGCAUCCCCUUAGGAACGACUUUGGAGCUUCUUCACCUUCUAUUUUGGUGGUAUUUAAGCUCUGCAUCCCCUUAGGAACGAUUUUGGAGUUCUUCACCUUCUAUUUCAAUGGUAUUUUGGCUCUGCAUUCCCUUAGGAACGACUUUUGAGCUUCGUAACUUACUUUGUGCUCCCUUAGGAACGACUUUUGUAGCUUCAAAACUUACUCUAUGCUCCCUUAGGAAUGACUUUUGUAGCUUCGAAAUUUAUUCUGUGCUCCCUUAGGAACGACUUUUGUAGCUUCGGAAGUCUGUUAGAAAGAAGCAUUUUUUCUUAAUGAUACAUGCACAAUUAUUACAUGAGACCAAAAUUAAGUCUUUCGUGACUUGUUUUUCACACAAGAAAAAUAAGAUGACAGAAAAGAAAAAAAAUACAUCAGGGGUAGGAUAUUCUUUUAGUAGAUAUGCUUGGAUUCAGGCAUAGUGCUGUUGACUGUGCGAGCUUCGGACUCCUCCCAAAAAUCACGCUGUUGUUGUGCGUGUUGGUGCCCUUCUGGUUGCUGUCUUCGAGUCUGAGUAGGUGGUAAUGGUGGUGGUAAUGGGAGCUGGGCCUAGGAAGCUUGAGAGUGACUUGCCGAAGCGACAGAAGCUACAGGUUGUUGAUUACCUACGUAUUCUGGUACAUAGGAAGAGUAGCAUGAAGCACUAUGUAGGACCUGCUUCGGCUGAUUCUACCGUGCCUUAGCUUCGGCAAUCUCCUUUUGCUUCUGAAUUGUAACUUGGCAUGUUCUUGUGGUGUGGCCCUUGUCUUCACCACAGAAUAAACAAUAUAGCCUUCUAGGCUGAUCCCCGUAUCUUCCUCCGAAGCCUCUGCCCCUUGGAACUGGUGCCUGAAAGAGCUUUGCUGUUGCCCUAAAGAUUGGGAGUUGUGUUGUGGCCUUUGAGGUUGGCUUCCUCUGUCAUCACUUAGGUUGGAAUUAUGGAUCGAUCUGACAUGCCUAGGGUGGAUUCUUCCUCCAAAGCCCCUGGUCAUCUCAGAAAACCUGUAUGCUUCUUCCCUUCUUUGGCGGAAAUCAUUAUUAGCCCGGAUGUACUCAUCCAUCUUCUGAAGAAGCUUUUCCAGGGUUUGUGAGGGUUUCCUGGCAAAAUAAUGAGCCAUAGGCCCUGGACGAAGCCCCUUGAUCAUGGCCUCAAUGACAAUUUCAUUAGGCACUAUAAGCGCUUGUGCUCUUAGAUGCAUGAACCUUCGGACAUACACCUGAAGGUACUCCUCAUGGUCCUGCGUGCACUGAAACAAAGCCUGAGCAGUGUCUGGCUUCGUCUGAAAGCCUUGGAAGCUAGUGAUUAGCAUAUCCUUGAGCUUCUGCCAUGAUGUGAUUGUUCCUGGCCUGAGAGACGAAUACCAAGUUUGAGCUACACUUUUGACUGCCAUGACGAAGGAUUUCGCCAUGAUUGCAGUAUUGCCCCCAUAUGAAGAUAUGGUUGCCUCGUAGCUCAUUAGGAACUGCUUUGGGUCUGAGUGCCCAUCAUACAUAGGAAGAUAAGGUGGCUUGUAUGAUGGGGGCCAUGGGGUAGCCUACAACUCUGCUGCUAGAGGAGAAGCAUCGUCAAAAGCAAAAUUACCAUGAUGGAAAUCAUCAUGCCAUUCAUCAUCGUUGUACGAAUUGUCUUGACAAAGCUCUCUAUGUUGAGGCCUUCGGUCUUGGUCAUCUUGAGUGAGAUGACGCAUUUCCUCAGCAGCUUCAUCAAUCUUCCUCUGAAGAUUGGCAAGACGAAGCAUCUUUUCUUUCUUCUUCUGGACCUGUUGAUGAAUGGCUUCAAGGUCCCUGAUUUCUUGGUCCAACUCCUCCUAAGGUGUUAGACUAGUAGCCUUCCUUUUCUGGCUCCUGACUUCGCGUAAUGUAUCUUGAUUAACGUCCAGUGGCUGCAAUGCAGCCCCUGGCCCUGAUGACUUCUUCGGUGGCAUGACGAAGGUUAGAGCUUGCCAAAGGUGGUCAAGUGAGUUCACCGGAGGUGGGCACCAAUGUUGGUCACUUGUUCUUAAAUGCUGAGUUAAGAACAAGGCAACACAAAUGUUAAUGGUUAAAGGCCUUCGUCCUUCAAAGCAUUAUUUCCCUUAGGGUAUAAUGAUCUUCAGACGAAGGUCAUGAAGGGCAUACCUUCAUCAUCUCAAUAUACAAAAAUAUAGGCAAGGACGUACAAAACAUAGAAAGACCAUGAUUAAUCAUAUUAAAUCAUUAAAUCAUGUAUAUAUUGACAUUAUAUAAUCAUGAACAAACAUUGAUGAUAUUAAGUUUGAAAGCACAUUCAUCCCUUUUGUGAGUUUUGGUGAUUUGGAUAACAACACAUUUAAAGGUCUAACGAGUUUGCUAAGUGUUGAACAGGAAAUUCAGUAUGAUGAACAUACUUGAAUAGUGUAUAAUGAUCAGUGAACAAAGGUUCAACACGAGGUUAAAUAACCAAUGAGACAAUGCAAAUGGAUAUAAUAUGAUCUCUAUAUUGGUUUGAAUAUAUGGACAAGACCUGAGAAAUCACUACAUACAUAUGACCAGAAUAGAGGACAAAGUGAUUUAGAGGAUUGGUCAAGCCAAAGAGAAUAAGAUAUGAGGAAUCGUGAAUUGGCUUGACCAUAUUACUAUCAGUCCAUAUAUGCUUCUAUGAGAAUCAAACUAGAGCUUGAUUAAUCUUAACAGUUAUAUCUAGAAGACAUUCAAGCAAGGUUCACAAUAUUGAAGAAAUGAUUCUCUCAAUGGAUGCUCAAUAUGAUGUGACUCAAGAAUGGCUUGAUAGGGUGAAGAUAGCAAGGAAAGGGCUUCGAGGAACUAGGCGAAGGUGAAGGCCAAGCGACGGCUUAUAGACCGAGGUACCAUGGCUAAGGUGAAGAAGAGAGUACUUGCACUAAGUCGAUGAACUAAUCAGCUAUGAAGAGUUAUAACAUGUUGAUGCAUCAGUAAGGUGACUUGAAGCAAUGAUUUGAACUCAUAUAAGGUGAUAUGGUACAAGUCACAGGGUUUGGUUUGAGUUUGCUUCAAAAGGUGAGACAAAGAUGUUUGUGAUCCUUAUGAAGCAAUGCCAUGGAGAAAUCACACAUGAGACACCAAUGACUCAAGGAGUUUACUUCAUUUUAUUUUAUUUAACUUGAGUAUAGGAAUCGUCGUACUAUAAAGGGGGAUCCAAAAAGAAUGUUGGUGUUUGCCAAAGCUCAAACCUCUCUAUUCAAAAGCUAUUUUUGAAAAGCAAAAAUCUCUUUAACGUUCUAUGGUUGACCGUGGUUAGGGUUGAGAAACCUAGAGUGCUCUUGCUGAAAAGCAGCUGAACUUCUUCAACUGCAGCUGAGCUUUCCAGCUGAACUUGACUUCAGCUCAGUUGAGCUUCUUCAGCUGCAGCUGAGCUUUUCAGCUGAGCUGAACUUCAGCUGAGUUGAGCUUUCUCAACUUCAGCUGUGAACCUCUUUGACCAUACACCAGCUGAACUUGCCUCCGGGCAGUUGAGCUGGGAUUUUCUCUCCUAAACUCACUGGUCAAGACCGGUUGAACUGGUCCUAAGGGGCAGUUCAGCUGGUCUCUGACCCCUCUGACCUCUGAUCUGCAGUCUGCCAGUCAGACUGGCAAACAGGUCGCCAGGAGCUGUUAGGGGCGGUUCAACCGCCCCGCCUGGGCGGUUCAACCGAUGUUGGUCAACUUUGACCAGUCUGCGGUCAGUCUGCGCGUCAGUCUGCCAGGCCUGCCAGGGGCGGUUCAACCGCCCUAGGGGGCGGUUCAACCGGUCUCAGGCAGAAAAAUCUGCCCAAACGGCUAGUUUUAAGCUCCACCUAUAUAUACUCACUCCUACCUCUCACCCCACAGCAGGGAGCACGAUUUGAACUCCAUUUCUAACCCAAGAAACACCUCCCUCUCUCUCUCACACAUCUCUUGCCUCUCCCAUUUCAAAUCUUUGGAGAGAAAUCUUUGAGUGAGCUUGAGAGCUGCGGUUUUGUGCUUCAUCUCUAAAUCUCUCUUGCUCUUCUUCUUGAUUCGAGCUUUGGUACUACAUUGAGUUCUUUGUGGAUUCAUUACUCUUGGAGCUUCUAGCUCCUAGACGACUAGGUGUCUCUUGUGAGUCUCCAAAUCUUGUGGAAGACCACAAGAAAGUUUGUAUUACCCGCUCGUUUGAGCAAAGAUUAGUGUGUGAGCUUGACCUUUGUGGUCGGCAAAGGGAGGAUUAGGGUUGAAAGAGACCCGGCUCUUUGUGGGCGCCUCAACGAGGAAGUAGGGCACCUUGGUGGUGUGACCAAACCUCGGGAUAAAUCUUGUGUCUUUUGUGUUCUUGUUCAUUGUGCUUAUUCGUGUUCUUCGUUCUCUCACCAUUGCGUGGAAGAUUUGUUCAUAUCUUUUUGGUGUGUGGAUUUUGAGAAGUGCCCUUCUCAGAUCUACUACUUUGAACCCUGUGGAUCAUUUAGAACAUCUCAUUUCCAAAGUUAACUGGGUGAAUUUUGAGAUCAAUUCAGUUUUAUAUCUCAUUGUUUAGUUAAGCUCGUUCAAACCAGUUGCACCGGUUUUGACACUCGACGGUUUUACCUAGUUUGUUUCUAGUUUUUGUUGAAAAAGUUUUAACUUGCCUAUUCACCCCCCCACUAGACAACUUUUAAUUGGUAUCAGAGUCUAAUCCUCGUUUUAACGCUUAACCGCGUGAGGAAAGAUCAUGUCGGGGGGACUAAGAAACGAAAGUUCUUCUAAGCUUGAAAAAGUUGAGGUUGCCUCGACUUCAUCUUUUGGUGCAGAUGUUGAUCCUAGGGCAAUAGACCUUGCCAUGAGAAUCGCCGAAAGGAUGUUCCUCAAAAUGAAGGAAGAUGAGGCGAAGAACAUUAUUGAAGAAGAAGAAAAUGAUCGAUGGAGACCAAACGACGAAUCCACCUCUUCACAAGGUUCAUCUUUCAAAUCCACUUCUCAUAUGUGCUUUGUUGCUAAUGAGAGUGACAGUGAAAGCGAAAGUGAGGAUGAGGAGAAGCAUGAAAGUGAUAGUGAAGAUGAGGAUGAUCUUCAAAAAUUCUUCGCUCAACUAAGUAAGAAGAACUGGAUGAGCUUGCUCAAACUCAUGAAAAGAGCGGAAGAACAAAAGGAAAUGCUUCAUAAGCAAGAAGAUAUCCUCAUCGAAAAAAUCAAAGACUUGGAGAAGUUGACCAAAGAGCAUGAGAAGCUAAAGUGCUCUCAUGAUGAUUUGGUCCAAAGGUAUGAAGUCAUUUCAAUUGAGCAAAUUAAAGCUAUUAAUCAUUCAUCAUAUAUUGCUCAAUUAGAAAAUAAAAAUGCUAUGCUCAAGAACACAGUAGAAAAGCUAAACAUUGAAAAUCUAGCUUUGCAAGAAAAACAUGAUAUACUUGUAUGCUCUCAUAAUAAAUUUAUGGAUUCACAUAUCAUGUUAGAAAUGGCUCAUGAGGUUGUGUUAACUAAUUUGAAAUCAUACCAACCUCACAUGUGCACAUGUGUUGAAAUUGAAACUAUAUUACCAUGUGCUAACAAUUAUUGUUAUCAAGCAAGCCAAUCUUCCAUUGAGCUAGAAAUUUCAGGAAUUAGUGAUAUUUCUAUCACACAAGAAAAUAAAGAGCUCAUGGAAGAAGUUGGAAGGCUAAGAAGGAGCUUAACUCUUUUGAAGGGAAAGUGUCAUGCUCAACCUUCUCACGAUAACCGUGAUAACAUGGUGAAGAAGCUUGAGAAGGGGACAAACGUAGCAUGCACAAUCCCGCUUCAAAAUAAUGCUAAGUUCCCUAAGAAAGGCAUGAGCAAACAUCAAUAGAAGAAAGCCAAAGCUCAUGACAAGUGCCUCAACCAUGCCUCCACAUGCUCCACACAAGGUAACAAACAAGCCACUCUUCCAAAUAAGAGAAGAUGCACUAGAAAGUGUUAUCAAUGUCAUGAGAAGGGACAUGAGAUUAAGUCAUGUCCUUACAUAAAAGAUAGUGGUUUACCUUUGGAAAGAAAGAGGCUCACUAACCAUGUAGCAAACAAGAAGCAAGGCAAGAAGGAGUCUUGCAAAAUUAAAAAUCAUAUUUGCUACACUUGCCGAAGAAAGGGACACCUUUGCAAGGAUUGUCCCAUGAGUAAGUAUCCUAAGUCUACCAUGUCAAUUCAUUCAUAUUCGCUUAGGAGACCCAAAAAUGACACUUGUGCUAGAAAGGUAAUUAGUUCACCUAAAACUAGCACAAAGGCCAUUUGGGUGCCUAAGUACUUGUUAGCUAACCUUGGUGGACCCAUCCAAAGAUGGGUACCAAAAUGUACUUGAUAAGUUUUGCAGGUACCCACAUAUGAUAUGAAGCUUUGGGGUGCUUGAGCGGUUUAACUCAAUUCUUAUCUCAAGCUAUCAAUCUUACAUUGUCUAUCCUUUAAGAUUGACCCAAAGAUGAAUUGAGUUGUUAUAUCACUAACUUCAUAUUCAUCUCUAGCAAGAACUUGUGUUGUAGGGAAUAAGGAUUAACCUUUGUGGGAAUCAAGCAAAAGGCCUACAACCAAGUGAUAUCCAAAGGAUGGUAACAAUUAAUUCUUAAGUGCACAUUGCUUUUAACGAAUAAUGAAGCACUUGAGAAUGAACUUAAAAGAUUUUACCUUGCUUUGGAAAGGAUCUAAUUAUAUGGUAGAUUGCAAGUUCAUAUUUUUAUAUUAUGACAAUCUACAUGCUUUAAAUUGGUUGUAUAUAUCUUGUGGCAUAUUUCAAAUUGAUUAUCGUAUUAUUGCCAUGACCUAGACAUAAAGAGGAUUAUCCCAUGUUCUUAAAUGAAUAGAGUGCUAAGUAAGAAAUUCAAAUUCUUAAAGCACUUACCAAAAGGGAAUUCUCUAUAUGGCUAGAGUUGUGAGACUAAUGUUUCUAUCCAAGUGUUUAUGUAGUCUCACAACAUGAGAAUGUGUUUCCCAAAUGGAGUGUGCCAUUCAACAUUCAAAGAAGAUCGAACCAAUACUAUGUGAUGUAUUCAUUCUUGUUUAAAUUGGUUUUGAGUCUUCUACAUUAAUCACUCAUCAUGUUAUAAAUUAAACUUGCCCUAUAAACUUAACUAAAUAAUCAUGCUAUUUUCACCAUGUUUAAAUCAGUGUUAUGCAUGAUGCUUGUAAGGGUAAUUUAGUUCAUAUCAUGAGGUUUCCUUAUUUUAGUAACCUUCUUGUCAUACAUAUACUAAAGGUUGCUAAAUAGGAAGUUAUUGCUUGUGUUUUAAAUGCAGUCUCUUUUAAGAUAUUUCAUGGAAAUUCAUAAGUAGAGAUUGUGCUCUUUCAAUUGGUAAAAUCACAAGCAUUAAAGGUUAAUCUUCACCCAAAAGAAAGAUUAGGAAUGCUCAAGGCAAAGGUAUGGAACUAAUUGCUUUAAUUGGUUGUUGAUCAAUGGUAGUUCCUUUCAAGUGUCAUUCUUUCAAUUGGUAAUAAUAUAUUCUAUGGAAAUAAAUGCCAAUAUGAAGGUUAAAUUCCUUUUGACUUAAAUUUGUAAAUUGGUGCAUAUUAUUAAUUCUCUCAUCCAUGUGCAUUAAUUUAAAAGGAAUUUAAUUUAUGCCUGUAUGCCCAUAAAUGAUGAUUUGCUUGCCAUUCAUAUAUAGAUAUCAUCAUUCAUUAAAUACUUCCUUGUACUACUAAUACCUCUUUUCAAAGUGUUUUAUCGACUAGUUUUAAAAGGAAAAGAGAUAACAAAGAAGGAAGUCUCCACAAAUGAUGAAAAGAAGAAUAAUAAGGUGACACCACCAUAGAUAGUAAGAUCUGUCAAAUUGGUAUAACAAAUGGUACAUUCUAUAUGGUGGUAAGUAUUCUUAGGCAUAAGUUAAUUCAUUGUAAAUUUGUCAUGCCUCGACAAUGAUAUGUAAUGUACUCCUCAUGAGACCCUUAUCUGAAUUGAAAGUGCAUGUGGUAAGUCAUUCAAAUACUUUAUGCACAUAUCUAGUGGGAGAACAUUAUAUAUCUUGUGUCAUAGAGAAUAAGUUUCACUUGAGUAAGCUAUACUAAGACAAUCCAAAAUGGUAAAUUUGUAUCUCAUUCAUAUGGAUUGUAAUCUUUGUUUUCUAAAUAGCUACUCUUGAUGCAGUUUAAAAUUCCCUUAUCGUUAAUUCUAAAAGUGCAUAAGAAUCUUUUUGUUGAUAUUCAUCACAUACAUAUGCACUAACAUGGAUAUGAUUUUUAAACUGUAAAAGGUACAAUUAGUGAUCCAUACUCUCUAAAUUUUGGAAACCCAUAUUUUGAUAUCUUAGAAAUCUACUUCAAUCAAUAUCCAUAUGCUUCACAUUGAAUUGGAUCACUAAGUUGUAAAUUCCAUGCAUAACUUGUCUUCAUGAUAUGAAUGCUUGUGCGAUUAACCUUGAUAAGCUAGGUGCACCCAAGGUCAAUCUAGGUUCAUCAUCAAGAAGGCAACACAAUGAUGUAUCAAGAAAAGGAGAAAAGGCUCCUAUUCUUAACUCUAACUUUUAUCUGUGUGAUUAAAUAUUGACUUGAAAUCGUGUAAGAUGGUUGUCAAGUAUAUGUGGGUGCCUACACAAAGAGAAAGGCCACAAUAAGGAUUGUGUGGGUACUCAAGGCUCUUACUACUAAUCUCAAAGGACCCAAUUCAAAUUGGGUACCAAGAUAUGAAGCUUAAACUUGUUUUGCAGGAUCACUCCUUCAAUGGAUCAAGUUGGGUGCUUGAUAAUGAAUGUAUAAUUCACAUUUGGAGAUAGUAGCAAGGGUGUGGUAACAACUGAAUCUCAAGUGCAUAUUAUUUUCAAAUCUUAUCUCUUUUGUGACUUGUGUAGCCACUAAAGAAAAAGAAGCACUUGAGGAUAUACAUCAGUUGUUGAUUAUGAAAUAAAGGUCCAAUUGGAAGAUGAAUGAAUAUUAUCAUAUGGUCAACAAUCCAAAAUUGUGUGACAUAUUCUCUAUCUAGUUAAUUUGGAUUUGAUUCUUCUAUAUUAGACACUCACCAUAAUAUGGAUUAAGCCAUCCCUUUAGACUUUAUUGAAUAACUAUGCAUAUUAUACAUGUCAUUCAAAAUAUAUUGUGCAUGAGGGCUCAAGGGAAAUUCAGUCCAUAUUAUGAGGUUUCUUUAUUUUAGCAACUCGCUUGCCUUCCACAUAUAAAGGGUUGCAAAAUAAGAAACUAGUGCUUGUGCUACUAAUGCCAUCUCUUGUGUUGAGUUUAUCCAUAGAAAAUCUAUGUUAAGAGAUGGUGCUUGUUUUAAAUUGGGUAAAUCACAAGCUUAAAGGACACUAUUCAACUAAAGUAAGAUGAAGUUGAUAAGAUGCCAAGGUAUGGAAACUUCCUCUCCUUCAGUUGUUUUAGUAUUCUAUCCUUAGUGGGAUGUACCAUAGUAUAGGUUAAAUUCCUUGCAAUGUAAAAUGUUCAAUAGUGCAUAUAACUUUGACAUUAACUAUAUGUGUGCACUAAUUUAAAGGAAUUUAGUCUAUCCUUUUCGGUUUCAAUAAUGAUGAUUCAUUUGCCAUCCACAUAUAAGGAUCAUCAUUUGUGAAACCCUCCCUUGUGUUUCUAAUGCUCUCUUUUCUAAGUGUUUCAAUAAGGUCCUUCCAAGUGCUUUCAAGAUGGAUUCAAAAUCUAUGGAUAAGAGUCUUGGUUCUUUCAAUCAUUGAGUUUCAAUGAAUCUCAUAUCAAGUAUGAUCGAAUCAAGAAAAGAUGAAAGAAGUUCAUGAUCACUUGGUUGGAUGAAAUCGUAAAAAGAAAAGAGAUCACAGUGAUUCAAGAAGGGAGUUAUAUUUUUUGUCAACCAAAUAAUGAAGAUGCAGUGACAUAUUUAUAUGAUAUCCUUCAUUAUGAGGUUUGAGGUUCAUAUUAGCAUGCUUUACCCUUCAAGAUUUCAAUUGAUAUACUUUUAGUUCUUAAAUCUUCAAUUGGUUUAAUUUUCGUCCUCUAUAUAAAGCAUGUUAUGUUAAGCCAAGAUAUAGUACAAACAUCUCCUUUAACCUCACAUUGUUAAUGUGCAUAAGUGUACUUUGUGUACUCUUGCAUGCACAAAUUGAGGGAGAGUUUAGCCUAUAUCUUGUGAGACUAAUGAUUUCUUUCAAGUUCAUGUUGUGUAGUCUCACACCUUGGAGAACAUCAAAUGAGGUUGAAUGGUUCCAUAGAAAUGAAAAUGAGUUUCUCUUGAACCUAUCAAGAAAAUGAGUUUCUCUUGAUCGUUUGAAGAGGAUGAGUUUCUCUUUGAAAUGUCAAGCCUAUCAAAAGCUAAAAUAGAAAUUCAUGAUUAUAAUGAAGACCAUAUGGCAUGGAACAAAGGUGUGUCACUCCAUGAACUAUUGUAUUAUAUGUGUAUCUAGGCUCUUACAAGUUAGUGUAUGCAUGUAAAUGCAAUAUCUUAAGUCACAUCAUAAGGUUGCACUUGAAUCUUGGCUUAAAAUAUUGCAUAUCAUGCCUAUUAGUAUACCUUUUUUAUUAUGAGUAAUUCCUUAAAUUGGUGCAAUUUCAUAUUUUCAUACUUUAUUUGUACCAAGGUUCAAAUUGUAGAACUUAAUCCCCUGGCCUCACAAGUCCAAGUGCAUAAGCUAAACAAGUAUUCAUCACUUGUAUGCAUACAUUUAGGGGGAGAAUGGUCUAUAAUUUGAAUCUUUGAGACUAACUUCAUUUUCAAGUCUAUUAUGUGUGUAGUCUCAAAUUAGAAAGGGAUCUUCAAGCAAAGACAAUCGCUUCCACUGCAAAAUUUGAUGGGCAUCAAAGAUUCUUUGCUCCAAUAAAUGUAUCUUUUAUACAUUUCAUAAGAGAAUGAGUUUCUCUUUUAUAUGCUACUCCAACAUCAUCUAAAACUGGUAAACAUGUAUCACAUCCUUUUGGAUUGCAAAUGUCUGAAGUAGCAUAGCUUAUAAAUUCUCCUGUCUAGAACUUAAUUGAUUAAAUAGUGCACAUGUUUCUUAUGUUGCAUGAUUAUGUUCAAUUGAUACUCCUUUUAUGCCAAUGGUACUUUAAGUUGCAAAUAAGUACUCUCAACAGAUAUCAAUUGAAUUCAUAUAUGUGUGUGCACUAAAACUUGAGGAGAACUUAGUGUAAUAUGCUAUUAGUGAUCUAUUUAUCUAUCAAAUUGUAUCAAUUGGUGUUUUUCAAUUGAUAUUUUUCAUACAUGAUCACUAGUUGCAUAAUCCAUACUUGUGCAAUUUUCAUGUUGCCUCUUGUUGUGAUAAGAAAAUGCUAGGUGACAUCUAGACUCCAGGUAUCAAGAUUUAUCUUUCAGUUAGUAUGACAAUCUUCAUUUGAUAUCUUGGACCUAUGUCACAAAUUAUGCCAACAAGAGCUUGCAAAUGAAUUCUAAAUCCAACACAAGUCUGGAAACCCCUUGAAAAGGUAAAACGCAAAGGUACAUCACUUAUGACACUUAUCCAUUACCUUUGUGCCAUCUAAGGAUCCCUUUCAUGAUAGUGUGUUCACAUCUCGCUUAAUCAUAAUUUCUAUCCUUUAUAUUCUUUGUAUCCUUUUUGGAGAUUUAUGUCAAAGGGGGAGAAAUUGUGCAUUAAAGCUUACCUUUAGUCUUAUGUAACUAAGUGUUAGAAGACUUUUAAAAAGGGGAGAAAUAAUUAACAAAAAGGGGAAGUCAUAAGAAAAACAUAAGAUGAAGAGAGUUGAUAAGUGCAUUCCAUGUCAUGAGCAUCACGUUUAUUUUAUGACACACUGCACCCUAUGAAUAGUAUGAUAUAAGUUGUCUAUACUUUGACCUAAAUAUGUGCUUUUGGCAUUUGAGUACAUAAGUGUCAUUUUCUGAAAUGCACAUAUUUAGGGGGAGGAAACUAUAUCAUAGGAUUUAAAAUCUUAUUUAUCAAAUCUUAUGUAAGCUUUAAAUGUGUUGUCAUCAAUCACCAAAAAGGGGGAGAUUGAAAGUGCAUUCAUCCCUUUUGUGAGUUUUGGUGAUUUGGAUAACAACACAUUUAAAGGUCUAACGAGUUUGCUAAGUGUUGAACAGGAAAUUCAGUAUGAUGAACAUACUUGAAUAGUGUAUAAUGAUCAGUGAACAAAGGUUCAACACGAGGUUAAAUAACCAAUGAGACAAUGCAAAUGGAUAUAAUAUGAUCUCUAUAUUGGUUUGAAUAUAUGGACAAGACCUAAGAAAUCACUACAUACAUAUGAUCAGAAUAGAGGACAAAGUGAUUUAGAGGAUUGGUCAAGCCAAAGAGAAUAAGAUAUGAGAAAUCGUGAAUUGGCUUGACCAUAUUACUAUCAGUCCAUAUAUGCUUCUAUGAGAAUCAAACUAGAGCUUGAUUAAUCUUAACAGUUAUAUCUAGAAGACAUUCAAGCAAGGUUUACAAUAUUGAAGAAAUGAUUCUCUCAAUGGAUGCUCAAUAUGAUGUGACUCAAGAAUGGCUUGAUAGGGUGAAGAUAGCAAGGAAAGGGCUUCGAGGAACUAGGCGAAGGUGAAGGCCAAGCGACGGCUUGUAGACCGAGGUACCAUGGCUAAGGUGAAGAAGAGAGUACUUGCACUAAGUCGAUGAACUAAUCAGCUAUGAAGAGUUAUAACAUGUUGAUGCAUCAGUAAGGUGACUUGAAGCCAUGAUUUGAACUCAUAUAAGGUGAUAUGGUACAAGUCACAGGGUUUGGUUUGAGUUUGCUUCAAAAGGUGAGACAAAGAUGUUUGUGAUCCUUAUGAAGCAAUGCCAUGGAGAAAUCACACAUGAGACACCAAUGACUCAAGGAGUUUACUUCAUUUUAUUUUAUUUAACUUGAGUACAGGAAUCAUCGUACUAUAAAGGGGGAUCCAAAAAGAAGGUUGGUGUUUGCCAAAGCUCAAACCUCUCUAUUCAAAAGCUAUUUUUGAAAAGCAAAAAUCUCUUUAACGUUCUAUGGUUGACCGUGGUUAGGGUUGAGAAACCUAGAGUGUUCUUGCUGAAAAGCAGCUGAACUUCUUCAACUGCAGCUGAGCUUUCCAGCUGAACUUGACGAGCUUCUUCAGCUGCAGCUGAGCUUUUCAGCUGAGCUCAACUUCAGCUGAGUUGAGCUUUCUCAACUUCAGCUGAACUCAACUUCAGCUGUGAACCUCUUUGACCAUACACCAGCUGAACUUGCCUCCGGGCAGUUGAGCUGGGGUUUUCUCUCCUAAACUCACUGGUCAAGACCGGUUGAACUAGUCCUGAGGGGCAGUUCAGCUGGUCUCUGACCCCUCUGACCUCUGAUCUGCAGUCUGCCAGUCAGACUGGCAAACAGGUCGCCAGGAGCUGUCAGGGGCGGUUCAACCGCCCCCCCUAGGCGGUUCAACCGGUGUUGGUCAACUUUGACCAGUCUGCGGUCAGUCUGCGCGUCAGUCUGCCAGUCAGACUGGCAGACAGGCUGCCAGGCCUGGCAGGGGCGGUUCAACCGGUCUCAGGCAGAAAAAUCUGCCCAAACGGCUAGUUUUGAGCUCCACCUAUAUAUACUCACUCCUACCUCUCACCCCACAGCAGGGAGCACGAUUUGAACUCCAUUUCUAACCCAAGAAACACCUCCCUCUCUCUCACACACAUCUCUUGCCUCUCCCAUUUCAAAUCUUUGGAGAGAAAUCUUUGAGUGAGCUUGAGAGCUGCGGUUUUGUGCUUCAUCUCUAAAUCUCUCUUGCUCUUCUUCUUGAUUCGAGCUUUGGUACUACAUUGAGUUCUUUGUGGAUUCAUUACUCUUGGAGCUUCUAGCUCCUAGACGACUAGGUGUCUCUUGUGAGUCUCCAAAUCUUGUGGAAGACCACAAGAAAGUUUGUAUUACCCGCUCGUUUGAGCAAAGAUUAGUGUGUGAGCUUGACCUUUGUGGUCGGCAAAGGAAGGAUUAGGGUUGAAAGAGACCCGGCUCUUUGUGGGCGCCUCAACGAGGAAGUAGGGCACCUUGCACUACACCAAAAUAGUAAACUUCCUAGAGCCUAAACUCUAGGAAGUUAGGCCUAAACUCUAGGAAGUUAGCUAAACUCUCGGAAGUUAAGCCAUCCCGUCGGAAGUUUGGCUCUCGGAAAUUUUUUGUCGGAAGUUAGCUUAACUUCCUAGAGGCCUCUAGGAAGUUAGCUAACUUCCUACAGCCAAAAAAGCCUCUCGGAAGUUAGUAGAUUCUCGGAAGUUAGUAGCUUCACGCCGUCAGCGCCGUCAGCUGACUAACUUCCUAUGGCUGACUGUAGCCCCUAGGAAGUUAGCUGGCUAACUUCCUACGGCUUAAUAAGCCUCUAGGAAGUUAAUUUGACCAGCAUUACAAAUGUUGUUUAUUUUUAUUUUACACCACAUUCCACAACAUAACAAAUAUAUCAACAGCUAUAUAGCACAACAUAUUUUCUCAUAAAACAUCUCACACACAAUCACAUAACCAUAUUUAAAUCCAUAGUCUCAUCAAUUACAUCACAAAAGUCUCAUCCAUAGUCUCAUCAAUUACAUCAUAAAAGUCUUAUCCAUAGUCUCAUCAAUUACAUCACAAAAGUCUCAUCCAUAGUCAUAAUAGGACACAUCUCAUCAUCCAGUACUAAUAAGAGACAAUAUCUCAUACAUAGUCAUAAAAGUCUCAUUACAAAUGCAGUUUGUACCAGGAUUCACCUUCAGAGUAUCUCCCUACAAAGCAGGAUGAGCGCUAACGUCAGUGGAACCAAACUAAAAUGAAAGAGAGGAUUGGAACUAGAGUAUAAACCUUUUAAAAAUUUCAGAACAUAGUACCUUUGAAAAGAUUCAUUCUUGCAUCUGGUGGACCACAGUUAUCAGAUAAGUGAUACUUUCCUGAAAGUAUACCCAUUGCCAUUGGGUUGUAAGGCAGCAAGCUGAUUCUGCAAAUGCCAUAGUUCGACAAUGGAAGUUCAGAAGAAAAACAAUUGUAUAAAUUGAGUCAAAACAGAAUACAAUUUGGAAAAUAUCUUAACCAAGAGCAAAUACGAUAUGACAAUGCCAUUCUUCUUUAAACUAAACAGAUGUCAAUAUUUUUUCGAACAUGCAGGAGAGCUAUGUAUCGUUGUAUCAUAGUCAUAGAGAGUAAAAAAAGCCAAUAUGCAUUACCAACUCAUGCCAGGACCAUACAUGAGAAGAUUAGAGACACUGAAGACAACAGUCAGGGCUUCUGACCAUGUCAAGCAUACCUCUCAUGAUGGCAGCAUUCUGCCAAUCCAGAAUCAAAAUUUUGGCACAACAAAUUAUACAAGUUCUACAAAAACAUAGGUGAAGAAAUAUGGAGAGCGAUUACAGUACUACAGAUUAGAUCAAACUAUGCUACUUACCUGCAUUGUCAGUAGCUUUGGAAGCAACUGAGAAUCCUUACUGAACUAAAGAAAUUUCAUCAAACCAUAUGGUGUAUCAUUGGAACAGACGUGUACUGGCAGUUCGGAUCAUACUCUGUCUCCCCAAACAUUGGAACAUACCUGCAAGUAGAAAAAAACAGUGGAUCAUACUCUGUCUCCUCAUAGCCGAAGCUAAGUAUGCAACAACAAUUAUUCGAGGAAAAACUCUACUAACAUCUAUGUAUCGUCACUAAGGGUGACUAUUUAUGCAAUUUGUAUUACAAAAACUUAGAUCAUGCCUAGAGCAGAAGUAACAAGCGUUCGAAUUAAACAAUCAAUUCCUAAAGACACAACCACACUAGCGAGCAUCUGAGCACAAGAGCAAAUAUGAGGUUUUGCAGAGUGAACACAGAACAAAAAGGUCUACCAAUUGACCACCUGCCAUCGAUUGCCGCUGCGAUGUUCCGUGAAUCGAGAGAUGACGGCCUGCCGCGAAUCCACGUCAUCUGCCAUGAAGGCCCCGCGACCUGUUCUCCCAGCAUAGCGUCACCAAACAAAGCACCAAGUUGAGUUCACCGCUCCGUCACAAAAUUCACAAUACAUACAAGCAACUGAAGUACGGGCAGGAUCUGAGGGCUGUUGCUCCCUUUGGUUGCGACAACGAUGCUGUCCGGUGGGGCCCGGCGGGCCCGCAACCAGCGGCCGAGGAGCUCCUCACUACGCCCGUGCGUCUUGCUGCGUUGUGGAACCGAGUACCUGACGAGUAUCUGGAUUCGGGGCCGGGGGCGGCGGGCGGGGCCGAAGGUGGGCCGAGGUGGGGGCGGCCGCGGUGGAUGGGGCUGGUGGUGGCUGCGUCCGCGGUGGGUGGGGUCGGGGCGAGGGCGUCCGCGGCGGACGGGGUCGGGGGCGGCCGUGGCGAGGGCGGGCAGGGGCGGCCGCGACGUGGGCGGUCGGUGGCGUGGGCGGUGAGGGCGACUGGCGACUGGCGGCUGGCGGGGCCGGAGGCGGGCCUUGGCGGGGGCGGCCACGGUGGAUGGAGCCGAGGGCGGUGGCGUCCGUGGUGGACGGGGCUGGGCCAGGGGCGUCCGCAGCGUACGGGGCCGGGGGUGGCCGCGGCGGGGGCAGGGGCGGGCGGGGGCGGCCGGUGGCGUGGGCAGCGGGGGCGGCGGGCGGCGGGCGGCUCCAUGGAAGAGACAAAGGCGAGAGAGAUGGGGUUGAGAAAUGUGAGAGAAGAGAUAAGGUUGAGGAGAGGUUUAAAAUAAAAAAUAACUUCCUAGAGUAAAGCCGUAGGAAGUUACGUAACUUCCUAGAGUUUGUACAUUUACUCUAGGAAGUUAAAUAACUUCCUAGAGCCGACCGUAGGAAGUUAGCUUUUCGUUUGACUGGUCAAAAGCUGAAAUCUAACUUCCUAGAGCUGGUCGUAGGAAGUUAGCUUUUCGUUUGACUGGUCAACAGCUAAAACCUAACUUCCUAGAAGAGGCCGUAGGAAGUUAGCUGGGCAGCUAACUUCCUAGAGCCAGCCGUAGGAAGUUAGCUUUUCUUUUGGCUGGUCAAUAGCUAAAACCUAACUUCCUAGAGCAGGCCGUAGGAAGUUAGCUAACUUCCUACGGUUUUUUAACUUCCGACAGCUUUUAUAAAAGACCGUAGGAAGUUAGGUUUAUUUCCUAGAGCUACCAGUUGCCUCUCGGAAGUUAUUUAUUUCCUACGGUUUGUUACAAAAGCUGUAGGAAGUUAAAAAACCGUAGGAAGUGUAUGAUUUUGGUGUAGUGUUGGUGGUGUGACCGAACCUCGGGAUAAAUCUUGUGUCUUUUGUGUUCUUGUUCAUUGUGCUUAUUCGUGUUCUUCGUUCUCUCACCAUUGCGUGGAAGAUUUGUUCAUAUCUUUUUGGUGUGUGGAUUUUGAGAAGUGCCCUUCUCAGAUCUACUACUUUGAACCCUGUGGAUCAUUUAGAACAUCUCAUUUCCAAAGUUAACUGGGUGAAUUUCGAGAUCAAUUCAGUUUUAUAUCUCAUUCUUUAGUUAAGCUCGUUCAAACCAGUUGCACCGGUUUUGACACUGGACGGUUUUACCUAGUUUGUUUCUAGUUUUUUGUUGAAAAAGUUUUAACUUGCCUAUUCACCCCCCCUCUAGACAACUUUCAAAGUUACAUUAGUACCUUCGACUUGACAGAAGGUAAAAGUCCGAGGGUUACGUGCGAGCGAUUACAAGUCAGCGUGAACAGUAUGGUGUUACUGUUCAUCUAUUUAUAGGCACAAGACGUAGCCUGGGUAAAAUUACAUUCAUGUCCCUGACACUUACUAUUAGCUAAAAGGUAAGAUGUCGAGGACUAAGCAGUCUUUUCCCUUUUAAGUCGGUUUCAUUCUCCAUCGUCAUCUUUGCGCUAAGCCGAAGCUUUUCCAUCCACAGCUUCGGAACUGGUCCAUCCUUCUUCCAGGUCGCGCCUUUCAUACUAUGUACACCUUCAUCUCAAAGCCAAAGCCUCCUGUGACAGUAUACUAUACUGGAAGACAUGUUAGUCAUGUUUUUGAGGACCAUCGAAAGACAAAGGCCCCCAAUAGAGAUGAGAAUGUUAGAUUAAGUGCUACGAUAGAGGAAUUAAAUGUUUGCAAACCCUCUACAUCUAAUGUUGAUCAUGUUUCUAUUUGCACUAGAUGUAUAGAGAUUAAUGUAGAAGCUAUUGAUGAUCACCUUGCUAUGAUUAAACAACAAAAUGAUCACAUAGCUAAAUUAACUGCUAAAAUUGUCGAGCAUGAGCUAGAAAAUGAAAAAUUUAAAUUUGCUCGUAGUAUGCUCUAUAACGGGAGAUGCCCUAGCAUUAAGGAUGGCAUUGGUUUCCAACAGGGGAGCAAUGUCAAGCUUAAUGCCCCUAAAAAAUUAUCUAACUUUGUAAAGGGCAAGGCUCCCAAGGUUCAGGAUAGUGAAGGCUACAUUUUAUAUCCUGCUAACUAUCCUAAGCAGAAAAUUAGGAGAAUUCAUGCUAGAAAACCUCACACUGUUUCUCAUCAUGCAUUUAUGUAUAAAAAUGAGGCUUCUAGCUCUAGGCAAUCAACUCAUGUUAAAUUGCCUAAAACGAAAACUCCCACUGCAUCAAAUGAACACAACAUUUCAUUUAAGACUUUUGAUGCUUCAUAUGUUUUAACUAACAAAUUAGGCAAAGUAGUUGCCAAAUAUGUUGAGGGCAAACACAAGAGCUCCAAAACUUGUGUUUGGGUACCCAAGGUGCUUGUUUCUAAUGUGAAAGGACCCAAGACCGUUUGGGUACCUAAGAACAAGGCCUAAAAUUGUUUUGUAGGUUUAUGCAUCUGGUGGUUCAAGUUGGAUAAUCGAUAGCGGGUGCACAAACCACAUGACAGGGAGAAGAGAAUGUUCUCCUCCUAUGAGAAAAAUGAAGAUCCCCAAAGAGCUAUCACAUUCGGGGAUAGAAAUCAAGGAUUGGUCAAAGGUUUGGGUAAAAUAGCUACAUCUCCUGACCAUUCUAUUUCCAAUGUUUUUCUUGUAAAUUCUUUAGAUUACAAUUUGCUUUCUGUUUCUCAAUUAUGCAAAAUGGGCUACAACUGUCUAUUUACAGAUGUAGGUGUUACUGUCUUUAGAAGAUGUGAUGAUUCAAUAGCAUUUAAGGGAGUGUUAGAGGGUCAGCUAUAUUUAGUUGAUUUUAAUGAGAACAAAGCUGAACUUAACACUUGCUUAAUUGCUAUGACUAAUAUGGGUUGGCUCUAGCAUCGUCGACUAGCCCAUGUUGGAAUGAAGAAUCUUCAUAAGCUUCUAAAGGGAGAGCACAUUUUAGGACUAACAAAUGUUCAUUUUGAGAAAGACAGGGUUUGUAGUUCAUGCCAAGCAGGAAAGCAAGUUGGCGCUCAUCAUCCACACAAGAACAUAAUGACGACUGACAGACCGCUCGAGCUACUCCACAUGGAUUUAUUUGGCCUGAUAGCUUACAUAAGCAUCGGUGGGAGUAAGUACUGUCUAGUUAUAGUGGAUGAUUAUUCUCGCUUCACUUGGGUAUUCUUUUUGCAAGAAAAAUCACAAACCCAAGAGACCUUAAAAGAAUUCUUAAGAUGGGCUCAAAAUGAGUUUGGAUUAAGGAUAAAAAAUAUAAGAAGCGACAAUGGGACAGAGUUCAAGAAUUCACAAAUAGAAGGAUUUCAUGAGGAUGAGGGCAUCAAGCAUGAGUUCUCUUCUCCCUACACACCUCAACAAAAUGGUGUAGCGGAGAGGAAUAAUAGAACUCUACUGGACAUGGCAAGAACCAUGCUUGAUUAGUACAAGACACCGGACCGGUUUUGGGCUGAGGCGAUUAACACCGCCUGCUACUCCAUCAACCGACUCUACCUUCACCGAAUCCUCAAGAAGACAUCAUAUGAACUCCUCACUGCUAAAAAGCCAAAUGUUUCAUAUUUUAGAGUCUUUGGGAGUAAAUGCUUUAUUCUUGUUAAGAGAGGUAGAAAAUCUAAAUUUGCUCCUAAAGCUGUAGAAGGCUUUUUACUUGGUUAUGACUCAAACACAAGGGCAUAUAGAGUCUUCAACAAAUCCACUCGAUUGGUUGAGGUUUCUUGUGACAUUGUGUUUGAUGAGACUAAUGGCUCCCAAGUGGAGCAAGUUUAUCUUGAUGAACUAGAUGAUGAAGAGGCUCCAUGCGUCGCGCUAAGGAACAUGUCCAUUGGGGAUGUGUGUCCUAAGGAAUCCAAAGAGCCCACACAAGCACAAGAUCAACCGUCAUCUUCCAUGCAAGCAUCUCCACCAACUCAAGAUGAGGAUCAGGCUCAAGUUGAUGAAAAUGAAGAUCAAGAGGAUGAGCCACCUCAAGAGGAGGACAAUGAUCAAGGGGGAGAUGAAGAGAAUAAAGACAAGGAAGAUGAUCAAGAAAUUCAGGGACAAAGACCGCCACAUCCAAGAGUCCACCAAGCAAUUCAACGAGAUCACCUCGCCAACUCCAUCCUCGGUGACAUUCAUAAGGGGGUAACCACUAGAUCUCGAGUUGCUCAUUUCUGUGAACAUUACUCUUUUGUUUCCUCUAUUGAGCCAUACAUGGUAGAGGAUGCACUAAGAGAUCUAGAUUGGGUGCUGGCAAUGCAAGAGGAGCUCAAUAACUUCACGAGGAAUGAGGUAUGGCAUUUAGUUCUAGGUCCUAAUCAAAAUGUUGUAUGUACCAAGUGGGUAUUCCGCAACAAGCAAGAUGAGCAUGGUGUGGUGACAAGGAACAAAGCUCGACUUGUGGCCAAAGGUUAUUCACAAGUCGAAGGUUUGGAUUUCGAUGAAGCUUAUGCACCCGUAGCUAGGCUUGAGUCAAUUCGAAUAUUACUUGCCUAUGCUACUUACCAUGGCUUUAAGCUUUAUCAAAUGGAUGUAAAAAGUGCCUUCCUUAAUGGACCUAUCAAGGAAGAGGUCUAUGUUGAGCAACCUCCCAGCUUUGAAGAUAGUGAGUACCCUAACCAUGUGUAUAAACUCUCAAAGGUGCUUUAUGGGCUCAAGCAAGCCCCAAGAGAAUGGUAUGAAUGCCUGCGACAUUUUCUUAUCACUAAUGGCUUCAAAGUCGAAAAAGACGAUCCUACUCUCUUUACUAAAACUGUUGCAAAAGAUUUGUUCGUAUGCCAAAUUUAUGUUGAUGAUAUUAUAUUUGGGUCUACUAACAAAUCAACUUGUGAAGAGUUUAGUAGGAUCAUGAUACAAAAAUUUGAGAUGUCAAUGAUGGGGAGUUGAAGUAUUUUCUAGGAUUUCAAAUCAAACAACUCCAAGAUGGUACCUUCAUCAACCAAACAAAGUACAUUCAAGACAUACUUAAGAAGUUUGGGAUGAAGGAUAGCAAACCCAUCAAAACACCCAUGGGAACCAAUGGGCAUCUCGACCUCGACAUGGGAGGUAAAUCCGUAGAUCAAAAGGUAUACCGGUCGAUGAUAGGAUCUUUACUCUAUUUAUGUGCAUCUCGACCGGAUAUUAUGCUUUCAGUAUGCAUGUGUGCAAGGUUCCAGGCAGAUCCUAAGGAAAAUCACCUUAGGGUCGUGAAGAGAAUCAUGAGAUACUUAGUUUACACUCCUAAGUUUGGGCUUUGGUACCCCAAGGGAUCCACUUUUGAUUUAAUAGGAUAUUCCUAUGCCGACUGGGCAGGGUGUAAAAUUGAUAGGAAGAGCACAUCAGGGACUUGUCAGUUUCUGGGGAGAUCCCUGGUGUCUUGGGCUUCAAAGAAACAAAACUCAGUAGCUCUUUCUACCGCCGAAGUCGAGUACAUUGCCGCAUGUCACUGUUGCACGCAAUUACUUUGGAUGAGGCAAACCCUUAGGGACUAUGGCUACAAAUUGAGCAAAGUCCCUCUCCUAUGUGAUAAUGAGAAUGCAAUCCGCAUGGCGGAUAAUCCCAUUGAACACAGCCACACUAAGCACACAGACAUUCGGUAUCACUUUCUGAGGGAUCACCAACAAAAGGGAGAUAUCGAGAUUGCUUAUGUGAACGCUCAAAACCAAUUAGCCGAUAUCUUUACCAAGCCAUUAGAUGAGAAAACCUUUAGCAAACUUAGGAAUGAGCUAAAUAUACUUGAUUCUCGGAUUUUUGAUUGAAACAUUGCACACAUAGCUCAUUUAUAUACCUUUGAUCAUGUCUCUUUCAUUCUGGUACAAAUGCAUAUUUCUUAUUAUGUACCAAGGCUACGACUAAUAUGUUUUCAAGUGUAUUUCUAUACUAAGUCGUAGAUUGAAAGGGAAAUGGAGUCUUCGGCAAAGAACAAGGCUUCCACUCCACAACUCUGACGGUAUUAUCUACCCUUUGCCGUUGUUCCUCCACUCUCAAUUGGUAUAACCAUUCACUCAUAUUUAUAUUACCAUUUGGGAGAAAGAUGCACAAAGGACUCUCAACGUCUCCGUUUUUGGUGAUUAAUGCCAAAGGGGAGAGAAUAUUAAGCCCAAAGCAAAAGGACCGCACCACCACCAAUUUCAAAAUUUUCAAAAUAAGGUUUUAAUUGAUUUUUUUCACAUUGGUAUCUAUGUGAUGGAAAUUUCUUCAAUUGGUAUUCAGGAGGGAGUUUUUAUUCAGGAGGUCAAUUUUCAAAUUAGUAUCUAUUUCAAAAACCCUCUUGAAAGCUAAGAGGAGAAUUUUAUUCAGGAGGGAGUUUUUAUUUAGUCAAAGGAAAAGCAUUUGAAACAGGGGGAGAAAUUUCAAAUCUUGAAAAUGCUUCUUGCAAUAUUAUUCAUAUACCUUUGACUAUUUGCAAAAAGACUUUCCAAAAAGAUUUGUAAAAACAAAACAAGUGGUGCAAAUGUGGUCCAAAAUGUUAAAUAAAAGAAAAAGCAAUCCAUUCAUAUCUAGUGAGAUUUCCAAAUGGUUUAACUUCAUGUAACCUAUGCACAAUCCAAAUGCAAACUAUUUACAUUUCUGCACUUAUUAUUUGCUUUGGUUUGUGUUGGCAUCAAUCACCAAAAAGGGGGAGAUUGAAAGGGAAAUAGGGUAAACCUUUUCCCAUAAUUAAUUUUGGUGGUUGAUCGUCAACACAAACACAUGGACUAACUAGUUUGUCUAGAACUCAUGUGUUACAGGUGCAUAAGGUUCAACAUAAACCAAUAAAAGAUUCAAGUUAGGGACUAAAUUUGAAACACAACAAAGAACUUGAGUGUGCUGUGGACUGGCGCACCGGACAGUGUCCGGUGCACCAGGGUCGUACGUACAAGUUCCAACCAGCCACUCUCGGGAAUUUAACAGCGCCCCUCCGCUAUAAUUCACCAGACUGUCCGGUGUGCCACAGGACUGUCCGGUGUGCUAGCGGAGCAACGGCUAACUCGCGCAACGGUUGACUCUGAUAGAAGCUACAAUGAGCAACAGUGCCGCGCAGAAGUUAGAACAGUGAAGUCAGAGGGGCACCGGACUGUCCGGUGUGGCACCAGACUGUUCGGUGCCGCAAGAGAACAAAGCUCCAACGGUCGCCCGAGCUCCAAACCCUAACGGUUGGGUGAUGUGGCGGUGCACCGGAUAGCGCACAGUACCUGUCUGGUGGCGCACCGUUCUCUCCGGUGCGCCCAUCGCCAGCAGCCUCCCCAACGGCUACCAAAGUGGUUGGGGGCUAUAAAUACCCCCAACCACCACAACUUCAAGCAUCCAAGUUUUCUGAAGAUCACAUUCAAUACAAGAGCUCUAGCAUUCACUCCAAGACAUAAUACAAAAGAUCAAAUCCUCUCCGAGUCCCAAAUUCAUUCCAAACACUUAGUGGCUUGUGAGAGAGAAUUUUGUGUUUAUUUGAGUUCUUGUCGCUUGGAUUGCCUUUCUUCUUUUCCAAUUCUUACUCUCAAGUGCUUUGUAAGCGAGGCAAGAGACACCAAGUGUGUGGUGGUCCUUGCGGGGGUCUUAGUGACCCAUGAGAUUAAGGAAGAAGGCUCACUCGGUCUAAGUGACCGUUUGAGAGAGAGAAAGGGUUGAAAUAGACCCGGUCUUUAUGACCUCCUCAACGGGGACUAGGUUCUUUGGAACCGAACCUCGGUAAAACAAAUCAUCGUGUCAUUCGCUUUAUUUUUUUGGUUGAUUUGUUUUCCCCUCUCUCCCGGACUCAGAUUUUAUUCUAACGCUAACCCCGGCUUGUAGUGUGUUUAAAGUUGUAAAUUUCAGUUUCCGUCUAUCCACCCCCCCUCUAGGCGACUUUCAAUUGGUAUCAAAGCUGGUACUUCAUUAGAGUCUAACCACUCGAAGUGAUGUCGGGAGGAUCCGCCAAGAGGGAGAUGGAAACGGGCACAAGCCACGGGAAGGCUCCAUCAAAGGAGUCCAGUGCCAAAGGAAGGGAGGAAUAACCUCCAUGAGUCAAGUCGCAUCGGAGUGGCGACAAGAAGAAGAAGAUGAAGAAAGUGGUCUACUACGAGACCGAUUCUUCGUUGCCAUCCACCUCCGGCUCCGAUGCGGCAUCCAUCACUUCUAAGCGCCAUGAGUGCAAGAAGUUUAGUAAGAUACCCCUACGCUAUCCCCGUAUUUCUAAAUGUGCUCCUUUACUUUCUGUUCCAUUAGGCAGACCACCAGUUUUUUAUGGUGAAGAUUAUUCUAUGUGGAGUGUUAAAAUGAAAGGUCAUCUAACCUCACUCCACGAAAGCAUAUGGGAUGUUGUUUAGUAUGGAGCGCAGGUACCACAGGUGGGGGAUAAGGACUAUGACUCGGACGAAGUCACCCAAAUAAGGCACUUUAAGUCCCAAGCAACUACUAUACUCCUUGCCUCUUUAAGUCGAGAGGAGUAUAACAAAGUACAUGGGUUAGAGACCGCCAAAGAAAUUUGGGACGUCCUCAAGACCGCACAUGAAGGGGACAAUGUGACGAAGAUCACCAAAAGGGAGACGAUCGAGGGAGAGCUCGGUCGAUUCGUCCUCAACCAUGGGGAAGAGCCGCAAGCCAUGUACAACCGGCUAAAGACCAUGGUGAACCAAGUGCGCAACCUCGGGAGCACCAAAUGGGAUGACCAUGAAAUGGUCAAGGUUAUUCUAAGAUCCCUCAUUUUUCACAAUCCUACGCAAGUUCAAUUAAUACGUGGUGAUCCUAGAUAUAAGCUAAUGUCUCCCGAGGAGGUUAUAGAAAAGUUUGUGAGCUUUGAAUUGAUGAUCAAAGGCUCCAAACAAAUCAUCAACUUGGAGCAAGGCGGCACCUCCACACCCGAGGUGCAACUCGUCGCAUUCAAAGCGACGGAGGAGAAGAAAGAAGAGUCUACAUCAAGUAGGCUCCCCAUCGACUCCUCCAAGCUUGACAACGAGGAGAUGGCACUCAUCAUUAAGAGCUUUCGCCAAAUCCUCAAGCAAAGGAAGGGGAAAGACUACAAGCCCUGUUCCAAAAGGGUGUGCUACAAGUGUGGUAAGCCCGGUCAUUUUAUUGCAAAAUGUCCUAUAUCUAGUGAUAGUGAUAGGGGCGACGACAAGAGGGGGGAGAAGGAGAAGAAGAGAUAUUACCAGAAGAAGGGCGGCGAUGCCCAUGUGUGUCAGGAAUGGGACUCCGACAUGAGCUCCACCGACUCCUCCUCCGACGAGGAUGUCACCAACAUCGCCGUCAACAAAGGUCUCCUCUUCCCCAACAUCGGCCACAAGUGCCUCAUGGCAAAGGACGGCAAAAGGAAGAAGGUAAAAUCUAGAGCCUCCACUAAAUAUACAACAUCUAGUGAUGAGAGUAGCUCUAGUGAAGAUGAGGAUAAUUUGCUUACCCUUUUUGCCAACCUUAACAUGCAACAAAAGGAAAAAUUAAAUGAAUUGAUAGUAGCCAUUCAUGAGAAGGAUGAACUCUUGGACAGCCAAGAGGAAUUCCUUAUUAAGGAAAAUGAAAAGCAUGUUAAGGUGAAAAAUGCUUAUGCUCAAGAAGUAGAGAAAAAUGAAAGCUUGACUAAGGAGCUUAGCAUUUGCCAUGACACUAUUUCUAACCUUAGAACUGAGAAUGUUAGUUUAAAUGCUAAGGUUGAGAAAUUAAAUGCUUGUAAUGAUUCAAUUGCCAAUCUUAGAAAUGAGAAUGCUAGUUUAAUUGCUAAGAUUGAUAAAUUGAACGAAUCAAUUUCUAGCCUUAAGACUGAGAAUGCUAAUUUAAUUUCCAAGGCUAGAGACUUAAAUGGUUGUAAUGAUUCCAUUUCCUGUCUUAGAGAUGAAAAUGCAAUAUUACAUGCUAAGAUAGAUGAAUUAAAUGCUUGCAAACCCUCUACAUCUACAAUAGAACAUGUCGCCAUUUGUACUAGAUGUAGAGAUGUUAAUAUUGAUGCUAUUCAUGAUCACCUUGCUUUAAUUAAACAACAAAAUGAUCAUAUAGCUCAAUUAGCUAGUAAAAUCAAUGAGCAUGAGAUAGAAAAUGAAAAAUUUAAAUUUGCUAGAAGCAUGCUCUAUAAUGGGAGAUGCCCUGGCAUCAAGGAUGGCAUUGGUUUCCAACAGGGAAGCAAUGUCAAACUUAAUGCCCCUAAAAGAUUGUCUAAUUUUGUUAAGGGCAAGGCUCCCAUGGUUCAGGAUAACGAGGGCUAUAUUUUAUAUCCUGCUGGUUAUCCCGAACACAAAAUUAGGAGAAUUCAUGCUAGGAAAACUCAUUCUGUUUCUCAUCAUGCACUUAUGUAUAAGAAUGAGGCUUCUAGCUCUAGGCAAUCAACUCAUGUUAAAUUGCCUAAAAAGAAAACUCCUACCGCAUCAAAUAAACCUAAUAUUUCAUUUAAGACUUUUGAUGCUUCAUAUGUUUUGACUAACAAAUCAGGCAAAGUAGUUGCCAAAUAUGUUGGGGGCAAACACAAGGGGUCAAAGACUUGUGUUUGGGUAUCCAAGGUGCUUGUUUAUAACAUCAAAGGACCCAAUAUUGUUUGGGUACCUAAGAACAAGGCCUAAAUUGUUUUGCAGGUUUAUGCAUCCAGGGGCUCAAGUUGGAUUAUUGAUAGCGGAUGCACAAACCACAUGACAGGGGAGAAAAUGAUGUUCUCCUUCUACGAGAAAAACGAAGAUCCCCAAAGAGCUAUCACAUUUAGGGAUGGAAAUCAAGGUUUGGUCAAAGGACUUGGUAAAAUUGCUAUAUCACCUGACCACUCUAUUUUCAAUGUUUUUCUUGUAGAUUCUUUAGAUUACAAUUUGCUUUCUGUUUCUCAAUUAUGUAAAAUGGGCUACAACUGACUUUUUACGGAUAUAUGUGUUACUGUCUUUAGAAGAAGUGAUUAUUCAGUAGCAUUUAAGGGAGUAUUAGAGGGUCAGCUAUACUUAGUUGAUUUUAAUAGAGCUGAACUCGUACUUGCUUAAUUGCUAAGACUAAUAUGGGUUGGCUCUGGCAUCGCCGACUAGCCCAUGUUGGGAUGAAGAAUCUUCACAAGCUUCUAAAGGGAGAGCACAUUUUGGGACUAACCAAUGUUAAUUUUGAGAAAGACAGGGUUUGUAGCGCAUGUCAAGCAGGAAAGCAAGUUGGCGCCCAUCAUCCACACAAGAACAUCAUGACGACUGACAGGCCGCUUGAGCUACUCCACAUGGAUCUAUUUGGCCCGAUAGCUUACAUAAGCAUCGGCAGGAGUAAGUACUAUCUAGUAAUUGUGGAUGAUUAUUCUCGCUUCACUUGGGUAUUCUUUUUGCUGGAAAAAUCUCAAACCCAAGAAACUUUAAAGGGAUUCUUGAGACGAGCUCAAAAUAAGUUCGGAUUAAGGAUCAAUAAAAUAAGAAGCGACAAUGGGAUGAAGUUCAAGAACUCUCAAAUUGAAGGCUGUCUUGAGGAGGAGGGCAUCAAGCAUGAGUUCUCUUCUCCCUACACACCUCAACAAAAUGGUGUAGUGGAGAGGAAGAAUAGAACUCUACUGGACAUGGCAAGGACCAUUCUUGAUGAGUAUAAGACACCGGACCGGUUUUGGGCGGAAGCAAUCAACAUUGCUUGCUACUCCAUCAACCGGUUCUACCUUCACCGAAUCAUCAAGAAGACAUCAUAUGAACUCCUCACCAGUAAAAAGCCUAAUGUUUCAUAUUUUAGAGUCUUUGGUAGCAAAUGUUUUAUUCUUGUUAAAAGAGAUAGAAAAUCUAAAUUUGAUCCUAAGGUUGUAGAAGGCUUUUUACUUGAUUAUGACUCAAACACAAGGGCAUAUAGAGUCUUCAACAAAUCCACUGGAUUAGUUGAGGUUUCUUGUGACAUUGUGUUUGAUGAGACUAAUGGCUCCCAAGUGGAGCAACUUGAUCUUGAUGAGCUAGAUGAUGAAGAGGCUCUAUGCAUCGCGCUAAGGAACAUGUCCAUUGGGGAUGUGUGUCCUAAGGAAUCCGAAGAGCCCACUCAUGCACAAGAUCAACCGUCAUCUUCCAAUCAAGCAUCUCCACCAACUCAAGAUGAGGAUCAGGCUCAAGACAAUGAAAAAGAAGAUCAAGAGGAUGAGUCACCUUAAGAGGAGGACAAUGAUCAAGGGGGAGAUGACCAUGACAAGGACAAGGAAGAUGAGCAAGAGAUUUAGGGUCAAAGACCGCCACACCCAAGAGUCCACCAAGCGAUUCAAAGAGAUCACCUCGUGAACUCCAUUCUCGGUGAUAUUCAUAAGGGGGUAACCACUCAAUCUCGAGUCACUCAUUUUUCUGAACAUUACUCUUUUGUGUCCUCUAUUGAGCCAUACCGGGUGGAGAAUGCACUAAGAGAUUCGGAUUGGGUGCUGGCAAUGCAAGAGGAGCUCAACAACUUCACGAGGAAUGAGGUAUGGCAUUUAGUUCCACGUCCUAACCAAAUUGUUGUAGGUACCAAGUGGGUAUUCCGCAACAAGCAAGAUGAGCAUGGUGUGGUGAUAAGGAACAAAGCCCAACUUGUGGCCAGGGGAUAUUCACAAGUCAAAGGUUUGGAUUUCGGUGAAACAUAUGCACCCGUAGCUAGGCUUGAGUCAAUUCGUAUAUUACUUGCCUAUGCUACUUACCAUGGCUUUAAGCUUUAUCAAAUGGACGUGAAAAGUGCCUUCCUCAAUGGACCAAUCAAGGAAGAGGUCUAUGUUGAUCAACCUCCCGGCUUUGAAGAUAGUGAGUACCCUAACCAUGUUUAUAAACUCUCAAAGGCGCUUUAUGGGCUCAAGCAAGCCCUAAGAGCAUGGUAUGAAUGCCUGCGAGAUUUUCUUAUCACUAAUGGCUUCAAAGUCGGAAAAGCCGAUCCUACACUCUUUACUAAAACUAUUGCAAAAGAUUUGUUUGUAUGCCAAAUUUAUGUUGAUGAUAUCAUAUUUGGGUCUACUAACAAAUCUACAUGUGAAGAGUUUAGUAGGAUCAUGAUUCAAAAAUUCAAGAUGUCUAUGAUGGGGGAGUUGAAGUAUUUUCUAGAAUUUCAAGUCAACCAACUCCAAGAUGGCACCUUCAUCAGCUAAACAAAGUACAUGCAAGACAUACUUAACAAGUUUGGAAUGAAGGAUGCCAAGCCCAUCAAGACACCCAUGGGAACAAAUGGGCAUCUCGACCUCGACACGGGAGGUAAAUCCGUAGAUCAAAACGUAUACCAGUCGAUGAUAGGAUCUUUACUCUACUUAUGUGCAUCUUGACCGGAUAUUAUGCUUUCUGUAUGCAUGUGUGCAAGGUUCCAAGCCGAUCCUAAGGAUUCACCUUAGGGUCGUGAAAAGAAUCAUAAGAUAUUUAGUAUACACUCCUAAGUUUGGACUUUGGUACCCCAAGAGAUCCACUUUUGAUUUAAUAGGUUAUUCAGAUGCUGAUUGGGCAGGGUGUAAAAUUGAUAGGAAGAGCACAUCAGGGACUUGUCAGUUUUUAGGGAGAUCCCUCGUGUCUUGGGCUUCAAAGAAACAAAUCUCAGUAGCUCUUUCUACCGCCGAAGCCGAGUAUAUUGCCGCAGGUCAUUGUUGUGUGCAAUUACUUUGGAUGAGGCAAACCCUUAGGGACUAUGGCUACAAAUUGAGCAAAGUCACUCUCCUAUGUGAUAAUGAGAGUGCAAUCCACAUGGCGGAUAAUCCCGUUGAACACAGCCACACUAAGCACAUAGACAUUCGGUAUCACUUUUUGAGGGAUCACCAACAAAGGGGGGAUAUCGAGAUCGCUUAUGUUAGCACCAAAGAACAAUUAGCCGAUAUCUUCACUAAGCCAUUAGAUGAGAAAACCUUUAGCAAACUUAGGAAUGAGCUAAAUAUACUUGAUUCUCGGAAUUUUGAUUGAAACAUUGCACACAUAGCUCAUUUAUAUACCUUUGAUCAUAUCUCUUUUAUGUCUACGACUAAUGUGUUUUCAAGUGUAUUUCUAUGCUAAGUCGUAGAUUGAAAGGGAAAUGGAGUCUUCGGCGAAGACAAGGCUUCCACUCCACUCUAUCGGUAUCAUCUACCCUUCGUCGUCACUCCACAUCACUCUUCGAUUGGUAUAAUCUUCACUCAUAUUUACUUGUACCAAUGGGAGAGAAAGUAACAAAGGGCUCUCAAAGUCUCCGUUUUUGGCGAUUAAUGCCAAAGGGGGAGAAAUAUUAAGCCCAAAGCAAAAGGACCGCACCACCACCAAUUUCAAAAUUUUCAAGAAUUUUUCAAAUUGGUAUCUAAAUGUAUUUGAUCUUAUUCAAUUUGGUAUUUACAAAAAUUGGUAAAACCCUCUUGAACACUAAGAGGAGCAUUUGGUUCAGGGGGAGUUUUGUUUAGUCAAGGAAAAGCAUUUGAAACAGGGGGAGAAAUUUCAAAUCUUCAAAAUGCUUCUUGCAAUCUUAUUCAUAUACCUUUGACUAUUUGCAAAAGACUUUAAAAAAAUUCAAAAAAGAUUUGCAAAAACAAAACAAGUGGUGCAAAUGUGGUCCAAAAUAUUAAAUAGAAGAAAGCAAUCCAUUCAUAUCUAGUGAAAUUAUAAAUUGGUUUAAUUCCAAGUAACCUAUGCACUUACCCUAUGCAAACUAGUUCAAUUCUGCACUUAUAUAUUUUCUUUGGUUUGUGUUGGCAUCAAUCACCAAAAAGGGGGAGAUUGAAAGGGAAAUAGGGUUAACCUUUUCCCAAUAUUAAUUUUGGUGGUUGAAUGCCCAACACAAAUAAUGGACUAACUAGUUUUCUCUAGAGUAUAUGAUCUACAGGUGCAUAAAGGAUCAACACAAAUCAAUAAAAGAUUGAAGAUAGGGUUCGAAUACAAAGGAGCAAAGAAACCGAGUGUGCCCUGGUCUGGCGCAUCAGACUGUCCGGUGUGCCACCGGACAGUGUCUGGUGCACCAGGACCAUACAGAGUCUAAACAGCCACUCUCGGGUUUCAACCAGCGCGCUCCGCUAUAAUUCACCGGACUGUCCGAUGCACCAGCGGAGCAAUGGCUACUUCGCGCAACGGUCGCCUGCAAAAGCUGAAGAACAGAGGAACAGUACACAAACAGUGCGCGGCAGAGGCGCACCGGACAUUGAACAGUGUCUGUCCGGUGCGGCACCGGACUGUCCGGUGUCACUAGAGGACAAAGCCUCCAACGGUCAAAAGUUCUAGAACCCUAACGGUUGGGUGACGUGGCUGGCGCACUGGACAGUGUUCGGUGCGCCCAUCGACAACAGCCUACCCCAAUGGUUGUUUUGGUGGGUGAGGGCUAUAAAUACCCCUCAACCACCUGCACUCCAACCAUCCAAGCAUUCAACACUCUCCAUUCAAUACAAGAGAAAAGUGCAACACUCCACGACACAAAUCAAAGCCAUCGAUCCAAUCAAAGUCCCUAAUUCAAUUCUAGUGCAUUAGGACUUGUGAGAGGAUCAAUCGUGUUUCUUUGUUGCUCUUGUUUGCUUGGCUUGGCUUUCUUUUCUUUCUCACUUCUUACUCUCAAGUGCUUUGUAAGCGAGGCAAGAUACACCAAUUGUAUGGUGGUCCUUGCGGGGUCUAAGUGACCCGUGAGAUUAAGGAAGAAGCCUCACUCGGUCUAGGUGACCGUUUGAGAGAGGGAAAGGGUUGAAAGAGACCCGGUCUUUGUGACCACCUCAACGGGGACUAGGUUCUUUAGAACCAAACCUCGGUAAAACAAAUCACCGUGUCACCCGCUUUAUUUUCUUGGUUGAUUUGUUUUCCCCUCUCUCCCAGACUCGGAUUUUAUCCUAACGCUAACUCCGGCUUGUAGUGUGUUUAAAGUUGUAAAUUUCAGUUUCCGCCUAUCCACCCCCCCUCUAGGCGACUUUUAGAAAGUUCGAUUGAAAAAUAUAAAGCCAGACCAUUUGGUGCUUUGGAGGAUAGCCAACCCAGAUACAGUGGGCAAGCUACAGCUGAAAUGGAAGGGUCCUUUUCUGGUAGUAUCUUCGUCAAGACCUGGUUCUUACAGAUUGAAGGAUAUGGACGGCAACGACAUACCUAGAUCUUGGAAUGCGGAUGAGCUUUGGCGGUAUUAUGUGUAAUUGAUGUAAUCUUUUUUAUUUUUUCCUAUGGCACCCUUUUCCUUUUAGGAGGGGAGAAAGGUUUUUAAUGGGGCCAUAGUUUGUAAUUUUCAUUCUUAUUUGGCCCUAUGCAAUACAAGGGCCAAAAUCCCCCAAAAAUGUAACAUGUAAUAUCAGAACAUGCACCAUCGAGUGCAAAAGAAAACAGGGAAAAGCUCAAAAGUCGUCCCUAAGGGGAUGCAGAGCUGUAAUUACCCCAAGGAUGAUGAAGCUGCAAAAGUCGUUCCUAAGGGAGCACAGAGUAAGUUCCGAAGCUGCAAAAGUCGUUCCUAAGAGGGCGCAGAGUAAGUUCCGAAGCUCAAAAGUCGUUCCUAAGGGAAUGCAGAGCCAAAAUACCACCAAAAUAAAAGAAGAAGCUCCAAAUUCAGUCCUAAGGGGAUGUAGAGCUUAAAUGCCACCGAAAUAAAAGGUGAAGAAGCUCCAAAGUCGUUCCUAAGGGGAUGUAGAGCUUAAAUGACACCGAAAUAAAAGGUGAAGAAGCUCCAAAGUCGUUCCUAAGGGAAUGCAGAGCUUAAAGACUCUGAAUUCGUUCCUAAGGGGAUGCAGAGUCUGGGUGCGGCUUCGUGUGUGUAUGGAUCAUACAUUUGCAUAUUACAUUACAUCAUUCAUUGCAUUCAUACAGACAUUCAUUAGACAUUCGUAGGAUCAUCAUCAUCAUGACAUGAAGCACGAACAGAAAUAGUCCGGCUUCGGCGACAAAGUGUUUUGUUGAACACGAAGAAGCUUUGUUUCAAAUAUGAAUACAUGCAUUUUAUGCAAGGGAAUGCUUCAAUGUGUACGAAAAGAAGGGAAGGUGUUUUUCGCCUUCGGCUCAAAAGACGCGAAUUUCGUCCACAGCAAAGCAAUUCGUACAUGGACGGAAAGGUAAAAUUAUAUUACAAGGUAUGGACAAAUAUAUACAGUAUUGAGUUUAACUCUUGAUUACAAUUUUUGCAAAAAUAAUGCAAAACAUUUCCUAAGUUCUAUACAGGAAGGCACAAAAGGAAGCUUCAUCUCGGUAACCUUCGGAAUGUGCUUUGGGUUAUUAACCUUCGACACCUCCAUCCUGCAGACAAACAAUGGUAUAAGGUAAAAGUGAUUUAAAAAUCAAGGCAAGCAACAGGUAUAAGUUUCGUACUGGUUUAAGCAGACUUCGAGCUUCGUCUCCAGCCAACUCUCGUCCGCCUUUAGCCCAAAUCUGAGUGAUGAAUCUAUUUCCGAUGCUUCGGGCUUCACCGGGGAUGUUAAUAAGGUCUGAUAGUGAUAAGCUGAAGGUUGACUUGUUCAUUGUUUUUGCAUGCAUGCAUCCGGCCUUCAAGAAUGCAGCAGUUGUGCCGCGAGAAGCUAACAAAGCACAGAAGUCACCGUGCCCAGUUAUCACUUCAUCGAGCGCAUCAACUUCAUUUUCAAUGUGCUUGAAGGUAUCUAAUAUGUCUUCAGCCGAAGGGGUAAUAUCUUUAGAGCUAGCCCCGACCGAGCUGAAGACUCCUUUUAACCGUUGCACGCAGCGGCUGCCAAAUUCCAAGCAUGUGUUCCGAAUGUCCCUCAGAGAUUCUUGUAGCUUUGAGUUUUUAUCAGCUUUGGCUUCAUAUUUUGCUUGCAGUUCCUUCUUCUCUUGUUCGAAGCACUCUGAUUUUCCUUUUAAGAUUGUUUGAGUUCGGAGAAGCUCUUUGCUUAACCUAGCAUUUUCAGCUUGAAUCUCUGCAAGUGAACCUUCUGUUGCUUGAAGCAGGAAGUCCUUCUUUUCAAGAGAAGCUUUGUAAUCUUUAAUCUUGCUUUCCAAGCCCUCAAUUAUAAUUUCAUUUUUCUUAUCUUCAAGGUCUUGUUGCAUUCUUAAUGCUUUACUUAGCAGCAUACUCUAUGAAAAUAAGUUGACUUCAGAAAAUUUUAAUUCAUCACAAAGAUAACAAAAAUCUAGGCAAAAGAAUUUUACCUUAAAAUUGGAGUAAAAGAGACUGCGGACGAUAUGUUGCCGCCGGUAGCCGCUUAUAUCACACUCAAGCUUCGAAAAACCGACACUCUUUGAUAGAGUGCCGAUUAUUUUUGACCCGGCACGAUCGCGAAUACAUCCCAAGGCUUCUUCGUCAAUUCCACCAAAAAGCAUAACUCCUCGCUGGUAGCCACAGGAUAUCCCAUAUUCCAUUAGCUCCUUUUUCUCAGCCUCGGACAAUUCUUGACCCACCAGGUUCCGAAGGUCAAAAUCUUUUUCUUCUAAAGCAGCAUCAGCAAUUUUUUCCUUUGUCAGGCACUGCGGCCAUGAUCUUCUCUGCAGUUGCAGACGUCUCUUCUGCAGCCAUAUCCGAAAGAAGUUUAUCAAUUCCUAAUAGUGUACUUGCUAGAUUGGUAGCUUCGGCAGCAGCUGUAGCUUCGGUAGAGGUUUCAGCUUCGGCAGUGGCCUCGGCACUUGCGACAGGUACUAUUCUGGACGUCGAGGCCAGAUGUGGUGUCCGCUCAACAGCUUGCAUAACAUUAACAUUUCUUCACUUUUUCUGACCCUUAGUCUUCUCCUUUACGGCCAAGGGUUGAUCCUUCUUCUGUAAAAGUUUCGUCAGUUCUGGUCCCAGAGGACUUAGCAGCUUGAUGGGUAAGGAUUCAGUCAUUACCUUUAAAAUUAUUUUUAUUUCAGCAGCAGGAGGUGUUGAAGGAGUCUCUUCUGUUGCCUCAGUUACCUUCGGCUCUGGAGCUUCAGCCUUCCUCUUUUUUGAAACUGCCGCCUUCGGCUCAGGAGUGGAUUUUGUCUUCUUAGAAAUUUUCUCAUCUUCCUUAACCAUUCUGACAGCUUGCCUGCUUAGAAUGCUGACAACCUUUUUUUUCUUUUUACCCCUUCGACCCCCUUGUCAAGUUUUUCAUAAUCAGGGUAGUCAAAAUUUAAGGCGUCCAUUACCCGGUUCAAUCUUCGUUUCAGGCGGGUACCGAAGGCUAUGGUCAUCAGCUGAUCUUCGUUCUUGGUAUAAUUCCCAAGUAUCUCAUUGCACAUGGUCUCAAUCAUGUCUAGCCAUUCUUUGCAAGGCUUCUUGAAUUGUUUUUCAAACUUAAAACGGUAAGCAAGUCGAACAAGUCCAUGCUUCUUCCCCACUUCUUUCCUCUUCGGCAUUCCCCAGCCACUUGACGUUGGAUAUGUUCUGUUUGCAAAGUAUUCUUGCACCAAGUCCCUAGUACUGAUCUGCUCAGCUACCACUCUAAAUUCUACUUCAGCCAACUGACAGGGUGACCCCAGUUGCAUAUUGCAUAAGGGUCUGGUUAUUUCGAAGCUUAAAGUCAGUGGACUCAUGACCAUGGUCGUCAGCUUCUCCCUCUUUUUCUCGUUAGCCUUCAUAUAGAACCACUCACUUUUCCAGCCAGUUGGCCACUUCGUGUGGUAGCUAAGAACUGGUGCCUUUGUAUCCUUUUGAUAUGCAAAAUUGUAACAGCCAAAAUUUUCAUGAAGGCCAUCUACCCUGGCCUUCGUCUGGUAAUGCAGUUCGUGCACUCGGCAGAAAGCUUCGGCAUCUGGACUCAUCCCUUGGCUUCGGAGGGCCCAGAUAUAGACACUGAGUCUAACAAUAGUGUUGGGAGUCAGCUGAUGAAGAUAUAUCUCAAAGUUCAAUAAAACUUCUCCAAUCAUAACAUUUAGGGGGGACCGAAGCCCUGCUCUAAAGAAGCUCUUAAAAACGACAACUUCAUCCUCUUUCGGCUCCAGAAUUACCUCUUCCCCGGCAAAUCGAACAAGUUUGCUCUCAGCCUCUCCAAAAUACCCCAAUUUCAUCAUCAUAGGCAUGUCAUCUUCUGUUACAGUGGAUUUUUCAAAUUCAAGAUGACUAGGCUUUGUCGGGUUCAGAAUGUUGUAGUCUUAUUCACUCUCAUCAUCAUUCUCACCAACCACAGCUUGUUCAGCUUCGGCAUUGGAAGCACCUUCGGUAAUAGGCCCUUCUGGCACAAUUGGUGUUGUUUCAGUUACGUCGACUUCGUCUCCCUCGCGAGACACUCUAGCAGUUGAUCGUACUCUGGUCAUUUCAAUGAUUUCACCUUUUGACGAAGCUAACCUUAAACGAUGAAGCGUUUGCUCAAGAGCGCAAUGCAGAAAGCUUCGGUUAUGGUCAAAAAUUUUAACAGCACAACAGUGCAAUGACAAUGAAUGUUGUGGUAACUCCUCACCAACCCGUCUGUUUAUAUAGUGCUGCAGGGGGGGAGGUGAACCGUCAGGCCGCUCGCACUCGCUGAACGGUGGACCGUCCGACGCCUGGAAUAUUAUAAUCGUUUCUCUGCAACGAGCUCAGGGAAGGUGUUUUCGGACCUUCGGCAUUCCGAAGCCUUCGGGUUUUUCACGGAUCGAGCUCGUUACGAAAAACGAUCUAACAUCGCGAAGGGGCUACUGUUGGGGGCCUUCUUCUCCGCCGAAGGUCCUCUAAGCAAAAACACCUUCGGCAGAACAAUACACAAGGAGGUGUGACAUGAAGAUGUAAGCCGAAGCUACCAUUGAAGGAGCUUCGGCAUGGUGACGCGCUAAAGACGAAGGAUGUUAUCGACUUAAAGAGGAAAAGACUGUAUAGCCCUUGAUAGUUUGUAUUGUAAUUAUAAUCAGCCAUCAGGGUCAUGGAUGUAAUUUUGUCGGGGCUGUGUCCCGAGCCUAUAAAUAGAUGAACAGUACACUCGUACUAUUCACGCUGACUUGUAAUCACUCUCGCGUGACUCUCGCUUUUUCACCUUCUGUCAAGCCGAAGGUACAAAUGUAAUAUAAAUAUCGUUGAUGUUUAUUCAUGUUUAUAUAAAAUAAGAAUAAGAAUAGUCUAAUGAUUUGAAAUGAUUACUCAUAUUCCCUUUGUGCUUCGUAUGUUUCUGUUUACAUUUUUGCUUACUGAAAUGAUGAAGCUAUGUCCUUCAUGACCUUCGUCUGAAGAUCAUUAUAUCCUAAGGGAAAUAAUGCUUCGAAGGACGAAGGUCACUAAUCAUUAACAAUUGUGUUGCUUUGUUCUUGGUAUUUAGCAUCUGAGAACAAGGACCAAUAUGUAUUAAUAAAUAUUUUUAAGAACUACAAAUACCAAACAAAUUCACAGGUCAUUCUCUUCCUCAUCCCCACAUAAUGCAGCGGAAAAUCUUGCUUUUAUUCCCGUCAUAGGUUCCGCGCAAUAGCUUGCUAGUGGUCGCACUCUUGGUCGGCAUUCACGAGCGGGUAGAGACAUCGACACUAGAUUUACCUGACCUCCACUAUCAUAGAGGACCAUGUAGUGUUCCUUGCUGGAUAGAUAAAGGAGGGAGAACUCUAGCGUAGCGAACGCUUAGACUAUCUACACUCAUACUACUCUAAAUUAGUACUUUAAAACAAAUAUUUUAGGGGUAUCUGCUAGUCAUAUAGUGUAAAUGUGCAACGAAUCUUCUAGGGGAUGCAAACGAGACCUCUCUCAUCCAUAUAUUAUUGUAUAUUGUAGGACGGUAGUUAGGAGGCUUCACAAAAAAAUGGAGGAGUGAUCUAACUGAUGUAACAUCUUAAAUAUAUAAUACUACAAAAUAUGUCAUUGCAACAAAACACGUCCUGAAUUGAAUCGAGGUUCACAACCGAAUAACCUGAAUUGAAUCGAGGUUCACAACCGAACAAGACCUUACUUUGUAUUUAACUUUGUGUUGAUGAAGUACUCUUUACACCUUCUCGAUAUGGAUAGCCUUAGACUGUUCAAGCAACGUCCUCUAUAUCUACUAUUUAUAUGACUAUAUCUGUCCUUCACAACUCUAAAAAAUUAUCCUCUAUAUUUACUUCAUCUCCAACAACGUUCUCUAAUUCACGUCCUAUGUAUAUAAAUACCUAUCUUAAAUAGAUAGAUAAAAUGAGAGAGAAACCCUAUAUAUAGAGAAUUUAGAUUAGAAAUUAGAGGACAAAAAAUAUUAUCUAUAAUUUAGAAUUUAGAGUACAUGAACUAAAGGUCUAUUGGAGCGCCUUAGAUAGCCUUAGCACAAUAGUGUACCCUAAAACUCUAUCCAUUUUAAUAUACGUAUGUAGCAAAUUAGAAGUAAUAUUGUCUCUGUAUUUACAUUGUAUUUACAUGUAGCACGAGAUUAACGUAUAGGACGAGAUUUAAAAAACGCUACUGGACAAGAAAAAAAGAAGAGUUUCUCUUGCUAAUGGAUAGAGAAAAUUGUAGUAGAUAAAUGAUUCAGAAACCAAUCCAAACGACCCUACAAAACUUCCAAAACAGACAAAACUAAGGGGGGAAAGAAACAUACUGAAGAAAACUAACUAUACGACUUCCUAAAAUCAAUUUAACAAUGCCAAAAGGUUAACAUAUAGGUCUUAGAGCAUUCUUGUAUUGCAAAAGGUGAAAUAGCAAGAUGGUACCAAAUAAAUAGAUAAAAGUGCACAUGCUAACAGAUCUCAACAGUUCACACGAUAACAGCAACGAUCACAAACAAAACUUGUGAUGAUGAAAACUAGGUAUUGCUAAAGCAGGCGCAGGAUCGCAUCAUUUCUUCUUGGCAGCCGCCUUGGUCACCUUGGCGCCGGUCGGGUCCUUCUUCUCCACACUCUUGAUAACUCCAACAGCAACCGUCUGCCUCAUGUCACGGACAGCAAACCUACCAAGGGGAGGAUACGCUGAGAACGUCUCCACCACCAUGGGCUUGGUCGGUAUCAUCUUCACCAUACCAGCAUCACCGUUCUUCAGGAACUUUGGCUCCUUCUCAAGCUCCUUGCCAGACCGCCUGUCGAUCUUGGUAAUGAGCUCAGCAAACUUGACAGCAAUGUGGGAGGUGUGGCAGUCCAGCACUGGGGCAUAGCCGUUGCCAAUCUGCCCAGGGUGGUUCAUGAUGAUGACCUGGGAGGUGAAGCUGGCAGCCUCCUUGGCAGGGUCAUCCUUGGAGUUGGAGGCCACAAACCCACGCUUGAGAUCCUUGACAGCAACGUUCUUCACGUUGAAGCCAACAUUGUCACCCGGAAGAGCCUCCUGAAGCGCCUCGUGGUGCAUCUCAACAGACUUCACCUCGGUAGUCAGGCCAGUUGGACCAAAGGUGACAACCAUACCAGGCUUGAUGACACCAGUCUCCACACGACCAACCGGUACAGUUCCAAUACCACCAAUCUUGUACACAUCCUGGAGGGGCAGACGCAGGGGCUUGUCUGAAGGCCUCUUGGGCUCGGUGAUCUGGUCAAGAGCCUCAAGCAGGGUUGGGCCUUUGUACCAGUCAAGGUUGGUGGACCUCUCAAUCAUGUUGUCACCCUCAAAACCAGAAAUGGGAACAAAGGCAAUCUUAUCAGGGUUGUACCCAACUUUCUUGAG